RNAcentral lists this long non-coding RNA (93280 nucleotides) under Theobroma cacao (cacao). RNAcentral describes it as "long non-coding RNA (TCAC_LNC004534)". Lineage: Eukaryota; Viridiplantae; Streptophyta; Magnoliopsida; Malvales; Malvaceae. The record is from RNAcentral.
GGUUUUCAUCACCUGUUUAGCAGCUUCUGGUGAAGAAAUCACAACAGUUGAUACUUCCCCAAGUUGCAGAAGCAUCACUGGACCAUACUUCUGAGCCAAUCGGGCAAGGCAGCGAUGAGGUUGAGUCCCAAUAAGAAGGUGCAAGUUUCCUAUCAGAGGUAAUUUUGGAGGACCAGGUGGUAGCGUUGAUGGAAGGCUACUAGAUUUGGUAUUCGUCCAUGUCCUCAAAGCCCUGAAUGUGACGAACAAAAGGGUAAGAAGGAAUAAGAGAAAGGGAAGUUGGUUUUCCAUGCGAGCAAUGGGAAAGAAUUAAAUGGAGGGGAAAUUUCCUUUAUUGAUUAUGAAUCUCCUCUCUUACUUGGAAAUUGCGGUUGGAGGGAUGAGACUUGGGGUGAAACUAUGGGGAAAACGCAGUGCCGAAAGUAUUUAAUUUGCUGUUAGUGGCCUCAUUUCAUAUAUCUUGUCAACAGCAGAACAGUGCUGUUAUUGAUAUUUGCAUGUUAUAUGUUCCAACCAAAUGGCCUUUUGCAUUUUUUUUUUUAUAAUUAGAUAAAAGAUUCAAACUUUACUCUUUAAGUAAGGGAUAAUGCACCAACUAAUAAGUUAAAUGUUGAGGUACAUCUUUUACGUUUUGUUUUACUAGAAUUAGCAAAACCAUAAUGGAAAAAUGUAAAUUUUGUUUGAUAUAAUGAGAAAUAUUUACUAUUAUAAAAAUAAAUGCUAACUUUCCUACCAAUAAUUGUGAACAAGCAAAUUGUAACUACUAUAUAAUGGAAAGCUAAAGCUUUUCUUGUUUAGCUGGCUUAAAGAUUUACACGUGAAACUAUUGAAAAAAAGAGGUGUAAAGUUAUCUUUUUCAAUCUUAAGAUUUACCCAUGGCUCGACUUGUGGACCAGAAGAAUAAAAUCCUGGUGUUAGUCGUGCCCCACAGCUGUUGCACCAUGGAAAAGAUUAAAGUCUCUAUCAUUUGCUAUUUUUUAAUAUUGUGUUGUCAGUUUUUUAUUCAACUUUGCAGUUAGUGUAAUAUUUUUAUUGGGGUAGUUUGGCUACGUGUUAUGACAUUAUAGGCCACUAAGUACUAGACACAUCACUUGGUAUUUUAUGAUUUUUUGUCUCUUGUAAUGAGAAAUAUUAUAUUUGCAUAAUCAAAAGUGAGCUGUGACUUUGCAAGGCUUCUGCAAUUCUUCUCAUCUCUCACGUGUUUUUGGUUUUUUAUAUUUUAUGUUUUUCUCUCUCUUGUAAUUAGAUGUACUAUAUUUGUUUAAUAAAAAGUGAGCUGUGACUUUGCAAGGCUUCCUGCAAUUCCUCUCAUCUCUCACGUGUUUUUGGUUUUUUGUUAACUCAGUGUUUCUCGUUCAACUUGUUAAUUACUCAAUGAAUUCAUAACCUUUUGAUUUUUGAACAAUUGUUUGGGAAAUCUUUCUCCAAAAUUGAGCAAGUGAAAAAGAUAUUAAAUAGCUUGUCCAAGUCAUGCCAGGCCAAGGUGACCAUCAUAUCAAGAGUUCAGAGUCUUCGUAUGUUACAGUUAGAUAAGUUUACUGAGUUCUCUUUUAACCUGUGAGAUGAAUCAUGAGAGGAUUCCAUUUAAGAAGAUGAAUCAUGAAAGUUUGGUUGUAGAUAGAAAUCAUGAGGAGAUAAAGCAAUGUCCAUGCUAGACAUAAUAGGAUUCAACAAGUUCAUGCGAAAGAAACAAAACCUACGGAAGCAAAAGAAGAAGACAAUGAUCGAGACGUGGAGUGAUAGUGAGAAUGAGAUCUUCGAAGAUGUGGCCUUUAUCUCUCAUGAGUUGUGAUUCAAUUUCACAUACAUUUGAUGCGUUCUCAAAUUGAAAAUAUGAAUCUAGUUAUUCAAAACUUUAAAAAAAAAAAAUUUGAAAGUUUAAUACAAUUUCAAAAAGGGUACUUGAUAAAUUUUUUACAAGUAAUAAAAAUAAUGAAUCAGAAAUUAUUAAAGAAAUAUUAAAAUAACUUGAUUAUAAAAGUUUAAGUAGAAAUUUUCAUCUAAAAAUGCUAGAAUAAUAAAAUUUUUUUAAUUUUAAUAAAAAGGACCUCAUUUGAAUAUUUUACUUUAAACUUUUUAGGUUAUUGAGCCGUCUCUAGUAUUUGAAAUAUAAGAAAAUGAUCACCUCUUAACUUAUUUUUGAUAACUAAACGAGAUUGAGUGUGCCUAUAUAAAAUCGAAACAUAAGUUUAUAAUCCAUGAAUAAUAGUUGUUUAAAGUUGGUAAAAUAUCAAGACCAAAGAUUAAACACAUAAGCACAUCCAAUGCUUUAGCUAAUUACAAAUUUCCAAACAUAUCAAGAAUAAUUAAGCUACAACGUUCUUGAUUAAGCAUAGAUCAUUCCAGGUAUAAAUGAUAGCCAAUCAACUCAAGUUGCGGAGAACAGUUAACAACUUAAUAGAUAUAGACAGGAUGCUUUAUUUUUUUUAUUUUUAAUAAUUAAAUUACCCCAUUUUUUAAUUGAAUUUACAUAAUUUAAUUAUAUUUAAUUUUGCAACUUGUUUUUGGAUCAUUCGAACAGAGUUACAUUUAAUAUGAGUCUCAUCUGUCCUGUCCAUCAUUUGAGGCUCGUGUGACUCAAAUUGUAAGAAGUACAUAUUAAAAAGAGUCUUAGUAAAAUGAAAUAGAAUAAUUCUAAAAAAAAAAUCUUAAUAAAAUUUCAAAAAUGCCAAAAAUGACAAAAAAAAUAUAACGUUUACAAAGAAAUAAAAGUACAAAAAAUUAGAAAAAGAAAGACGAAAAUAAGAGAAAAAACAAGGAUUGCUGCCCUUCCUCCAUAUCUUUCUCCACUACUUUGUGCCGACAGGUGAGAAAAUCCAUAAGAAAUCAUUUGAAAGUUGGGUAGUAUUUAAUUAUUUUGUUUAUAAAAAUAAACAUAUAUAGUAUUUAAUCAUAUAAAUCUCCUUUUCUUUUUCCGUAUGGGACAUGAUUUUAUGUUUAAACUUUCUUGCUAAAGGACAAAAUUAUUAGUUUAAAGGUCCUUUUAUGGAAGGUGUUUAAAGGUCAGAGUCAAAGUCUGAAUCUUUAAAUUAAGUUUAAAAAUUUUACUGUAUAUGAGUUUCAUCAAAUUUUAUAUUUUAUAUUAAUUUAUUGAUUUAUUUAUUUUAUUUAUAAAAAUGUCAAAUUUUAUUACUGAAAAUUUUAAAUAAAUUUUCUUAAUUAAUAAUAAAAAUACACAUAAAUAUAUGCAAAUGUCAUCAUGAUUUAUAAAAGUAAUAAUUUUAUGUCAAAUUACUUUUAUUUUGGGUCAAAUAAACUCUUAUAACUUAUGGUUAACUAACUAUCUUUAUUAAAAAGUCACUUGUCAUUCUAUGUCACAUGGUAGUAAUAUGAUAUGUUAACAUGUUAUAAUUGAUAAUGAUAUAACAUGCUGAUAUAGUAUGAUGGUAUGAUCAUGUGACAUUUUCAUCAUCCACGUCAACAUCAUAUUAACGCCACGUGAGUAUAAAGUAAUAGGCAACAUUUUGACUAAUAGUAAUUAGUCAACCAUUAGUCAUAAGAGCCUAAUUGACCUAAAACAAAAGUAUAAGAGAUUGAUUGAAUGGAAUAUAAAAAAAAGAGUUUGUUCAAUUUUUUUUAAAGUAAUUUAAAAACUUUUUAAACUAUUAUGCCCUAUAUGAACUUAUUUUCUAAAGUUGAUAACCAAUAGUAAAACACUAGAUUACAAGUAAGAAUGAAUAGAAAAGAGGGGAAACAGUUUUCCAUGAGAGAUUUGGGUUGGAUUUUCAAGAAUAGGCGACUACUCGAAGGUUUACAAAUAUUUGGUUUCAUUACUUUCAAACAUACGUUGAUGUUAGUUUUCAGUUUAUUUAACAUUUUAUCAAUAUAAUGUCAAUUAUUGAAUUUGAUAAUACAAUUAAGUGAUAUUAACUUAAUUGAUUAACUUAAUUUAUUUAAUAUUUAUAAAAAUACACAUAAAUAUGUACAAAUAUCAUCGUGAUCUAUAAAAAGUAAUAAUUCUAUGUCAAAUUAGUUUUAUUUCGGAUCAAAUAAACUUUUAUAACAUACGGUUAACUAACUAUUUUUAUUAAAAAGUUGUUAUUUUAUAUCACAUGUCAUAAUUGAUAGUGACAUGGUAUGUUGAUGUGGUAUGAUGAUAUUAUCAUGUGACAUUUUUUUCAUCCAAGUCAAUAUCACAUUAACGCCACAUGGGUAUAAAAUGAUAGACGAUGUUUUAACAAAUGACAAUUAGUCAACCGUUAGUCAUAAGAGCUUAUUUAACUUAAAAUAAAAGCAUAAGAGAUUGAUUGGAUGAAAUAUAAGAAUAAGAGGUUUUUUUUUUUCUAAUUAAGGGAACAAGGAUUCGAAUCUUACUCUUUAAGUAAGGCAUCAUGUACCAACUAGUGAGCUAAAUGCUCAAGUGCAGAAUAUAAGAAUAAGAGCUUGUUCUUACUCAUGAUGCAAGCUAAGGGUGAGAACGAUCCUAAGCUUAAGAGAUCUUUUGAUGAUUGUGGGUAAGGUCAAUGUGCCACUCACACAACUAUAAUGAUUGUUCAUGUGAGGUGAACUAGAUGGUAGUGAGGACUUUAACCACUACCCAUCUAAAGGGGGUGGGACCACUUGAUAAAUCGUGGAUGAGGCUGAGGUGCCAUUCACGAGAGCUUGCUAGGAACUCGAAAUAGUGGAGGUUAAACCACUAUUUGUCAGAACAAGGCAGACCCAUUCAUAGAUGGAAUGUUAUGAUGAAUGAGUUUAAUGAGUUUAAGGAAUGAUUGAAUGAGUAUUGAUUGAUGACUUAUGUUUAAAUGCUUAUUUUAUGAUAAAUGAUUAUCGAAAAUGUUAUUCACAUUAUAAUAUGGUGAUAUUGGUUUGGUUAGAUAAAACCUUAGCUUAAGGAAUAAUCCUAUAAUUUUGGAAAGACUUAUGAAUGGUUUAGGUUCAAAACAUUGCCUAGAAAAUUGAAUUUUGUGGAAAAAGUAUCGAUACAUGUGGAGCAUGUAUCGAUACAUUUUCAACAGAAUGCUACAAGAGGUGUUCUGUGUGAAAUGUAUCUAUACACUCUCAAAAGUAUCGAUAGAUUUCUUGCAUGCAUCGAUAAGUUUCAAAAUGUAUCAAUAGAAUUGUUGCAAAAAAUGAUUUCUAAGUGAUUUUAAAGAGGUUUUCCAGGAUAAAUGAGUUCUAAUGUUUUAAGCAAAGUUGUUUUCCAUUCAAAGUUAUUUAAAGGAUGUUUUAAAUGCUAUGUUACAUGAUCAUUUUGGUAAUGAUGCUGAAUUUAUGAAUCAUAUGUAUUUACAAUUGCGUGGUGUCACAGCCCAAUUUUCGGGCCAUGACUAGCGCAUAGGCCCAAUGGGCAUAGCCCACAAGCCCAAGCAAGUCUCUUUAUGUAAUCCCUGAUCGUCAUUUCAACAAUCAUUCCUAAAGUCACAUUUCGUAAUUCUCAACUAUAAAAUAUUCAGUGAUAUACUAUGGCAAUCAAAUACUUACAUUUAGAUCAUCCAAAAUAAUAUCAUCCAUUGCCAACUCAUAGUGGCAUCAUCAAUCAAAAUAUAUAUACAUUGUUUAUACUAUGAAUCCUAGUGAUUUACAUCACAUGUAUGUAUACACAGGCAAAAGACUAUUGACUACCAGCGGAGUGACUUUGGGUGAAGGUACAACUACUGAAUGCCAUGGUACUUACCAAAAAGAUGAAUAUAUGUGGACACCUCAAUCUAGGUCCCAACUGCCUCUGAAUCUGAAAAUAUGAUGUUUAAAAGAGUGAGUAUAAACCUAGUGAGUGAACAUAGGAAGAGAACAAGCAAACGAUACGGAAAGUUAUAGAAAACAUGAUGCACUUAUGUUAAAAACAAUGCAAUUUAGCUUAAUUUCUUGUAAAGCCCCUUAAUUCAACCUUUGGUUAUUUAAUCCCUUAGAGUGAAGGAUCUAUGAUCAACAACGAAGUUGAAAAGAGUGAAAACUACAGCAAAUAUCCAAGCAAGAUAGGUAAGGCAGAGAGUUUGUCGUUGGAUUGAAAAUCAAUUUGGAAACAAUUAACAAUUUCAACAUUCAACAUUCAUUGCAAUCACAUAAUAUUUUCUCUAGCAUUUCCAUGGUAUGUGUAAGCAUGUAUACAACCAUCGGCUCAUUAGCUUAUGUGCACUCUCACACCGCACAUAGUUAGAAUCACCUGUCAUCAUCGGCAUGUGCACUCCCACACCACACACGCGCGGUUAGAAUUAUCACACAAUAUUAUUAUUCAAAGCAUAACAUAUAUAUCUUCAGAAUAUAGGAACUCAUGGGUUCAUCACAUUACACAUUUUACAACAUAAAACGUUUCAUCAAAGGUUUGUUCCCAAGCAUGAUUUAGAGAAAAAAAAGUCAAAUAUAAUCAUUUAAGUGCUUCAUCUCAACACAUAUGUAUUUCUCAGAAAUAAUUUAAUGCAAGUUCACUCACUUGUCCUUGUUGAUUGUUUUGAUCGACUAUAACUUCAACUAAUUCUCCAAAUGGACAUGUGGAGCCUCGCUGGAACCUAUCACACACAAUAUAACCAUAAAAAAUAUAACAGCCCACAAAUCUAAUUAUUAGCCAUCUUUAACAACUUAAAAUCAAUCCUAACACAUUUCUCACCUUGGUGGACUUGUAGUUGAAUUUUCUUAGUGAGGAUUAAAAGGGGAAAACUCCUUCAAGAGUUUUCAAGCUAAUUUGAAGUGUUUCCCUCUCUAAAAAAUGUUCAGUAGUGAAAGAAAGUACAAAGAAAAAACACUUUUUUUGAGGGUUUUUAAGGUGAAAAAGUGAAAGAGAAUGAAAAACCCUAUGAAAAAGUGUGCAAAAACAUGAAUUUUGAAGUUAGUAUGUGAAGGCUAUGGAGGUUUUAAGGUUUCUUUCCAUGGAGGAUGAAAAGUUCUGCAAAAAUGAGAGAAGAAAUGAGAGGAAGAUGAAGAAGGUGCUGGAACUUUAUAUAUUUAUCUCUAAAGUCAAUCAAAAUUUCACAUAAUUUAUAAAAAUGCCCUUUUUGUUCUUCUGGUGCAGUACCUUCAUUUUGACAAAGAUUUUGACCACUUUACUAUCAGAACUGGGCAAAGUAGAAAACAUCAAAGUUGUAGCCCUACCUCUUAGCUUUCUAAUGGUAUAAAAAUUAUGUCAUUUGGACUUCUUUAGUGGGAUAUAAUCUUGAAAAACCAAAAUAUAUGCAAAUAAAGCAAUAGUUCAUUAUGCACCUUUCUUCACCAAUUGAAAUUAUUUUUGAUCCUACUCCUAUAAAAACAUAAAAUAAUUAUAAAUAACAUAAAACUAACAUCAUUAACUUAAAAUAAACAUUUAAAUAUAAAUUAAACUAAACUAAUAAAAUAAAUAAAAAUACCUAAAUUAUAUCCUAAAUCUAGUCCAACUUAGACUAAUUAGGUAUUUAAUCUUCCAUUAAAUAUGUGAAUUUGAUGCACUCAUCAGUCUACCUCAAGUCACGCAUCUAUGGAGGUCGAGGUUUCACACAUGGUUACGAAAAACUCUUCCCUUUGGCCUGUCCCCUUCUCCAUAUCCAUUCACAAAGUCUUUGUGACUCACACGUUAUUUUUCGUCACUAUUUUCGUUAUGGAUUAAUGAUAGUAUUUUGUAGUAGCUAGUGUCAUGGAUACAAGUGUCUAGUUUUCAUCCUGUGUUAGAUGUCUAAUAGCCACUUGAUGCCUAGAGGGUCGGUCAUGUUUUGUUGAUGAGUCAGUCUUAUCUUUAUGUUUAUGUUUACGAAUUAUGAACAUGUUAUGAUAAUGCAACCAAUGUUUAGGCACUUUACAUUAUGAAUUUUAUGAUUAAAUGUAUAGAGCUGGUUGGAGAGCCUAAAUGGACAGUUGAGGGCGUUAAUAAAUGUUCAUAUGAUACUGUGCACUGAGAUAGUGACACUUUAAUGUUUUAUUAGAUGUUUCCACAUACAUUGCUUAUAUUGAGAGGUUCUUUAACUGUGUAUGAUGCCUAUGAAUGCAUACUUGUUAUAACAAUGUAUGCUUAUGAAACUUUAUAUAUGCUUUCGAAAUGAUGAAUAUUAAAGAGGCUUACUUAAGCUUAGUGGGCUAUACCCGUCUAGGCCUAUGCACUGGUGAUAUCCCAUCGUAAAAUGGGAUGUGACAAAGUUGGUAUCAAAGCUUUAGGUUCAUAGAGUCCUAGGUUUUCCUUGGUUGUCAACGGAAUGUUUAGAGCCGUAUGUAGGAAUCUUGUUUUUGUUUUAUGUACCUAGGCACAAAUUGAAAAUGGGAGACCUACAUAUAACUCCUUGUUUUUUGACCUACUUUAUGCUUAAGAGUUAUGUCUAGAAUUACUAUGAGUUUAUAGAUUUGAGUCUUACAGUAUAUGAUUGUUGUUGUCUAAAUGAGAUAUGUCGCCUAGGACACGAGCUAGUGGUAAAGAUGCGACAGAGCACGAGGCUCCCGUGGAGACUACUAAUAGACCACAUACACCUACUACUAGAGACCAUGGUAGACGUGACAAGGCUGCCAAUUCGGGGAAGAUAGACAGCCCUGCUUGUAGCUCCCCUGCUUGCUUUUGUUGUUGUUGGUGUUGCUUGAUGCUAGUGCUUUUAUUCAUUCCCCUCAUAACUUAGUUAUAAUACUAAAUAUUUGCGCAAACUUAAAAGUACGAUUUAAAUUGAAAAUUGUUGCAACAUAGCUUAGAAAAAAGUCUCAAUAUGCUUUUGCAGAACUUGCUUAUUCUUGCUUACAAUAUCAAUUCUAUAGCGGAUAAUAAAAGAUAAAAGGUAACUAAAAUUUGUUUAACACAGUUUACUCACUAGGCAAAGGAUGGUAAGGAAUGGGAAUUAAGAAGAGAUCAUUCUUUCUUCUUACAGAUAGGCCAAAACAUUCAGUCAUGUCCAAGUCUUCACAUUUGCUUCCAUUUGGGAGCAUCCAAUCAAAAUGGUAUAGCAAUUGUGCAAGGGGUAGCUCAAUGUUGGGGAGUGCAAAUGAUAUGCCUGGACAUAUCCUCCUUCCAGCACCGAAUGGAAUAUAUUCGAAAUUUGUUCCCCUAAAAUCAAUAGAACCGUCCAAGAACCUAUCUGGGUUAAAUUUUUCAGCAUCUUUCCAAUACCUAGAAUCUCUUCCUAUGGCCCAUGCAUUAACAAUGACUUUAGUCUUUGCAAGUAUAUCAUAUCCACUGAUUACACACUUUUCAUCACACUCUCUUGGUACUAGAAGAGGUGCAGCAGGAUGUAACCUCAAGGUUUCUUUAACUAUUAAUCUCAAGAAUUUCAAUUCAUGAAUACCAGCUUCAUCCACGUUACCUUUUCUAUCAAAAACCUGUCUCACCUCGGCUUGUGCUUGUUUCAUCACCUUUGGAUUUUUUAGCAUUUCUGACAUUGCCCACUCCAUUGUUGUUGAUGAUGUCUCACUCCCAGCCGCCAGAAUGUCCUACAAGAUGAUACAUUAUCAUUAGUUUUUUGCUGUUUAUGUUUUCACGAAUUUUAUAUAAACAUAUUGUAAUUUUCUGAUAGAAACUUAAUUUGAGUUUGAAUGGACAGAUUGUCAACUUCGCUUCAUUGUGCAUACAAUUUUUUAUAAGCCAAAAGUAUUUCAUUAAAGAUGGGUUACUUUAAUUCCGUAACCCUUCAAAAGUUUACAUGUCAGCCUGUACAAAUCACCCUUGUCACCAUGGGCUCCGCACUAUAAACCUAUAUUCUUCCUUCAAGAAAACAAACGCCACAACCCUAAUCAAGCCCAUAUACAGCCGCACUCAUCAGCUCAGAGCAUUGCAAAAACAUGUUAAGCUCAUUGUCCAUACAAUUUAAAAGAUGAUUUUACUUCUGUCCAUAUACGUAAUUGUUCUGAGUGGUGCAUCACCGUUAAUUUAUAUACUAUAAAAGAUAAUUCAACAAAAAUAAAUAAACAUUUCAAGUCAUCAAAUUUGUUUUUAGAUAGCUUUUCAAAAAGCAAAAAAAGGUUUGUUCUUAGAAAGCUUAUGGCUACUAAAGAAGUUAUGAUAGAAGUUGAUCUGUAGAUACAUGAGAGAAAAUGAUACUAACCAAGAUAAUUGCUUUUAUUUUGUCAUUCGUCAGAGGAAUUUCAAGGUCAGAACUCUGUUGAAGUUUAAGAAGAACUUCAAGAAGAUCUUCCUCUCCUUGUUGCUUGCCCAUUUCUGAUGUACUGUUUGUUUUCUCUUUGUGCUCGUUAACUAUGUCUUCAAGUAUCCGAUCAGAAGCCCGUUGCAAUUUCUCAAGUUUAAGCCUUACGCCACUGAUCAGUUUAAGCAGCUCAUUAGAAGGAUACAUAUCAGCUAAGCAGAAACCACCUGCGAGCUUUGUAGUUUCUGUUAUGAUCCUUAUGAAUUCUUCUUGGCCUUUGCUUUUCUUGCCAAAGGCUGCCCUUGAUGUUAUCCCAUAUGUCAUUGAGAAAAUUUUCUCGCUGAGAUUAAUUGGGGAUCCUUCAUUCAAAGAUAUGGUUUUGAUGAGAGCAGAAACUUCUUCUUCCCUGAUGAAUUGAAAUGACUGAACGCGACUUGGACUCAAAAGCUCCAUCGUGCUGAUUUUCCUCAACUGUUUCCAAUAGUUUCCAUAGGGUGAAAAUAUAAUGCCUACAGAAUCAUAUGACAUUAUCCUAGAAGCAAGAAGAUAAGGCCUUUGAGCAAAGGUGGUUGCGUGGUCUUUCAAAACCUCUUUUGCAAUUUCCGGAGAAGAUAUUACAAUGCUGGGAACUUCACCAAGUUGUAGAUGCAUCAAAGGUCCAUGUUUCUUGGCCAAAUCUCUGAGGGUGUGAUGGGGCAGAGAGCUUAUGAGCUGAUGCAGGUUACCUAUGAAAGGAAGUUUUCGUGGUCCUGGAGGAAGCCUUGCUGGGGGGUUGUUGGCUUUCGAUCUUUUCAGAACUUUUAGUACCAUGAACACGAAAAGAGAGGUGAGGAGUAGGGCGGUGAAGGAAGGAAAUUGAAGCUCCAUGAUGCUCAAGGAAAACAGAAGAAAUGCCACUUUUUUUUUCACCCCCCUUGGAAAGAAAGACAAAGAUGCAAGUUUCUCUCUCCUUAGCUAGCUAGAGAAAAGGCCUUCUCUUAGUAGCUCUGAAUUAUAAUAUUUAUGUGGAUACCAUUUAUAUUUAUAGCUAUAUGAUGGAUAUAAUAUAUAUUUAGUUUUUAAGUAUAUAUUUAUUAUGUUUAUUAUACCAUUUACUCUUUGUAGAAUUAUAUAAUUAUCUAAAUAUUUAAUAUUUAAGUAAGUUUUUAAUAAAUUUGUUAUAAAUUGAGUUUAAUAUAUGUUUAUUUUCAAUAUAACUUCUCAUGUACAAAGCACUAUACGGACGUCAGUUUCAUGGAAAGAACAAAGAUUUCAAAUAUAACCAAACUUGCAGCGUACAAGUCGGAGACAAGAGGAAUCUGAAAUGCUUCUUCAAAAUGCAUUGUAUCAGCUAUGUUCAUGCAAUGGCUCCUCUUCACUAGCUUUCCAGCUCACUAUCAAAUUAUUUUAAAAAUAUGAAUCCUUGGGAUUCCUUUUCACACGUUGAUGCCAGCCAAGUUGCUGCUGCAGGAGAUCUGUCGACAUUGUUUCAUGAAAUAAGAAAAAGCAACAAUUAAUCGUUUGCACGUGUGCAUAGGCAUAGAUUAUUCGUUUCCAUUAUCAGUAAAGGUUUUUUUUUUUAAAUAGUACAUUAUCUUUCAUGUCAUUCGAUUUUUCAAAAUUUUUAUUUUAAUCAUUCAACUUUGAAAAAUAUAAUUUUGAUAAUAAAUAUUUAUAAACAUUUGGUUAUUCAAUUGCUAAAAGAUAACAAACUUAGCUUUCUCUUGAUAGUAAGUUACAUAUUCAUAUCAACUACUUUGUCAUCUGUCCAUGCGUAAUAAAAAAUUAUAGCUUACUAAUAGAAAAUUAAAAUAAAGAAAAAAUAAAAACAAAUACAAAUAAAAAAUUAUAUUAAUAAUUUAUUAAUAAAUUGUUAAUAUUUAUAUUUUUAAUGAAAAUAAAAAUUAAAAGAUUAAAAAUAGAAAUAAAAUAAAGAAACAAUAAAAAAAUUAAAAUAAAAAAUCAUAUUAGUAAUUUAAUAAUAAAUUUGUAAUAUUUUAAUAUUUAAUGAAAAUAAAAAGUAAAAAAUAUUAUUGAGUUAUAGAAAUAAAUAAUUUUUUCUAAUUUAUUAAUUUAUAAUAAAGGAAACUUUUUGUUUUGAUGAAAAUAAAUUUUAUUAUAAUAAAAGAUAAUUUGACCAUUUUAUUAUUUAUUCUUCAAAAAUAAGUCAUAAUAAUAAGGCUAAAAUUUUUUUUUAGCCCUCAAGUAUAAGUUGUUUUUAGAAAUAGCCCUCAUCUUAAUUUUAACUGUUUUUAGCCAAGAGAUAAAAUUUUGGGAUAAAAAUACCCUUAAUGAGACUUCUUCAUUGAACUAUAUUUGAUGGCAUGUUUAAAAAUUUCCCACGUAACACACCAUGGUGAGAAUUUGUGACAUGCCAUGGAAGAAAUAUGCAACACGCCAUAGAAGGAAUAUGUGACACGACACUGAGGGAGUAUGUGACACGACACUGAGGGAGUAUGUGACACGCCAUGGUGAGAAUAUGUGACACGACAUGAAGGGAAUAUGUGACACACCAUGGAGAGAAUGUGUGACACGCCAUGGUUAGAAUAUGUGACACGCCAUGGUUAGAAUAUGUGACACGCCAUGUUGAGAAUAGGUGACACACCAUGGUGAGAAUAUGUGACACGACAUGGUGAGAAUAUGUGAGACGACAUGGUGAGAAUGUGUGACACGCCAUGGAAGGAAUAUGUGAGACAACAUGGUGAGAAUAUGUGAGACGACAUUGUGAGAAUAUAUGACACGCCACGUUGAGAAUAUGUGACAUGCCAUAAGGAGAAUAUGUGACGCCAUAAAGGGAAUAUGUGAGACGACAUGGUGAGAAUAUGUGACACCCCAUAGAGGGAAUAUGUGACAUGACAUGGGGGAAUAUGUGACAUGAUAUGCUGAGAUUAUGUGAAACUACUAAUAACUCUAUUAUAUAGAGUUAUUUUGACACAUUUUGAGGGCUUAAGUAGUUAUACUUUCGAGAUUUGAUGUUUGAAUUUUUACAUUUUAGGUGUUUUUUUAGUUUACGUUUGAUUACUUAUUGAGUGGUUAAUUUAAAUUAUUUUACUUUAAUUUUAUAUUAUUUUGUUUUAAAUUACUUUAAGAGUAGUAUUGCUAAUUUCUCUUAUUGCUUUUGUAAGAAAUUUGAUGAAAAUCCUCGUAAGUAUGUUGAUGGCUUCAUUCGUAUAUGUUGCGGUAUUUUGACUAUAUCUUUUUUUACAAAACUCCAAAAUGAAGUAAUUCUUAGACCAUUAGAACGCUAAGAAGAAGGGAUACAACUUUUAUGUUUACCACUUUACCCAGUUCUGGUCAGAUGAUGACAACAAUAUUUGUCUAAAUCAGAGCACUAUAAUAGUAUGCAUGUACUAAAUAUGAUGCAAGCAUAUAUUUCAACCCUAAAGUACAAUUGACGUGAUUCUUAAGCCAUUGGAAAGAUAAAAGAUAGGGCUACAACUUUUAUGUUUGCAAUAUUUCCAAGUUCAGACCAGAUCAUGGUGAACAUCACGUUCAAAUUUGAUAGACUGCCACAAUACUGGAAAACAUGGCCAUGGUGCUGAGCUAAAAUAGCUCACCAUGCAUUUUCCUAAGAGCUCAAAGCCAUAGCGCUAAAGAAGCAGCACCGUGAUGCUACUGUAGCAAACAUGUAGCACCUCAGUGCCAAAAAAUUCAGGCCACAGCGUUGGGAGAUUUUCCAAAAAUAAAAGUUUGAUAGGAUUUUGGAAAUUAGGUUACUUGGAGCCUAUUUAAGGGACCUUUUUUAGAGAAAAGGGAAGGCAGCAAGCAACUAUUCUGGAGAUUUUGAGCCAAGAACAAAGCAAGAAAACAAGAGAAUUUGAUAGAGAAUUAAGAUUGCAAAGAAGCUUUUAUAAUUAGUUUCUUUCUCUACUUUUGUGCUUUUUUAAUUUUCUUUGACUUGAAUUAAUGGCUAAAUUUCUUUGGAUAUUGUUUUUAUUACUUAUUAUGAGCUAAAUUAUCUUUCUAGGAUUGUGGUGGAUUUUUACAUGUGGUUUGAAUAUUAGUUUCUCUUGUAUUUAUCAUCAACAUGUGUAGUUUUGCUUAUUUAAAUCUGUUCUUAAUAUUUUCGAUUGUCUGGCAAACAAUUAACUGAUUUGUUAAUCUAAUUGAGACUUAACAAAGAGAUUUUAGAUUGGACUAAGAUUUGAAUAGUGUAUGUUCAUGUCACUUAGGUGAUUUGAUUCGCGAUUUGAGUAAACAUACACUAAUUGCCAUACAUAGCUAAAUUAGAACGCUAGCUUAAUGAACCUUAUUUAAUUGAUUCCUAUAGACAUAUAGUGAACUAAUUAAGUUAGGUAUUUGUACAAGCAACUCGAUGGAGACUUGUCCAUAGCUUUGCAUUAUAGGUUAGUAAAACCACCCAAAAAAGAUAAAUAAUAAGAAAAGCUGGUAUCAGAUGAAAUGUUGAAUGAACCCAUAAUCCUAGGUCUUUAAUAUACUACUUUUGUCAACUUAUUUAGUUUAUUAGUUUAUUUAGUGUUGAUUUUUAAUUGUUCUUAAUUAGUUUUUCUUCGAUUUUCGGAUUGCUUAAAUAAGAUUAAUUUAUUUUAUAAUUUUAGUACUUAGUGAAACUUUAGAAACAAAUCCUCAUGGGAACGAUACUCUACUUCAUCACUAUAUUACUUGUUAGAUACAUGUGCAAAAUCGACAACAACGACAUGGAAGAAAUAUGUGACACGACAUGGAGGGUUUAUGUGACACACCAUGGAUGGAAUAUGUGACACCGCUUAAAUUUAAAUGGAAAAAAAUUGCAAACAAAUAAGGAAACCGUUCGAAAUUCCACGACAUGCAUAUUAGUGGUUGAGGUGUUUAAAAUGCCAUCACAUUUUAUUUUCAUCAUUUGCAAAUGAUAGUGUCAAGUAAGAGUUUUUGAUUCAUUCUUCAUUCCUAAAGGGACCAGAGUGUUCGACUUCGUUCUGAGCAAAGUCAACGAUAUCACAGCAACAAUGUCGGUUAUGCGUGAAGAGAUCAGUUAAUCAUCAAUUAAAAUUUUCUUUUGUUUUGUGUUUUUUUGCUAGGUUGCUCUAGGAAAUGUUUGGGUUUAUGAUUAUGCUAUGAUAUAUUUUUCCUGUUUUCUUCGUGUUUUUAAGGUUUUUGCCUAAAUUAUGAAGAAAACUACAGCAUUUUUACUUACAUGGUUUAAGGUGGUACUAACAUUUUAGUGGGUCUGCAUAACGUGUAACAAGAAUAAAUUUCUUCGAUCUGGUGUGUAGUGGGUUAACUGCUUUUGUGUCUAGCUUAGCAUUACUUGCAUGGCAUGUAGUAUGUAAAUUGCAUAGUAGGCAUAUUCCCUAGUGUGCAACAAUAUGGGUAUUUUAUUAAUGGCGUGUAACAAAUAAGUAAUUAUACUUGGCGUGUAAGAACAAAAAAAUUGCAUGUUACAACAUUUUACUUGGUCUGAAUAGUGUGUAACAGCAAUAAAUUUCUUCAAUCUAACAUGUAGUGGGUUAAAUGUUUUUGGGGUUUAGGGUAGCAUUACAUGUAUGGCGUGUAGUAUGUAAAUAGCAUAGUCAGCAUGGCAUGGCAUGUAACAACAUAAGUAUUUUGUUCAUGGUGUGUAACAAAUCAAUAAUUAUAGUUGGCGUGUAAUAACAUAUAGGCAUGGUGUGUAACAACAUUUUACUUGGCUUGUUCAGUGUGUAACAACAAUAAAUUUCUUUUAUCUGGCAUGUUGCACAUUAUGGGUUAACUGUUUUUGGGGUCUAUCUUACAUGUGCAUGGGUGCUAUGUUUUGCAAAUGGAGUUCAGAGAGUAUGAUAACCUUGACACUUUGCUUGUUGUGCCGAGGGAGAAAUGGGCCUUCAAGGUCUCCAUUAACGCCCAUUGUAAGUGGUCAGAACUGCAUUACAUAAACAAGAUGCUCCAAGAGAAAGGGAGUACGAAGCAGUCAAGCGUACGUGCUUCGGUCUGCUGCUGGAUAUCUAUCCACAAGGCUACUUUUGCAUUAGUCUGAUACAGAACAUCAUGGUUUGUUGAAUCAUUGAAACCGAGUCAAUAGACCAUGAGUUAUAGUUAUGGUUUGCCAUUGGCAAGAGCAUGGUGCGUUUAUCAAAGCAGCAGUUCUGCCUUAUAACCAGACUGAAGUUUAGCUCACUGCCUAAUAUAUUCAUACAACCAUACGAGGUCACUCCCGAUGAAAUUCAUGCAAAAUACUAGAAUGGGUAGUAGAAUGUUAAGUUGUAGGAGUUGUUUGAUAUGUUCUGAGGAGGCAAGUUUCAACAACCAGGAGAUACAACCAAAAUGGCACUCGUCUUGAUCGUGAAUAAUAUUUUAUUUAGUCAAGACUAUCAAAGAUGGGGUGACACCUUAGCUUUUGGCAUUGGUAGAGGACAUGGACAUUUGGAAUGUUUUCCCCUAGGGUUUAGAGGCUAACUGAGGACUACCUAUUGAAGGGGUUCGAAGUUCCUACCACAAACUUGCAGAAGGAUAAUCGUUUAUGCUACAACCUUUAUGGAUUUGCUAGGACAUACAGGUACUGUCAUGUAGCAUUUUCUAGUUUCCUUUUGAUAUAAAAAUUUAUGGUGGCAGUCGUUUAUCAUUUACGAUAUGAUAAUGGUUGUAAUUAACUUGCAGUUCUGGGCAAUGGAGGCGAUUCCUACUUUAUGAAAAUCAAUUACCCCCUCCAUUCGAAAAGACGUCUUCUACCCAUGCAUGUGUAGAUGGUAAUGCAAUCAGAAGUCGAAGGACUUCUACAAGGCAAUUGAGAAGUUGGAGUCAUCUCAAUAGGUUAGGAAACAACUACUAAUUUGUCCGGUGAAUCUCUAAACUAUUAAGGGUUAUAAUGCAAUGCAUGUAUUUUGCAAUUGCGGGCACAAUGAACCUCGGAGCCCACACUAGAGGAGGCCACACAGGAAUAUCUGUUGGACAUCGAUGCCCCUCUAUUUGAGGGGCUCUAAUAUGUACCAAUAGGGCAGAUGGAGGAUCGAGCAAAAUGAGGUAUUGAUGCGAGAAUAAGGAAGAAAAACUUGAAUGUGAAAAAAGUCGCUGGUCUAGUUAAGCGGAGGUGCACUAUUGCUUCUGGAAAUGAGGAGCACUCAUGUGAGAUCUCGACCUCUAUAGACUCAUAAUUAGAAGUAGACGUAAUAAUACAGACUAAGGGUAAUUUCGUCAUUUCCUCUAACAAGCUCCUAGAAGAAGGUUUUCUAAUAUUUUAAGCUCUAAGUGGGCAUAAGGACUGAAUGAAUGAUGUAUAAUGAUGAAAACAUGAAGAAAACUAGAAGCGAUAAUAAUUUUCAUAAUAGGGGCAAAAUGGUCAUUUUGCACCCCGAGUCAAAGAUUUUAAGUUUUGUGAACUCGAGUACUUUUAGACUAUUAUGGACCUUGUCUCAGUAUCAAAAGAGUAAAAAAAUUGCACAAAGGAUUGGAGGAGAACAAGUUAACUUGCUAAGGGCAUUUUCGUAAUUUAAGUGGAGUUGGAUAAGCUUGAGCUGUAAAAUCAUCUUCCAACAGCUUCUUAUCAUAUUUCCAGCAGCUUUUUCUUCUUCUUCUUCCUCUUAUCUCACGUUGCUUUCAUCCUCUAUGGAACCUUGAUAUGAAACCACCAUAACCUCUCUCAAAAUAGCUCCAAUUUUCAAGCUUUUGUGCACUUUUGCAUAGAACCCUUGUGCUCUUUCACUCUCUCACUUUAAAACCCUUGAAAAAUCUUACUUCCAUACUUUCUCUCACUAACUAGGUGUUUAGAAAGAGAAAAAGGGAGCUUCAUAAUAGCUUGGAAAAUUAUUGGAAAGAAUUUCAAAUUUACAAGCUAUCAAGGUGAGUAGUAAAUUAGAGUUGAAUUUUAAGUCUUGAGAAUGGCUACAGAUUAGACUUAUGAAUGUUUUGUAGUUGAGGUCGUUCAUUCAUUUUAGAGUGAUUAGGAUAGUGAAAAUAGAUAGCCACUUAGAUGGCAAUUGGAAGCUAGUUAAGAGAUAGCUUUUAGAAUUUAUAAGUAUUGGAAUUGACUUAAUUGUGAUGCUAAUGUGAUGAUAGGUUCCAACAAAGCCCCAUCUCCCCAUUUGGACCAUUAGGGAAGUUAGAGUCGACUAAAGAUUCAACAUAAUACCGGUGAGUGAACUUGCAUUAAAAAGGUUUUGGGAUAUGUAUACAAGUAUGUUUGACUGAAUCCCUAAAGCGUUUUAAUUAUUUUGUCUUCAAAACUGGCACGGGAACAAGCCCUUAUGAAAUGUUUUUAUGAUAUGAAAUGGAUUGUGUGAUGAAUCCGUAUGUGUCUGUGUAAUGUUGAUAUAUAUAUACUAUGUCAUAAAUGGUACCAUUGUGUGACAAAUGAAACCGCGCAUGUGCGGGGUGAGUGUGCACCUGCAGGUGAUGACGGUGGUGAGGGAGAUGGAUAGUGAUAGUGCCCGUGUGCACGAUGUGGGGGGAUGCACAUGAUGGCACUAACUGUGCACGAUGUGGGGGGAUGCAUACGAUGACUCUGACUAUGUGCACGAUGUGGGGGGAUGCACAUGAGUUGGGUGAAACGAUGGUGGUAUUGGUGUUUAUCUAUGUAUAUAUGUAUAUAUAUGUUUAUGAAAUAAAAGCUCAUGAAUAUGGUAUAUGGUUGUAAUGCAUGUGAAAAUUUGACAUGUUGAACUUUGGAAAUUUUAAGUGUUUCACGUUGAUUUUGUCAUUUCAGCAGGAUGGCCUUCUUCUUGAGAGAAUGGAAACUUUUCUUUGGUGCCUUGUUUCUCGUUGCAGCGAGAAUGAUUCUCGCUAUAGCGAGAAACUCUCGGGUUUGAGAGGUUUGUUUGACCUGGUUCUCAUUGUAGAGAGAAUGCAUUCUCGCUACUGUAAGAAAUUUGUUGGAGCUUCUCACUGUAGCGAGAUUCAUUCUCGCUACAGCGAGAAACUUUCUGUUUUGGUCGCUUGAAUCUCGCUGCAAAGAGAAAGAAUCUCGCUGCAGUGAGAAACUUUCUGUCCAAUAUGCUAUCUUGCUGGUUUUUGUCAUAUUUUUUCAUUUCAUUUACAUCAUAGUUGUUCAUGGACUCCCAACAUUUAGAGGUUUAUCUAAUUAAGUUUGAAAUGAGGAAUUUUAGAGAGAAACCCUCGGCCAGUGGAGAAACCCUCAUCCAGCUAAUAACUUGAGCCAAAAAUUUUGCUGCAGCUAGAAUGCCUUUCCACUGCAGCGAGGACCCGUUAUUUCAUUUGACUUGCUUGUAUAUCACUGAAGCUUUCAUUCUUCGAAUUUUUGUUAUGUAUGGAUUCAUCAUUAUCAAGUGAUUAACCAUUUAAGGGUUUAAUGAGGGGUUUUAAUAAGAACCAAACUAAAUUGCAUUGUUUUGAAAACAAAUGCAUCAUGAUUUCUUUAAAGUUUCCUUCUCGUUUGCUUGUUCCCUUAUAAUGUUCACUCUCUGAGUUUGUACUCACCGUUUUCAACUUCAUGUUUUCAGAUUAGGAGGCAGUAGGUAACUAGGUCGAGGAGUGUUCGUAGAUUCGACUCUUGGUAGGCGUGCCGGCAUUUAGUAGCUGUACUUUCACCGAAGUCUCUUCGCUGGAAGUCGAGUACUCUUUUGUUGUGUAUAGACAAAACCAAUGUAAAUUAUUAAAAUAUAUGUUUUAAACAAUAUAUGUAUAUUUUGAUUAGUAUGCCACUACGAGUUGGCAAUGGUUAGCGUUAUUUUGCUUCGAAGUUAUGAAAUGUGACUUAGCAACUUUUGAUGGAAUGACGAACAGGUCAUAUUAAUAGGCUUGCUUGGGCUUAGUGGACUACGUCCAUUGCACCCAUGCACCGGUCAUGGCUCAAAAUUUGGGUCAUGACAACUUAGACCCUGAGUUGAUGAAGGAAGGGGAUGACCAUGGCAAUGUGAGUGAAUGACAUUCUUCCCACACCGAUGAGUAGACCCAUACACAUUGACCUCCUCAAUGAUCGAUAGGACGUUUUCAGACGCAUAGUUGCUUUGAUCUGCUGGUAAAGACGGUUUUUGUGGCAUACGAUUAAAAAUUCCAUAUUUGAUUAUUGAAUAACACAGUAAUAUUUGUUAUUGUAGUUGAGCAAGGUGAGGAAAGACAAUGACGGUGUAGUCACAGUCUGUCAGUUGCGACAGGUUGUGAGGAUGCAUAGUGAGACAUGUUGGAGAUGAAGGGUUCUAUUUAGUCAUUGAAGUACGUAAUGCAGACAUUUGAGGACCAUAUUGUUGGUCAGAUUCUUGACAACAUUAAAUUACAAGUCUAUUCUUCUAACUUUGUUCAUAUAUUGAUGGUUUACGUUUAGCAGGCUUAGGCCUAUUGUUUAUUUUGGGUUUAGGGUUUAACGUAUGCUAUGAGUUAAUGGAUUUUUUCAUUUGUCUCUUUCUCUAGGGUGGUGUUUCCUCUCACCAUGAUGGUUCACAGCACGAUUAUGCUAAUGAUGGGCAAGAUGAUGAACUUGGUGUUGGGGUUCGAGACAUUGACCAUGACGUGGUGGGUGCUGAAGUUGACAAUGUACCUCACGUCGAUGAGGUUGUCAAUGAAGCUAUGGAAGGGGAUGGGAAAUUUCAAACAGUUGAUGCUAAAGGAGAACAUGUACCUCAUGCUUAUGCAGUUGUUGAUGAAGUUGUGGGAGGUUAUGUGAACCUUUAAAUAGUUGAUGCUGAAGGAGACCAUGUACCUUAUGCCAAUGCGAUUACUGAUGAAGCCGUAGAAAUGGAUGGGAACCUUCAAUCAGUUGAUGUUGAAAUAGACCAUGUACCUCAAAGCACUCCUGAAGGCAACAUGUCACGGUCAUCGUCACUAGAUUUCUCUUAUGUCCAGUAUUGUGAAUCAUUAAUUUCAAACCCAUCUGAAUGGGCACUGGGACACAAUGGCCAACAAACACAUCGCAAGCCCGUACGUUGACCCGUUGGUGAACCACUAGGAUGUCAAGAACUCGAUGGUGGAAGCAUACAAAGCAUUCAAGAAAGACAAGCAUGCAAGGUAAGCUCAGAAAUAACAUUGCAAAUACUAUUUAUUUUGAAAUUUUAAUUCACCCAACCGUUUGAAUCUGGUAUGUUGCAUGUGCAAGCGUAACGUCGGGAUCUUAAGGGAUCAAGGGCCUAAGUUUUUCAUGUCAUUAGAGGGCCUUGAAGAGAACAUGACAAGUGAAUAAAUUGACGCAUGCCUCAGUGUACUGUGCAAGUGACUUACAUGGUAGAAGUUCAAGUUGUACAACACCUUGUGUAUGCAUGGUUGAUACGAUAUUCGUCGUAAGUUUGUUUGAGCAGUUUUCAAUUUUGAAACUAUGUGUGUGUUUGGGACUACAUGACGUGUAAGUUGAUGUAAAUAUAUUUCACAAGACACCAUUUGUAUGCUAUACACCGUAUAUCCAACUGACCAUAAAUGGUCCAGUAUGAAAUUUCCAUUUGAGUUGCUUAUGUACGUGCAGGGUGACAAGCUAACAUAUGGGAAAAAAAUGGGAAAAUGUCAAUUUCAUCCUCGCUCCUUGUGAUGUGGGUGGGCACUGAGUUGUUGCGAAGAUUGACUUGAUGAAGUGGAGGAUCAAGGUAGUGGACUCCGUAAGAACUUCUGUCGUGAAGGAAACCAAAUUGCGUGUGACUCAAAUGACAUCCCUUACUACUAUGAUGCCUAUACUCUGCCACCAAUCUAGUUAUUUCAAGAAAAGAUGCCGCAAGAAAUAAGAUUUGUCGUUGAUUCUAUUUGAAAUUCAUUUGCCAAAAUCAUUAGUGCAUCGGCAAAAUGAUAGUGUAAGUUGCGGUAUGUUUACAGUAAGGUACAUUGAUGUUAUUUUGCAAUUGGGACCGAUCAGAGUUAGGCAAACAAUGAUUGCAAAUAUGUAGUUGAUAUACACUUAUGAAAUUUUUAGCAAAAGUUGUGAUAGCGAACCCCUCCCUGCACGAUGAACAUAUGGGAAGUUGUAUGUGCAUUUUUUGUACAUAUAUUAACUUUAAUAUACGUACAUUUAAUGCAUUAAUUUUUCAUUUCAAACAUAGUGCCUAUAAUGAUCGCAAGAUGAAAAUUAAUUGGUUGUUUUACCUUCAAGAAGUCAUUUGUUACUAUUGGUGUGUAACAAUAUAAGACUGUAAUGAAAUGGAGUGUCACAACAAGAUGUAAAUGACAUCUAACAAAGCAUGGCAUGCAACAAUAUAAUAUUUCAACAAUGCUGUGUUACAAGAUGUAAAUGACAUCCAAGAAGCCAGGCGUGUAACAAUAUAAGACUUUUGAAAUGGUGUGUCACAAUAAGAUGUAAACAACAUCUAACAAGCUUGGUGUGUAACAAUAUAAGACUUUUGAAAUGGUGUGUUACAAUAAGAUGUAAACGAUAUCUAAUAAGCCUAGCAUGUAACAAUAUAAGAUUGCAAUGAAAUGGUGUGUCACAACAAGAUGUAAACGACAUCUAACUAGCGUGGCGUGUAACAAUAUAAUACUUCAACAAAAUGCCAUGUCACAAGAUGUAAACGACAUCUAAGAAGCCUAGCAUGUAACAAUAAGAUGUAAAUGACAUUUCACAAGCAUGGCAUGUAACAAUAUAAUGCUGAAUGAAAUGGUGUGUCACAAGAUGUAAACGAUAUCUAAUAAGCCUAGCGUGUAACAAUAUAAGACUUUGAACUGGCGUGUCACACUGUAUGAGUAAAAUGAAAUGGUGUGUAAGAAGAUGUAACACCGUAUGAGUAAAAUGAAAUGGCAUGUAAGAACAUGUAAAUGACAUAUAACAAGCCAUGUACGUGUGAUCACAUUACAAUGAAAUCUAGAAAAUAUGAGAAGCAAUUGAGAAACAAAUAUUUUCAUUUCAUACCUCCAUACUUCUGACCAGAUACAAGAACAACAUUUUCUCUAGAUUUACCAUUACAAACUAGAAUAACAAGCUAGAAUAACAAGAUGUUGAAAUAUCAACUUAGUCCAUUAUUAGAUAACAAACACAAAACCAACACAAAAUAUCAAUGUAAGAAACUUUAAAAGGAAAUUAUGAGAAAGAUACUAGACAUGGCUCACACAGUUAGUUAGACCGACUCAUUGUCUUCAUCUACAAGACACCCUACGUUCUCAAACAUUGUUUUUUGUAUUGGAUAGGUGUUGAAUGUGUAACUGGUUUAUCUACAAGUUAAACAUGCUUUCAGUCAUCGUCUUCGUGGAGGUACCAAUGGACCUGAAGAUGGUGCUAGAUUUAUGGAUGGAACUGCAAAUGAGGAUGGGCAAUUUUAUCUAUUAUGCCCAUACCUCUAGCAUUGUGAACGUCUUCGUGAUCAACUACCUUUACCAGUCAAUGGAAUCCUUCUCCUCUUAGGUCUUCCCGCUUGACAUUGCCAAGGUGGUGGCAAAACGACGAUUUCUUUUAAAUGAGGGGGAAUGUCCUAAUCACUAAGAUGCCUAAUUGGUGAAUGGACCCAGCAUAACCCUUUGCUAAAAAGGUUAUCUUGUAGUAGUCUACGCAAAAUUCAAUGACUUCAUGUUUGCACUUACUAAAAAAUCCAAUGAACUCAAUGUUGAAGCACAAUGUAAAAGUUACGUUCAUUACUAAUCAAAUAACAAAUAAAGAUAUUCGUACUUUAUUGCCACAAUGGCAUGGCUACAUGGUAGUAGAUCUAUCUAGAACACCCAACAUGAACACGUUUUCAUAGACAAGUUUACAAGUCCAUCCAUUUUUUCGUCUUUAACUUUGGAAUCCACUUGAUUGAUUAGUUUAACUACAAAGUGAUGUGCAUCAUUGAAACAUUUGCUCAAUUGCUUGGUAGCCCAAGGGCUGAGGGGCAUGGUCACCUUGACAGCCUCCUUGUACCGAUCAUGGAACCAAUGCUAGAAUAUGUCUAUGAUGAACUUGAUCAGAACAAUGAUUGGCAUUUGUCUUGCAUGCUUCAAGCAAGAGUUAACGCAUUUUGCAAUGUUGGAUGUCAUGAGUUGGUAUUGCCUUGCCAGUGACCAUGCACAUCCCUAUCUCUCAAGGCUUAUUCUCAUAAGGUAAGCGUGGGCUCUUACGUGAACCUGCUUAAGUUGGUUCAUAUGUCUAUUGAAAUUGAAAACCUUAUAACAGUCUCGAGCAAGGGUGAAAUCACUAAAGCGUCAUCGUGUUUGAACUUGUCUUUAAAGUUUUUCUUAAAGUGGUAACUACAUAAAUAGUGGUGCAUUUCUGUGUAUGCUUUACGAAUUGCUUUUUUAAUCCUGAUAUGCUGAUUAGAAAUGAACAUAGUGUUUUUAGGACAACCAACUGUAUCAAGUAGGUUGCUAAGAAACCACAUCCACGAGUUUUCGUCCUCAACUCGAUCUAUGCCAAAUGCAACUAGACAUACGCACUCGUUCGCAUCUUUGCAUACAACGACAAACAAAACACCCUUGAACCUACGUUUCAUAUGUGUCACAUCAAUUGCAACUACAGGAUGCAUUACGCCCUUAAACCCCUCGAUACAAGCACCAUAUGAUCUAAACCAAUAUUUGAAUCAUUGUGCCUCAUCAAUAGCCACUGCAGUGAUUGUACUGAGAUUUUUUUGUUCCAGCAUAUAAAACUACGAGGGUAGUAGUUAAAAUGACUCCUCCGGGGGAUCAAAGAAACCUUUUUGCAUAUUCCUUUGCUUGCUAGGCCUUACCAUACAAGCAUUCCAAUACCCACCAAACCCUCAUCUCACCAAUUACGUCCUUAGGUCUCAAUGUUACUUCAUUAGCUUAAAGCUUGUGUGACAUAAGUUCAUUAAUUAUCUUCACACUCGCAGUUUAGAAUCGCCCUUGCAAACCAUCGACAGUCCAUGUGUGCACUUUAUGGAAUGUUCGAACUUGCCAAUAUUCUCCUUCAAGUAACCUCAUUGCACGCACACCAAACUUACAUGCGUUGCCCAUACAAGCAACCGUAAAACGAGCUUGACUUAACCUUUUUACUCUUAUCUCUAGAUGCUCUUUUAAUGCUAAUAUGUUCAAAACUCAUUUCAACUUGGUCUUAGAGGAAAACAUUCUUCUUGUGUAUAAUCAGUCUUCGGCAAAUAUUGAUUCUUUAGUGGUAAUGGUUUAGAUUGAGAACCUUUCUACACCUAAAAUAAGCCACGUCCUAGAUAUCCUUGCAUUUUCCCUUUCCUGAUAACUAUCAUCGGGCAACAUCUUAUGUGAACAAAUCCCGUUGUCACUAGAAAUGGUUUUAUUGUAUAUGGGGUCAUCGCAUUAAACAUCUCCUACAUCAACACCUCCAACAUGUUUUGUUUUGCCUUCAACAUUAUUGCAAUUUGGAAUGUAACUAUCUUAAAGCUAGUGAUCAUCUAAAUUGUCAUCAUGCCAGUCAUCAGGCUUGUCAUUUGAAUUGUCAUUAAAUCUAUCUUUAGCAGCACAAAACAAAUCCUCAUUAGCCUGAUUAAAUGCAGUAUUAUCCUUAAGCAUCGCAGUGUCAUCCUCAAGUAUUGCGGUUUUAUUUGAAAAUGGCAUUACACCCUUUACAGUUUCACCCGAUGGUUGCAUUUGUUGGACAGAAGCAAGUAAUUGGUUUGAUACACAUGCCGAUCGGAAUUGUUCAACCAACUAUUUUGUGAAUGUCGUAUGUCUAAUUGGCUGCACAAACUCAUGUGCAUACGUCGAUUGCCAUUGUUGUGGGUUAGGAACCAAAUGCUGUGGUAUAUGUGAAGCACUAUAAAUCUCAUUUUGAUUAAGGUAAUUACCAUGUUGGACAACUUCUUCAUGUGGCAUAACAUUUGUGUGGCAUUUCUUAAUGGUGACGUACACUGCCGAAAGAUUCGUCUGCUCUAGCAAAAUUAAUGCAACAUUCUCCUCAUCCUUGAUAAUUGGGCGUGAUAGCUCUCCAAGUGUACUGAUUAAUGCAUGUAACUCAAUCUCCUAAAUCUGUGAGUUUACCCCAACAACAUCUUCAACCAACUUUAUCAAGCCCACAAAUGAUAAAUCAUUCCUAACUCCCCACAUUCGUGACUCACCACCCUUAUAAAUGCCAUCGACCCACUGACCAUCGUGUCUUAUCACAAAUCACACAAUUGGAAUGCCACUGAAAUUUGAAAAAAAAAAUGUUAGUCAAUUUACACAUUACAUGCCAUGUUCUAAAAUUUUGCUACAUGCCUUGUUGAAAACAUGUUUAUUACACGUUAUGUUGAAAAAGUUUUGUUAUAAACCAUGUUUUAAAAAAAAGGUUACAUGCCAUAUACUAAAACAUGUUAUUUCAAUAUAUUUUUUACAAGCCAUAUGCAUUAGAGAUGUUACUUGCAUGGCGUGCAACAUUUCUGGCAAAUGUUCUAAUGAUUUUGCUACACGCCAUGUUUACUACACCUUAUGUAUAGACAAAUUUUACUACUAGCCAUGUAAUAAAACAUGUUAUUUCAAUAUAUUUUUUACAAGCCAUAUGUAUUAAAGAUGUUACAUGUAUGGCAUACAACAACUCUGGCAAUGUUCUAAUGAUUUUGCUACACACCAUGUUUACUACACCUUAUGUACAAACAAAUUUUACUACCAACCAUGUAAUAAGACAUGUUAUUUGAAUACAUUUUUUACAUGCCAUGUGCAUUAGAAAUGUUACAUGCAUGUCGUGUAGCAACUUUAGGCAAUGUUCUAAUUUACACACAAAGUUUCAGAAAUUAAUGGGUUGUAGCAAUAAACCUAAUAGCAUAACUUGAUGUCAUCUCUUCUCUAGGAUCUAUAUAUUGAUGACGAUAUGGCGACAUGCCGAGAGAUAGACCAAAGCACGAUGAUGAUUGUUCUUAACAGAUAGUUGGCUGGCAAGAGAGAGCUAACAUAGCGAAGAGAGCUGAGAAAGUUGAGCAUUUAAUUUUUCUCUAUGGUGGGAGGGAGAUAUCAAAAGAUUAAUUUGCCAAAAAUGUAUUCAAGGGCAUUUUUGUCUACUCAUGCCAAAAUUAGGUAAAAGUAGUUAACUUCAUAUGGUAGGCUAUUUCUGAAAUCACCUUAUGAAAAGGGUUAUUUCUUACAAUUUUUUCUAAUAAUAAUUCCUAACCUAUUCCAUUUUAUAAAUUAAAUUACAUAAUAACUAUUCUAUUUUGUUCUUUUUUUUAUUUUAUUCUCACAAAAUAACUAUUCUAUUAUAUUUUGGAACCAGACAUGCCAUUACUUCCUUAUAAUCCAAAAUUCAUAAUAAAAUGUGUUUAAUUGGAGAGCCAUAAGGGCACUUCAGAAAGGUGAAGCCCAAGAUGCUGGAAUUAAUUUUAAGAGUUUUGUUUAUGACCCUUGUUUUGAUUUUUUGAUUUGAUUAAACAAUGUUAGCAAGAUUAAUGAAAACCUUAGAGAUCAGAUAAAAUUUAGAAAUUGAAACAAAACCAGAUGACAAACAUUCUGGAGCCAAAAAACUGGCCAAUAAGAUAGAAAAAAUGUUGAAGAUAUUGCUUGCAUGUACCCAAAUGGGCAAAAAGCCAAGUGGCAAACCACGAAAAGCAUGCACAUUAGUAUGUGUCUUUGACAAUGUUGAAGAACACUACAUGGGACUUUGCAUGCUUAUUUAUCAGUUAUGUUUAACACUUGUAAAUCUCUCCUUUAACAAGUGUUUACUAUGUGUUUAUUUAUGCCUUGUAUAUAUAUUGUUAAUGGUAAACGAAAAUCAUUGUGGCCUUUUCUAUUUGUUCAUCUUUGUUUAGAGAUAUAAAAUAGAGGCUACAUCACAACAACCAUAUACUCUCUUUCUCCCAAAAUUACAACAUGGUAUCAAAGCCUAAUUUGAGUUCUUAAGGGACCAAAACUUUGAAUAUCACCACAAAUCUUCCAAACAACAAGCCACCCUUUGAUCAUGGUAAAUAGUAGUAUCUUCUUUCAUCAAACAACAAUAUUAAAAAAGUUUAAGGUCUUGAAGAUGAAGGACAAUGAAACUUUGAAGGAUUGCAAAGAUGAGUUAAUGCAAAUAACAAAUCAGGUGAGAUUGUUGGGUGAGAAUAUUCUAGAAAAAAGUUUUAGGGAGAAGGUCUUUGGAAGUGCCAUAAGUGCAAAAUUCAAAGCCAAAGUCAAGUGUGAAACAACACCAAGAAAGGGACUUGAUGAGUCAUGGGACAAAGAAAAGAGAGACCAUCACCAUAACAAGUCUUAGUCCAAGAGUUUACCAAUGGGGACUUCUUGCAUAGCUAAUAUUCAAACCCCUUCAUGCAUUAGUUUUUGAAGUAUAACUCACUGAUAUAAUGGCCAAGUCAUUGAGCAAGUCAAAAUCUAAAUGUUAUAAGGAUAGAUUGAAGGUCCUCAAUGCAAACAUUAAGGGUGUCACGACCCGGAACUUCCAUCGAGCCUGUGACAACCACCGCGAUGUCCAGAUAGACAUUCAUUACUCGAAACGCCAAUCGAAACCUCACAAGGCUUAACAUCAGUUUUCUUGCUUCCCCUAUGAGUAUUAGUUACUAAAAUCAUGUUUUAAAGUGAUAUGAACCAAUUUCAAUUCAAAAAUAGUCAAAGAGAAGUUUCAACUACACAGGGGUAUUUUGGUCAUUUUUUCUAAAAAUUUCGAAACCAGCUAAAAUGUAGUAUAUGAGAGAAGUUUACACAUUUCAUAACAUAUUGGUCAUUUUUGAGGUACCCAAGUAAGCAAACAUGGAUUCUUAUGUAAGAAUGGCAUAAUAAACAUAUUGUAGAGCCGGGUUUGAUAGCACUACCCCCCUUAAAAUAAAAUUUUGACCUCAAAAUUUCAUUUACUGAACUCAGAGAAAAAGUGGGGGUAUUGUUUUCUCAUCUAAUGCUCGACUUCUUAUGUCCUCCCCUUUAUAGGGAAUUUCGUUUUGUUCAUUCUCAUCCAUAACCAAGAUUCAAUAGAAUAAUCUUCAUAAUUCAUACAAAUUCUCAUCAUGCCUGUGCAUAGUUCCACAUCAUUUACAUACUUAUACUCUCUUCUUAUCAUUUCCAAUUUUAUGCUUAAGUUUCCUUGUACUAUAUAUCAUUGUAUCACAAUGUCGUCUCCAUUGAAUUAUAAUCUAUUAUGCGUGUAUACUUUAUAAUCCCAUUGAUGCCUCAAAGAUUUGUCUUAACUUGAUCAUUGCAUCUCAUGCAAUACCACAAUUCCUAAGAGUCAUCCUUUUCUUCGAUUAUCUUUCAUGCCUCUACAUUACCUUGUAUCCUUCUUGCAUUUUGAUAUUGAUUUGUCACUUAAAACUCAGACUCAUUUGAAUCAUGUAUGCCUCAAGCAUUUUCGAAUUCCAAUUUCCAUAAUAUAUUAGGAAAGUUUCAUUAUCCGACUUCAUUAUCAAGGUCGACUUCUAUCAUCCUUUGUUCCACUCUUUCAUACGAAUAUAACAUCAUUCUUCCUUAACCAAUUUACAAAUUGUACUUGAAAUUACAAGACUUGAAACUAGAAUAUACUCAAGUACUUUUUAAUAUUAAUACUAAUAUCACUCUCAGCUUACAGCUUCCUUUUUUAUAACCACAUAACUUAGUGCUUGCUUUCACGAGAUCCAUGGCAGAACUUCCCUUGAGUAUUUCCUUGGGGAUAUCUAUCUUAAACUUAUGUCUCACAGCAGGUGAUCACUUAACUCAUGACUUAGCUGUUUGGCUCCUUAGCAAGUUUCAAAAUCACACAUCUUAUACUCAUCUCGUAUAAUUUAUAAUUCUUUCUCAAAGAUGUUUAAACAUUCUUGAAACACUUAAUCACUUAUUUGCUCUUUCAUACUCCAAGUAUAUCAUUUCCAUAAAGGCAUGCACUUGCUCACCAAAAUAUUUAAACGCAUGCUUCAACUUAUCUCCAAGGGUUUCUAACAUACCACGUAGUUUACUUGUGUUGUCACUAAUCCUUUCCUUUCAAUAAAGUCAAGACAAGAUUUGUAAAUUCUCGUAACAAUAUUCUAUAUAAACUCAUUUUCUAUAUCAUUCUUGAAAUCUUCAUUCACACUUUUAUCACUUGGUAUUGACAUCUCUUAUCAAUAUCUCAUACAUUCAUCUAACCUUUCCCUCACUUUGUUUUUAAACUUUUACAAGGUUUACUUUAUUUCUUAAGAUUUGACUUUAGUCAACAUAUUAUUCAUCUUAACACUCCCCCAAUGCACUUAAGACUCCCAAUAAUGAAACUCGACAUCAAAACCAAUGACCAUUUUCCAACUUGUGAGUCCAAUCUUUAUACCGCUCACAGUUUGCUCAUGUUUUCUAGCCAUUAGGGGCUCUUAACCAAUUACAUAUAUAAAGUGGAUAAUUCACUUAAUUAUUACAUCUCGUCCUUGCAGUUAUAAGAUCAAGAUUUCUCGAAUUUAGGAUGCAGAAGUUCCUUCCUAGAGCAUAUCCAAAAAUCCACAUAUUUCAAGUCCCACCUUAGGACAUCUUUCCCAUAUGGUGUAAUGAAUUCACAAUAUGUACAUCAUCAUACACAUAAUUACUUAUUAUUUAUGGUAUCCCACUAUUUUCAUUAUCCAUUAAUGAUCAUCUUCCUUGGCUUAUAACUCCAAUAGUUUAUUAACUUCCAGUACAAAGACCACGAAAAUAGUUCAUCUUUCACUACACUUAUACUCACAAUCCUUAUUAAUAAAAAAAUUAUCUUUUUCAGGUUUCUUCAUUUAUCUCUAAUAGACCAUAUUUGUAUUAGAUUAUCUUCCUAUAAUGUUAUGGCAUCAUUUUAUACUUCCUCCACCCUCAAGCUUACAAUCUUUGACUUUAUCACAUUAAUCGCUCAAAAUGUUAUCUAGAGCCUCAUUGAUUUCUUCCAUAUCCUUUCGAAUUGUAACCACAAUUAAGAAUCCCAAUUUCACAUCUCCAUGAUUAAUUGUUAGUCUUACCACACUAUCUCCCAAUAUCUCAUGCAAUUACAACACACUGAACCCGCUUAUUAUAACAUAGUCCCCUAGUUCAAUGUGUUUGCUCAAGAAUCAUCUUCUCUGAUACAAUUUGUCCCAUAAACCAGAAUUUUAUUUAUUUAGCUUUGCAUUCGGAAUCAUAUAAAAAACUCUCAUACUACGAUAAGUAAUAAUUUCCAACAAACAUCAUCAAUUCAAAUGGCAUUUUAUACCUCGUCAAAAUCUAGGGUUAUCACUCCAAAAGUUCAUCAUGUUAAUCGGUAUCCAUUUCUUAGUACUGCAAAAUACAUUCAUUAUUAAUUAGGGUAAUUGCUUGAAUCAUUAAUGACUUUCCACACCAGUCUUCAAUAAUUAUUUAAGAUGAUCAACCAUGCCACUAAGAUAAAUAUCUUUCCUUAAUAGUCAUAGUGCUAGUCCACCUCUGUCCUACCAAAAAUUUUCCAUAUACAUCCAGUCAUUUAAACAGCUACUUUAUAAUACAUUCUAGUCUUACACUUUUAAAAGCCAAACUAUUAACUUCUUUUUACUGAUAACUAUUACCUCCUUUACACUACAUCUUCCUAGUGUUAAAGUAGUACAAAAUCCUACGAAAAUAUUAAGUACCAUUAAGAUCAUCAUCUUAGUCUGAACAUAUUGGAAGAUUCUACUCCAGGUCCUCUUCCUCCUGAGAUUUUCUCCUUUGUUCCUCAAUCCAAGCUUGUUGUAUUCUCCUACAUUCCUCAUAACUCACAGGUGCAGCAUUUCUUCCACAACUGGGAGGAAAAUGUCGUACAACAGAUCCCUUCCUAGGGCGGUGAUUUACAACAUUUACUUUUUCUUUAUUCUUUUCUUAUUGUUCCCUUACAUUACUCCCACAGCCUGGAGGAAAGUGUCGAACAACGGAUACAGAUACCUUCCUAGGAUGAUAAUCCCCUUCGGCUAUCAUUAUUUUCCCCCUUUCUUCAGCGUAUUCCUUAAACUCUUUCAAAAGGGAAUUUCUCAUGCUUACAUUAAUGUCAUUACUAUAAGCACUUUCAAUGGUCUCACAAGGGUCGAAGCUUUCUUUUUCACAAACCCCCAUUCCCAAAUCCAGUGGAAUCCUAGGCAAGAUACUUCUUGGACUACUUGGUUCGGGUUGCCAUCGGCUUCUAACAGUAGAAUCUAGCGAUCUCUUGUUAAUACUAUGAGAGGCAUCGAGACUAUUGUCUCUCCUAGACAUGAUGUGUCCAACCAGCACACCUCAAAACCUAUACGCAAUCAAACAGUAGUUUCUUAAUUAUUUACGCAUCACAUGAGCAGGUAGGUUUCGAUAUGUAGAUGCAUGAAUUCAACUUAACCUAACCUAACUUAACUUGGGGCCACACUAACACUGUAAAUUUUUAAAAUAACUUUAAAACAAAAAGCUCUGUGCUCUGAUCUUUAAAACCAAAAGCUUUGAUACCAACUUAAUUAUCACGACCUGGAACUCCCAUCGAGCCUGUGACAAUCACGGCGAUGUCUCGAUAGACAUUCAUUACCCGAAAUGCUAAUUGAAACCUCACAAGGCUUAACAUCAGUUUUCUCGCUUCCCCUGUGAGUAUUAGUUACUAAAAUCAUGUUUUAAAGUGAUAUGAAUUAAUUUCAAUUCAAAAACAGUCACAGAGAAGUUUCAACAACACAGAGGUAUUUUGGUUAUUUUUCCCAAAAAUUUCGAAACUAGCUAAAAUGUAGUAUAUAAGAGAAAUUUACACAUUUCAUAACCGAAAAUAAGUUUAGAUAUCUAAAACAUUCAUUUAAAGUGAAAUUAUGACUAUUUGAAUAUAAUAAAAAUAUUCAAUAAAAUAUUCUAUUUUCUUAUAAAACAAUUUUUAUAGAGUUAUCUGUAAGAAAUUUUUGUAGCGUAAAAGCAAAAUAAAUUCAUACGUACUGUAAUACAGAUAGUCAAGGUAUGUAAUUAAAUUUACAAUGACACGUGGGCCCCCAAAUGACUAAAAGUAAUGAAGGCUGUGAACCUACAGUUUUUGAGGAUGCAAGUCCAACUGUAGCCCUCAACGAAAUGAGCUAUCUACUGACUAUCCUGAGCCUAAAAUGGGUGGAAAGGAGGGUGAUGAGAUUAUAUAAUCCCAGUGAGUAAACAAAUAUCCUCUAAAAUAUCUAAAGUUGAGUAAAUGGAGACGAUUGAAAUAAAUCAUCAUACUGUAAUCCAUCACCUUUCAACUCAUUUCAACCAAAUAGAAUCAAUUCAUUUAUAUCGAGUAAUCAACAUGGCUUAUGAAUUUCUUAAAAUUUGGCUCGUGCCAAAAUUAUUCUCAUACUCAGUUGUUAGGAAUACCUUGGCCUAGGGCUAUCCCAACCAAGUUCGCCAAGGAUGUUAAAAAGUCAUGUACGCAUAAAUCAUAUUUUUAUUUUGAAAACAUAGCCGUUCUUUGGCGUUGGCUGAGUUCACCCUCACGUGGUGGUUGGGCAUGAAGUGAACUCUAAAUUUUUACCUAAGAAGUUACCCUACGCUCUUCUUCAAUCGAGGUAAGAAUAUAAUAGGGUUUACAGUGCCCCUCUAAUAGGCUGGUCCACAGAAACCCGCCACUGCAGUGACUAAUCAAUAACCCACCAAUUCAAUAAAAGUUUAGACAGCAUGACAUGGCAAUUUUAUCAUUAUCCAGCCUAUCAAGGCAAACAACAGUUUAUGCAUUUUCAACACAAAUACCCAUCCAGCCAUUCAUGCCCACAUUAUCAUAAGCCAUUCAAUUCAAAACAUAAUUUACAAUACAGCAAGUAGUCUCCAAUUACUCCAUUUUCACGUCAUCAUUAAAUUUCAAAACAAUUUAUAAAAUCAUUUCAUUUAAACACAUUUUUCGUAAAAUUACAAAAUCGGGUAAAAACGUACUUCAGAUAAUUAAGACGAUAAUAAGGCUAUUCACAGUAAUGGGAAUCGAAUUCGGGAUACUUUGAUUCUUGAUCCUCGGAUACUACUUCUUUACUCUUGCCAGAAUGCUCACCACCUAGACAUAAUGCACAAUAAGCAAUUUGCUACAUUUGUGCUAAACCGUUGUAAAACUAAUCUAAGCUCUAUAUGAAUGCAUGAAAUGGAAUGCGAAUUGUUCGGAUCAUCGUCUAAACACGGUGUUCUACAUAAAUUCAAUUGUGUACCUAAAUAAAAUGGUAUUGGCCUAAUUCGAUCUAUCACCCGAUUAAUUGACCAAUAUGUCCAAUUUAACUCCAAAUAACUUCAUUUCUCACCCAAUACUCCAAAUCAUCAAACUCAACUUAAGUAACAUAAAAUUUAGCAAGAUCAUCUUCACAUUUCUUCUUGGGAAUUUCGACCAUGGGGGGUGCAUGAACACUAUGGUUUUUCCCACUUGAUUUUUACACCAUAAAUCAUUAAUUCCUAACCAAAUUACUUGAAAUAAAAUCAAUUCCACCAUCAACACAUCAUAGGGAAGAUUCUGCCAAUGGAGGGUGAUGGAAGAAAAUGAAUUUUUCUUGUUUGCUUUCCAUGCUACACAUCACUAACUAACUAAAAACACUAGAAUAACAUGUUUUCUAGCUAAAUCCAAGAUCAAAACCCCUCCCCCCAUGUCCGGCCAGCAAAGGUAUCUUCAUGCAAACUUGAUUCUCAACUAUGGGAAAUGAAAAAGAAUGCAUAGGAAAGGUAGAUCACAAGCUAAAAUCAAGAAAUCUUAUCUUUUGUCACUUGAUUCCUUGAAAUCUAGUGAUUUUCCCUUGAAUUUCUUAGCUAGGGUUUUGUUCUUCUUCUUUUUUUCUCUUUUUCUCUCUUUGGCCAACCAAGAUAAAUGAGUUGGGAGGGUUAUGGGCUGAUUUUUAAAGCCAAAUAUAAAUGGAUGAAAAUUUGACAUAUGUCACCAUUCCAUUGGCCCAUGUGUCAUACUUACCCAUUAAGCAAUCUCUCUCCACCAUUUAAAAUUCCUCAAUUGUCCAUAAUAAAAUGAGGUGAAAUUCAUGUGUUGGACAAGUGUUGGGUGGUGAAAAAUUCCAAUUUUGCCCCUAGGCAGAAAAAUGACUAUUUUGCCCCUUAUGCUCAAAAAAAUGUCAAAAUUAAAAAUUUUCUCCUCUCAAACUCAAAUUAUGUUCUAAAUGGUCAAUCUUGGUGAAAAACUUCUUCCAACUUUCCAAUUUUAACCUUAGGUGACAAAAUGACCAUUUUACCCUUACGUUAUGAAAAUUCUAAUUUGACUCUAAAUCGGUCUUCGAAAUCCGAAUCACCAUUUUAAGUCAUUUUAGGGUAUUAAAAUUCUCAAUUUCAUCUUAAAAUCUCUAUUUGGACUAGUUUGAGGCUUAAUUCAACUUAAUUGUACCAUUUGGCACAUUGUCGUCCUUUAACGAUUUUCGAGGUACCGAAGUAAGCAAACAUACAUUCUUAUAUAAGAAUGACAUAAUAAAUAUAUUGUAGAGCCGGGCUUGACAAUGGGAGAAUGUUGAAGCUACUGCUUGCAUGUACCAAGUGGACAAAAAGCCAAGUGGCAAACCACUGGAAAACAUGCACAUUAGUACGUGUCUUUGACAAUAUUGAAGAACAGUAUGUGGGACUUUGCAAGUUUAUAUAUCAGCUAUGUUUAACACUUGUAAAUAUGUCCUUUAACAAGUGUUUACUAUGUGGUUCCUUAUGCCUUGUAUAUACUGUUAAUGAUGAAUGAAAAUCAUUGUGGCAUUCUCUCUUUGUACAUAUUUGUUUAGAGAUAUAAAACAGAAAUUGCAUCAUAAUAGCCAUAUACUUUUUUUCUCCCAAAAUUACAACAAAAAAAAAAUUAUAUGAACAUGAAACAAGGCCCUUUACCAAGUGUGAUUUCUCACACCAAAGAGAAGCCAAUAAUGAAUCAAAUGGCUAGUAGAGGAGGUGUCACUGGUAUAAAAAAAAUUGUUGGUAAAAAAAAAGGAAGGAUCUUCAGAAAAAAAAAAAACCUAGCAGCCUUUGAGAAAAGGGUUCGGAUCUAGCAAUCGAAACCGCACAAAAAUCAUACACAAAAAGCACAUAAAAUGAUAAAAAAAAAUAGGGAAAGAGGUUGAGGGACUUUUUGAUCAAAGAGAGAGAUUUCAAGUUUUUGAAGGAAAAGGGUUGAUGUCUCGAGUUUGUGCAUUAGGAUCAAAGGAAUUACUUCCAACGGUUUCUUUGUUAGUGGCUAAGGUUCUUGUGCUUAGAGAGAAAUAGGGAGUUAGGGUUUCUGGAGAGGCGAAGAGUGCUGGAAGUGCCAUUCAAGACUGGGAUAAGGUUAGGGAAAAUAAAUGACAAGAAUAGAAGAAAAAGCAUAUCUUUUAUAGUUAGGGUAUUUGUUUAAACAAUGUCGUUUUACUACAAACUAGAAGGCUUAAAUGGUUUUGUUUCUUGCUGUAAGGGAAACCUCCUCUUCACUAUGUCAAACAGUGGGUUUUAAGCUUGGAAAGGCUGAGAAAUGGGCCAAUUUGAGCCCAUGAUAAAAAAGAAGCUUUGAAGCCCUUGGGCUAUUCUAAGCCUAAGGUAGGUAUGGACUUUGGACUUUCUAGUUUGGAUUGUAUCAUAUUUUGGGGUUUGGACCUUAUUUGGGCUAUGCUGUUUGUUGUAUGAUGUUGGGCCAUUUGUCUUAUAGUUUAGUUUGUAUUAAGCCUUUACAUUUACAUAAUAAACAUUAGUUCUUUUCGUUUAGUUAAUAUUUUUUUUAAAAUAUAUACAUGUAUGAGAAUAAUAUAUAUACAUAUGCAUAUGCAUAAAAAAAUAAAAUGGUAGCAGUUGAAAAGGUGAAGAUAUAGAAUGAAUGAUUAGGAAAAUAAAAUAUUAUAUAAGAUGAUGGAGUUUUUACCGGGACAUGAGAAGUCACAAUUUUAGGUCAAUUUUCUUAGGUGAAAUAUUUGACUAAGACUCUACCAGUAUGAUGAAAGGGUUUUAGUUGUACGUCAAAAUAUUUAUUAAUCCAACUAAUAUCUUAAAUUAGUAACUAAGAAUAUAGAAAAUUGUUUACUUAGAGUAGAGAAAUAGAAUAUUCAUGUCUAAAAGAUAAUAAUAAUAAAAUAUAGAAUAUUUAUGUUCAAAGAAACGCAAGAAGUCGUAAUUGCGGGUUAAUUUUCUUAGGUGAGAGAUUUAACUCAAGCUAUGAUGGAAGUACUUUAGUUUUUAAGACUCAAUAUUUCUUAAUCUGAAUAAUAUUUUAAAUUAGUUAAUAAAAGUUGGGGAUACUAUAGAUUUAGAAUAGAAAUAUAAAAUAUUUAUACUUAAAAAAAGAAUAUAGAAUAUUUAUGCUUUUAAAAUUAAAAUACAUAAUAAUAUAAAACAUGUUAUUUCAAUUAUACCAAAGAUGGAAUUUUAAUCUGAGUCAUGAAAAGUCCCAAUCUUGAGUUAAUUUUCUUAGGUGGAAGAUUUGAUUUAAAUUCCACCAGUAUAGUGGGUGGGUUUUAAUCUUAAGUCUCAAUAUUUUAAUUCAAAUAAAAUUUUCUUCCUAAAUAUUAAUGGAAGUGUAUUAAUAAAAUGGGUAAGUAAACCGUCUGAAGCUCCAUGGAAUCUCAGACAACAUCUAAUUCAAAUACACAAUUUGCAGAAGGAUAUAAUGAGAUGGAAAGAAACGCAUGUCUUGAAGACCACAAAUGAUGUGGCUAACAAGCUGGCCAAGGAAGGAGUUACUAGACGUUCAGAUUUAAUUUGUGUGAUGGAAAGAGAUGAAGAAAGUUAAGGAACUCAAUCAGAUUCGCUUAGAAUUUGAUUUGGUCAUAAAGAGCUGUUAGGAUUCGAGUUGCCGUAGGACUGUUGUACCUUCAAACCGAAUGAAAUUGAAUUUAAAUGGAAUACCAAAAGUGGAUCUGUUUUGAUUGAGCUUACCUUUAAAGGAAUUCAGCUUAGCUUUAAGGAAGAGUCGGAUGUUGGUGUGAACACGGGUUUUGAUAUUAUAACUGUUGCGGACAGUCACGUUCUGGAUAUUGAGACAGCAAUGGUUUGGCUAAAAUAAAAUUCGUACAAGAGGAUAGCUUUGGACAAGCUCUGAUCGGGUUUGGAUUGGACUUUUACAAAGCAGUAUGGCUUUUUGUGAGCCUCAAUUAUGUUCUUAGAUUUCGGACAUCCCAACAUCCGCAGACAAUUUACUUAGGGGUUCUUUAUUUUAUUUCUAUUUAUUUAUCUUAUAUUUUCUUAUUACUAGUAGUAAUAAGUCCAAAGUAAAUUGCUUGGACAUCUAGUAACAAAAUUAUAUAUUUAUCCAAAACAUAAAAGCAUAUUAAUGAAAUGAAAAAUAAUAAUAAUAACAAUAUUAAAUAUAUAGUAUAAAAAAUUAUAAGUAUCGAAAUUUAUUCUAAGUCACCAUCACCUUAUUUAAUUGUCAUUGCAUCUAUUUGGAUAUAUUUUGUACACAAGUUGAGGUCUUAAUGAUAGGACUUUUUGAGAGGCUUGCGACGACAAAUUCUCUCGAAAAAUUCCCUAACUGAAAGAAUACUUUCGGGUCCCAUGAAUAUAAAGGGAGGGCCUCAAGAAUAUUUUUAAUAAAAUGCCUUUACUCGUAUUAAGAUUUACAUGACAUGAAAAUGUUUUUACCCGCAAAUGAUUAUCUUGGGUUUUACUUCAUAAGCUUAGAAAGGUGAGUUUUCUCGAAUAAUUUCCUAUAUAAAAGAGUAUCUCUGUAUCCCACUAGUACGAUGGGCAGAUUUGAAAAAUAUUCUCAAUAAAAGGUUUCAUGUGACAUUUAAUUGAGAUUUAUACCAUACAUUCCAUAAUUGCAUCAUGUGCACGUCAUAGAAAUAAACCAAUUAAUGGAAUUUAGGUUGCGAAUAAAAUUAAAAGAAUAUAAUGAAUAAUAAUUAAGAAAACAUAAGAAUAAAAUUAAAAAUUAAGGUAAAAUAGGAUAACAUAUGAUUAAAUCUACCAAAAAUCAAUAUAGGAUCUGAUCGAAUAAAAUGAAUUUAAUAGGUGACGAAUCGCAUCAUAAAAAAAAUAUUGGUAGUGACUCCGACACUUUCUCGUCCCACCCAGACUUUCUCGUCGAGACUGACAGAUUCUCAAACCGACACAUAGUGACAAGAAGAAAAUAAAUUUAUUUUAUCCCAAUAUGGUAAAGCAAUUGAUUGUGCAUAUGCAACAUAAAAUUGAGACAUGCUGCUAUUAAAAUUUAUUCAAACAUAAUACUUGAGUUAUUUUCUGUCAACUAGUAUAUAUAAUGUUAGUAAAAUUUUUGUAUUGAUGAAAAUGAAAAUAUUUACUUAUUAUAAUUUUAAAUAUCUUUUAUUAUAAAUAUUAGUAAUAAAAUUUAUAUAAUUUAUACCAUAGAAUUCUGAUUAUAUUGAACGAUUUUUAUUAAAAAAUUGUUUUUUCUAAUUCUAUUAGUAUUAUAUAUUUUAGUAAUAAAUAACAUAUUUUUAUUUAAUUUUAAUUCCAAAUAUAUUUAAAAUAUUAAAAUAUUAUUUUAUUAAUGGGCAUGAUUUUGUGAGGAGUUCUUUCAUUAGAAAUCAGAUAUGGGUAGGUUUGAUUUUUUUGGUCAUAGGGGUUUUCGUAUUUUUAUUCUUUGUUUAUUUCAAUUUCCUUGUAACAAUAAAUCCAAAGUAUUUUUCUUUGACAUUCAACAAUAAAUUUGGGUAAUUUUUUAAAAAAUAUUAAUUAAAUAUUUUUAUAUUAUGAAAUGAUAAAUAAUAAUGAAUGAGCAACCCAAGCCGAGCAGAGCUUAACUUUUAACGAGAAGGCCUAAUUCGUAGAUACUUACAUGUUUUCAAUCCUUUCUUGCUACAUUAACGGUCACGUAUCCCAGUUGUAAUAUACAAGUCUCGAAAUCAUUAAGUUAUAAGCUUAAGUUUCGGUGUAAGUAGGUUUACUCUAAUUUUAUAUGGGAUUUUUUUAAUUAUAAAUUCAAAUUUAUUUAUAUGUGAUAUAAUAUUUAAAAAAGACUUGUAAAUUAUUUAAAAAAAUUCAAAUAAGUCUUUAUUCUUUCUAUUACUAAUAGUUGACUAAUUAUCAUUAAUUUAAAUGUUAUUUGUAAUUUUGUACCCAUAUGACACUGAUAUGACCUUGAUGUGAAUGAUAAAAAAUGUCACGUGGAUAUGUCAUCAAGUCACAUUAGCCAGGGACGGAGGAUAGUACUCCAAAAUUUUUAAAAUUAUUUAUUUAUCAUAUAUUUUUUAAAAAAUUUUCUUUAAAAUAUUAUUUUUUAAGCCCCUCAAAAUAAAUUUUUAUUUAUCAAUUAAUAAAAAUAAUAAAUAAUAAAUUGACCCACAAGCCUUACUUAAUUUUACCCCAAUUGUUAAGUUUCUCCACACCUCUUUCCCUUUUUCUUUUUCUCUUUCUAUUUUAUUUUGUUCUUUUAUUUUUACUUUACUCUCUUCUCUGUAACGUAACACUAAAACACACCUCAUUCCUCAAAAAAAGAUUUAUGAGCUUGUGAACUUAAACAAGGAAAGAUGAGGACCACACCAUUGUCUGAAAUUAAGAAGAAGUAAAGUUAUCCUUUAUGUUCUUUUUUCUGUUUAUAUUAUUUAACUAUUUAUAUAUUUAACUACUGUGUGAAAUCCUUUAUCUGGUAAUUAACUAUUUAUAUUUUAUGCAUUAUAGUUUUAUAUUUAGUAUUUUAAGUUUAAAUAGAAAUAAAAUAAGAAUAUUGGAUGUUGACUGCAUUAAUUUUUUUUUAUAUUUGAUUAAAGUAUGAGUAAGCUAAAAAGAAUUGACAAAUUCUUUAAAAUAAAAAGAUGGAAAUCGUCCAAAUGAUUCUCCUACACUUAAACCACCAAGCCUCAAUGCUUCAACUCAUGAACAAAAGCAAUUAAAAUUGAAACGCCUAAGCACAAUCUUGAAAAAAUUGUUGGUUAAGUUCAACAUUUUAACUUUUAAAAAUUUUUCGCCUUUAUUCCUCUUAAUCUUUAGGCCCCCAAAAAAAUGGAUUAACUUCGUCCCUGACAUCUAAAUGCCACGCCAUCAUCUAUUAUAAUAUUUUAACAUUCCACGUCAACAUCAUAUGACAUAAAAUGAUAAAUGAUAUUUUAAUUGAGUCAACCAUUAGUCAGAAGCACUUAUUUGACAAUAAAAAAAAAGUAUAAGAACUUGAUUGAAUGCAAUAAAAGAAUAAAAAUUUAUUUGAAUUUAAGGAUUUUUUUCGAUAUUAUUUCUUAUUUAUUUAUUAAUUGAACAAGUGUUUUCUCCAAAAAAUAAAAAAUAUUAAUACAGUUGAACAACAGUUAGUGAAGUAAAAAUUUGCUCUCUACGUUUGUUACCUUCAAGAUCAUGAUAAACUUGUUUAAGAUUUGGUGAUUAAAAAAGUGACACAAAUUUAAAUAUUAAGUAUCUUAAAUUUGAGUGAUCUAAUUUUGAAAAUUAAAUUUUUUAACGUUUUCUAUUAUUUCAAAUAAAAAAUGAAAGAUUAGAAUCCAAUCUUAAGUAAUGAAUUCAUAUAUUUAUCCUUAAAUCAAAUACUCAAAUGUAAAUAUUCAAAACUAAAAAUUUCACCAAAUUUUUAGGUUGUAUUUAAUUUCUAAUUGUCUUCCCUUCAAUUCAAGUUAGUGGAGAAAAAGACUUGAUUGUUUGGAUCAAGUGCUUAGGAAGCAGGGCAAUCAAGAAAUGAGGUAGCCAAGUAGAAAUUCUAGUUAGGGAGGAUCCUAGAUAAUUUGGGGGAUAGUACCAAUCUGGGGACACAUUUUUUUUAGCCAUCAAAUAUAAGGUGUUUUUAGAAAUAACCCUUCUCAUAAUUUUGACAAAUUUUAGCCAAGAGAAAAGAUUUUGGGACAAAAAUGCCCUUAAUGAAAUCUCUUCCUUCAUGUGCACUGUCAUACACACACAAAUAGGCGAAAAUAAAUCUACCAAGAAUUUGCUACAUGACAUUUUGUUAAAAACAUCCUCAUGUUGUAAGAAAUGAUUUUUCUUAUUUUCGGACAUUAACGUUAACACAAAUGUAGGUAUGUUACACAGCAGGUAUACUAAAUGAUUGUUUGAUCCAUUCUCAAAGAUAGGAAAGUGUUGAAUAAUUUCAUAGCAAAGUAAUCAAUUAUAGCAAAGAAGUUCACAACAAACGGUAAGUUAAUGAAUGUUGAAUUUUUUGUUGUGUUUUUUAGUGGGUUUAGUGAUUUGAAUGCCAUAUUGCUUGAGAAUGUGGUUAAGCGUUUUGGCGUUAAAUGGCAUUUGGUUUUGUUUGAAGUUGUUGAAAUCCCCAGAGAUAUUACAUGCCAUGGCCAUUUGGGUUGAAUGUUGUAAGCACAUGGAGAGAAAAUAGGCAUGGCGUGUAACAACUCUUGAGAUUUCUCUAAGUGCAUGAACAUGGCAUGUAGCAACCAGUGAAUUUUAGGCAUUAUGUGUAUCAUCUUAGGAUUAUAUGCAUGGCAUGUAGCAUGUUAUUAAUUUUAGGCAUAUCUUGUAACAAAAAUGGUAUUUUAUGCAUGGCGUGUAACAAAUUAUUCAUUAUACAUGGCAGUAGCAACCAAGAAUUUAUAGGCAUGGCAUGUAAGAAAAUAAAUAUUUUUGAAAAUGUCAUGGAGCUUCUCUGUGUUAACUGAUCAUUGCAUGUAGCUUACAUGUGCAUUAUUGUCACGACCCAAAUUCCGGGCCAUGACCGACGCAUGGAUCCAAUGGAUGUAAUCCACUAAACCCAAGCAAGCCUAUUAUUUAUCUUACUCAUCAUUCUAUAAUAAACUACUAAGUCACAUUUCAUAACUUAGAAUCAAAAUAGUGAUAUACAUUGCCAACUCGUACUGGCAUUACUCAUUUAAAAUUUACAUACCAUGUUUACAACAUGAAUUCUAAUAAUGUACAUCAAGUUUGUCUAUACAUCUCAAAAAGAAGACUCAAUUUCCAGCAGAGUGACUCGGAUGAAUAUAUAGCUACCGAAUGCCGAGACACCUACCAAAAGAUGGACACAGGUCUACAAAGACACCUCAUCCUAGUUACCGGCUGCCUCGUGAUCUGAAAACAUGAAUUUGAAAAUGGUGAGUAUAAACCCAGUGAGUGAACAAGAAAGGGAACAAGCAUACCGUAAGGAAUCUUUAAUGAAACCAUGAUGCAUUCUUUUUCAAAACAAUGCAAUUUGUUCUAUUCUUAUUAAAGACCCCUCAUUAAACCCUUAUAUGAUUAAUCAAUUGGUAAUGAGGAACCCAUACAUAACAAUUAAUUCCAAAAAUAAAAGCUUCAGUGAUACACUAACAAGUCAAAUGUGACGACGAAUCUUCGCUGCAGCGAGAAUGAAUUUUCGUUGCAGCGACAUUGGGAUUUAGCUAUUAGCAGAACGAGGGUUUCUUAACUGGCCAAGGGUUUCUCACUAAACCUCCUACUUUUAAACUUAAUUCAUUAAAUCCUUAAUGUUGGAAGUCCAUGCUUUGAUAUGGUAGCAAAUAAGUGAAAGAUAGGACAACAAUUGGACAAGAUAGGAGAUCAAAACAAAAUGAUUUUCGCUACAGCGAGAUUUAAUCUCGCUGCAGUGAAAUUUCAACCCAGAAACAGAAUGUUUCUCGUUGCAGCGAGAUUCAAUCUAGCUGCAGCGAAAUUGCUACCCAGAAAAUAGAAAGUUUCUCACUACAGCGAGAAUGUAUUUCGCUACAGCGAUAAGCUAUAGUGUCAUUCUUGCUACAGCAAAAAUGCAUCCUCCCUGCAGCGAGUUUUCGACCAGUGUACCCUUUCAAAACCCGAGAGUUUCUCACUGUAGUGAGAAUGAUUUUUGCUGCAGCGAGAUACAGGGCAGCAAUGAAAAUUUCCCCUUUUUUCUCAAAGAAAACCACCAUACUGAAAUGUUCAAACCACAAGAAACACAUUACACUUUUUCAAGGCUUAACAUGUCAAGUUUCACACGCAUUACAACCAUAAAUCAUUGUCCAUUAAUUUGCUAUAACACACAUAUUCACAUAUGUAUAUAUAUAUAUAUAUAUAUAUAUAUAUAUAUAUAUNNNNNNNNNACAACCAUAAAUCAUUGUCCAUCAAUUUGCUAUAUCACACAUAUUUACAUAUAUAUAUAUAUAUAUAUAUAUAUAUAUAUAUACGUAUAUAUAUAUAUGUAUAUACCCAUCAUCAUCAUCUCACCAACCCAUCAUCAUCAUCACCAGCUCAUGCGCACUCCUUACUCGCACAUAACCGGGUCGUCCUCGGUCUAUGCGCACUCUCUACUCGCACAUAGCUGAGUCAAUGUAAUUACACAACAUUAUAUUCAAGCAUAUAUGUAUAUCAACAUAAUGCAGCCACAUAGAAAUCCAUAAUAUCACAUAUCAUAACGUAAACCAUUUCACAAGAGCUUGUUCCCAAGGCAUUCAUUUUUGAGAAAAAUUGUAUAAAAUCAUUCAAACACUUUGUUCAAAACAGUCAUUUUCCCAAAACAAUUUUGAUAGGUAGUCCACUCACCAAUUAGUUGUAGAACCUUUAGAUGACUCCAAUUCCCUUAAUUGUCCAAUUGGAAGGAUUGGACUUCCUUAAAACCUAGGAUCACAUUAACAUAAACAAUAGAUCAAUUUACACACUAUGAACUUUAAAAGCUAUCUUUUAGCUAGUUUUCAAUUGCUACAUUAAAUGGCUAUCUAUGUUCACUAUCUUAAUCACUAAAAAGUAAUGAACAUACUCAACAAUAAAACAACUCAUAAAUCACAAUUACUAGCCAUUUUCUGCAGCUAAAAUCAAGCUUAAUUCAUCACUUACCCUAGGGUUCCUUUGUAGUCAAAUUCUCUUCCAAUUGCUUCCAAGUCAAUAAGGUAAUUCUCUUUUUCUCUCUCUAGAAUGCCCAACUAGUGAGAGAAAGUCUGGAAAUAAGCUUUAUCAAGGGUUUUGAAGUGAGAUAGUGAAAGAAUUCAAAGGUUAUAGUCAAUAGGGUUCAAAGGUAUGAAAACUAGAGCUAGAGAUAGAAAAUCAAGCAAGCUUCAAAUCAAGCUUCCAUGGAGUUUUGAAGAAACGUGAGAGAGGAGAAGAAGAAGAAGAAGACCAGCUGUUGGAAAUUCAAGGUAUUUAUAGGCAAUCUUAUCCUUUCCUAUAAAAUUACGAAAAUGCCCCUCCACCAAUUAACUUACUCUCCUCCAAUAUUUUAUGCAAUAUUUUUGCUCUUUAACACUGGGACAAGAUUCAUAAUGGUCUAGACAUGCUCGGGUUCAUAAAAACUUAAAAUUUUAACCCGAAGUGAAAAAUGACCAUUUUGCCCUUGUUAUGAAAAUUGUUGAAACUUCUAGUUUUUCUUAGUGUUUUCAUCAGUACACAUCAUUUAUACUGUCUUAUGCCUAUUUAGGCCUUAAAAUAUCAUAAAACUUUAUUCUGGAAGCUUAUUAGAGAAAAUGAUGAAAUUACCCCUAGCUCAUAUUAUUACAUUUAUGCUUAGUUACAAGCCUAUAGAAGUUGAGGUCUCACAAUUAUUGUAUUCUGUUGUAGAUGGAUUUUAGGGAGUAUGAGAACGUUGAUGUGAAACCAAAGGAAUAACAGAUCGUGGAGACUCAAAAAGAGGACGAUAUGAAAUUAGAAUUCCCUACUAUUGUGGUGACUGAAAAUGAGGAAAAUGUGAAACCAUAAUUCCCUAAGGGUUAUUUAUGUGUCGAUCUCCUGCACGACAUCAUGCUUUGUAGAAUCAAUGACCUAGUACAAUGGAGCAUUAGUACAAAGUAACCGAGAGAAACAAGCCAAAAUGGAUACAAUGUCCAAGGAUUAAUCGCAAUGUCUGCUAUUGCUAAUUAAAGCUUAACCGACUUGGCGAAGUGCGAAUAAGAGACAAAAAGAUUAAUCAUUUGGACAUGUGGCCAUGUUUGCAUCAUUGCACUUGUUUAGGCUUGAGUGUUGAGUGUUUAGGGUUUAUGGUUGAAGGUUUAGGGUUUAAUGAUAUGAGAAAAUUGGAAAUCACUAAAAUAUGAGUGAAGUAGAAUUAAUAGAAUUUUGCCAUACUUUGAGAAUGACUUACAAAUGACUUCAUUUACAUGUUGAAUUACGUAGCUAUUUAUAGUAGUAGAAAAGGUUUAGCUAGAAAGAAAAACAUAUAAAUAAAUGAAUAUUCAAAAUGGAGCAACUUCAAAAUGAAACAGUUUUCAAGGAAUGUAAGUGAAAAGACAUUUAGUCCUUAUACAUUUAAUCACAAUAAUGAAAAUGAAGACUACUAAUUUAGCGUCUCAAAACUCUGCACCUAAAUUAGAAGUGGGUGGUGAUUGAGGUUUGUCUAAUGCGUUUUGAUAAAUCAAAAUGCAAUUUUUUUUCCGAUCAAAGGCACCCAUGUUGUUUAAAAAUCAAAGAAAAUCCCUUAUGAAACCUUAGGUUUAGAAGUUUCAAAUUCUUGGGUUUAGGGUUGCUGAGGGCACGUAUUGAUCCGGUGAGAAGCUACUUCAAACCUUUGUGAUCAUUUCAACCGUUUGAGUUUCAUUAAAAACAACUCAAAAUAAAAAUCCCUACAUGGCCACUAGCCCCACGUGCACCAAAACCAUUGCUCGGUAAUUUUUAGGCAGGAGCAGAGUUGAUAGUAGCAUUGAAAGACCUAAUGCUUGACCAGAUUCAAUUCCAUUUAAAAUCCUGUCCUUGCUUCCCGCAAUAGAUGUAGUUAACACCUUCGUUUUAUCAAGUAUGUGGAAGUUUCUUUCUUCGCUCGUUAUUACUCUUGCUAAUAUGAAGAUCUUGAAAGUUAUCAACCUUUUAGGUGUACAAUAUCUGUUACAUUAUGGCAAAGUGUUCAAGAACUUUAUUUACAAAUGUACAUUAUAAAUGAUUAUAAGGGUUUGUUGCCUGCGAGUCUCUUUAGAAAUAAAACACUCAUGAAAUUGGAACUAUCUGUUUAUACUAUUAUUGUUUGGAGCAUCUCGACUGACAGAUCCUUUCUACUAAAGACUAUCAAUAAUGGUGGUUUAGACUUUGUCAAUGAUAAUUUGGUUGGAAGGCUUUUGCUUGAUUGCCCUAUGCUUGAAGAGUUCUUGAUUCGAUCUUCUCGUCAAUCUAAAAGUUUUACCAAUUUAAAUAUUUGUAAACAUGACUGAAAAGAUUGAAUUGAGAUGAUCAUGGUGAUAUGUCCGAUAUAAACCUUUUCAUCUUGGCCUUGAUGCCUUAAGUAUUGUCUACGUCAAAUCCAAUUAUUGUUGUGUUCGAUUAAAAAGCUACUAAUUAGUAAACUUACAUUCUCUUGUCAAUCCUGACAUGAGUGAUCAUGUAAUGGCCUUUGAGAUGAGUUCAACGUUGAUGCUACAUGUAAUUUGUUUAAUGGAAUGAGUAAUGUUCGAUCACUUCAGUUCAAUGAUGAGUUACUAUGGGUAAGUUCAUUGAAUUUUUCUUGUUGAUGCAACAUUUUGAUGGGAGGAAAUUUUGAUAAAUGGUCACACAAAUAUCCUUUUUGAAAAUAUAGUCUUUCAUGUCUCAUAAUUGAGAGUUUCAAAAAAGAUCUCAAAGAAAUGCUUGUAAAUUCUUUCAUCAUUGAUCUAUGUUUAAUAUUUUGAGUAGUGUAAUAUAAUGAAUUUACCUAAUGAACAAUAGUUACAUGUUGGUCAAAAGAAUUUACCAUGGUAUGCUGACUAUGUCAAUUUCAUUGUAAGUAAGCUUCUCUUUCUAAAUUUAACUUUUCAGCAAAGAAAGAAAUUUUCACAUGAUGUUAAAUUAUAUAUUGGGAUAAACUAUUUUUGUUUAAGCAAUGUGUUGACAGAAUGAUAAGAAGGUGCAUUCCAAAGGAGGAAGUUGAAAGUGUGAUGAGACAUAGUCACUCGUCAGAAUAUGGGGGCCAUUUUGGAGGAGAUAGAACAAAUGUAACAUUCCCAAAUAUGAUGUAAAUUAAGGUAAUUGAGAAUGAAUUACAAAAUAUGUGAAGUCUUGAGGACUUUAAUGAUAUGACAUAUAUGCCAAGUGUUGGAGAGUGAACAUAUUGACACUUAGGCAAAAUUUUAAGGAAAUAGGUGAUAAAUCCCAUAAUUUGAGGUUUUGAUUUAAGUUUGACUUCAUAUUUGUGAAUAUAUAUGUAUGGGAUUAAGUUAAAUGGAUGAUUUGAGGUGUGAUAUUAAUAGGAAAUAAAAUUAGGGGGUUAGACUUGAAUUUUUGGAAAUUUGGAAAGCUGAAAAUUGACUACAAGAGAAAAUGCAUUGAUACAUCCCCAAAUAUGUCGAUACAUUCUUGGCAAGAUAAACAAUAAAGGCUUUCAGUAGAUUUUCUAUUGAUACAUUCAAGAAUAUAUCAAUAGAUUUGGCCAAAGAUGAACAUGUAUUGAUACAUUUGAAGCAAAAAUCACCCAACGAAAAAAGUAUCGAUACAUUCCCUUUAUGUAUCAGUACAUGUUGGGUAGUGAGCCAUUCUACCCGAAAUCUAUUGAUACAUUGCAAAUGUAUCAAUAGAUUUAGUUGAAAUACGGGCAAAUGUAUCGAUACAUCACUGAAAGCAAGGCAAACAUAAAAAAGGGUUCACGAGCAUUUCACCUAUUUAACAAAAACCCCCAAACUCUUUCUCUCUUUACCAUCUCAAAAACCUAUUGCCCCAUAUGAAUUCUGGGAGCUAUUUGGACCUAUUCUGAGCUUGUGAAACACCUCUAGAGGUAAGAUUAAACGUUUUAACCAAUUAUUUUUCAAUUUAUUCUGUUAGAUUCUAAGAAAUCUAGUUUUUCCAACAUUGGUGAAUCUCCCUCGAUUCAGCUCGAAUUUGGAGCUAAGAUCCAGGUAAUCUAACUUUGAAGGUAUGAGUUUAGCUCAUUGUUGAUGGAUUUAAGCUUAAAUAGUUGGAUUGCUAAGAUUUGGUAAGUUUUGAAAAAGCUGGCAUUUUUUAAAAGCUAGGAUUUAACUAAUAAUUUAAUGUUUGAUGUGUUCUAAGGGGAAAACAGAGUUAAUUCAACUCGUUGGUGAGUUGAAGGACAAUUAGAGGCUAAAGAUCAAAGUUUGGCUUGGAGUACUUCUAAUUUGUCAUGAUGACUGGGUUAAUUAAAUGCAUGUAAUGCAUAACGCAUGGAAAAUGCAUUGCACUGGUAUUAUAUUAUGCAUGUAAGCCUAGAUGAACAUGCCUAGGCUAAAGAACAAAUGUUUUAUGUGCAAGUAAGAAUAUAUGUAUGUAUAUUUAUAUAUGUGUGUAAAUGAUAUGUGUUGAGGUUAUGUGCCUUAGUGCAAUGCCAUGUGGAUGGUUUAUAUUGUGUAAGCCUAGGCUAGAAUGUCUAGAAGCUAUGGUUAACCCCUAAGAGUAGGUUACCCUAGGUUAAUGAUGUGCUAAGAGAAUUUGACCAAAUGAUGCCUUAAGGAUAUAAAGUACUUUAGAAUGUUAAACAAGCUUAUAAACGAUUAAAGCUCGAUAAAUAUGAUUUGAGAUAUGUUGUGGACAUAUGGAAUGGUAAAGGCAUGAUGACCUCAUUGUGGAUUGUGUUCCGUCCGAGGGAUGAAUUCUGGACGUUGAUCUGACUUGUGGAUGAAUGGAGUUUUGUCCCCCUGUGACCUUUGUGUGCCUAUAGGGAUGGUGGUAAGCAAGGAUGGUGGCAUUAGUCCCGCUUAUGAUUCCCACCUGUGGUGUUUAGAUGCCACCUGUAGGAGAUUAUUUCAGGUGAUGCCGACCGCUAGGAGAUUACGUCGUUUGAUGACUUUGAUUCUUCAUCAACUACUUCGACGCUAUGUGUAAUCUGUUCUCCCUAAUGGCUUUGCCUUGAAUGUGAUUUGAUUCUCCACCGGUUGGACACUGAAUGUGAUUUGACUACGUCUAAGGGAGGAUCACUCGUUGAUGUGAUUUGCAUAUGAGAUGAGAUAGUCGUGGAAAGGCUUAAAUAUAUAUGAUGUGAUACUCCGACGACUAGAGUGUGUCAUGGAGAUUGAUUUAGAAUAUCUUGAAUUGGCUUCGAGAGUAAGUCUAAUGAUGAGUGUGGCCAAUGUAUGGUCGUAUGAACAUUUGUACAGAUUGUGAGCCAAGGAUAAUGCAUAUUAUUUGAAUUUUAUGAUGAAUAUUUGACUAUUAAAUCCCUUGGCAUUUACGUUGUAUGAUUUUGGACUCUGAGGCUUGCUCGAGUCUAGUGGACUUGUCUGUUGAACUCGUGCACUAGUCAUGAACUUUCAGGUUUUAGUCAUGACAGAACAGCAGCCAAAGUUCUUAAAUUAGGUUUGUAUUGGACAACACUAUUCAAGGAUGCUCAUAAGUUUUUUUUGCAUUGUGAUAGAUGCCAAAGAAUGGGGAACAUUUCUAGAAGACAUAAGAUGCCAGAUAGCAACAUGUUGGAUGUAAAAAUUUUUUAUGUCAGGGGAAUUGAUUUCAUAGGACCAUUUAUAUCCUCCUUCAACAACCACUACAUUUUGGUGGCUAUUGACUAUGUGUCAAAGUGGGUCAAAGCCUUAGCUCUACCCUAAAAUUUCUACAAAAGAGCAUCUUCACCAAAUUUGGUACUCCAAAUGCUAUUGUGAGUGAUGAAAGGAGUUACUUUUGUAAUAAGUAUUUUACAACAUUAUAACUAAGUAUGGAGUGACACACAAGGUUGCCACGGUCUAUCACCCUCAGAUGAGUAAGCAAGUUGAAUGGUCAAACCAAUAGAUCAAGAGAAUUUUAGGGAAAGUGGUAUCUCCAUCAAAGUAGGAUUAGGCCAAUUGACUUGAUGAUGCAUUAUAGGCAUAUAGGACCACUUAUAAAACUGCAAUAGGUAUGUCCCCAUAUCAAUUGGUAUUUGGAAAAGUGUGCCACCUCCCGAUUGAAUUAGAGCACAGUGCAUUUUAAGCCAUCAAGAAUUAAAUUUUGAUUUAAAGGUAAUGGGUGAGAAGUGUUUUCUUCAAUUAAAUAAGAUGGAUGAAAUUCACUUGGAUGCUUAUGAAAAUGCCAAAUUAUACAAGAAAGAGACAAAGCGAUGGCAUGAUCAAAAGAUUGUCGAGUGGCAUUUCAAGCUAGGUCAGCAUGUGUUGUUGUUCAAUUUAUGAUUAAAGCUAUUUUCAAGCAAGUUAAAAUCAAGAUGGUCAAGACACUUUAUUGUAUCCAAGGCGUUUCCCCAUGGAGUAGUAGAAAUAGUAGAUGGGUCAACUAAUAAGACAUUUGAGGUGAAUGGGCAACAAUUGAAGCACUACUAGGGAGGAAAUACUGAUCGCCAACAACCUUCCAUCGAUCUUUUCGAUUCUAAAUGAGCUUAAAAAAAUCCAGCUAAUAACUAUAAAGGAAGCACUUCUUAGGAGGCAACCCAAGUUUCUCAUCUUAAUUUACUUUAGUAGUUAUUUUUUUAGUUUUUAGUUUAUUUACAAUUUUUUUCUUAUCAUUUUAUGUUUCUUUUCUAUUCUAUGUUUGAUUUUGCAAGUCUUAGAAAUACAAUAGAGUAAAGUGAUAUUGAAAAAAAAAAAGUGAGAGUCACAACCUUCACAUUGAAAGCCACAGCUCUAAAAGCAGGUAACAUAAUAUCUACAAAUAGAAUGGUUGAGCACCGCGACCUUCAUUUCUUAGAGACACAACGUUGGCACAUGAAGAAAAAAAAUGUCCAACAUAGAAUGGUCGGCACUGGAAUUAGGAAUUAAAUUUGCUAGAAAUAGAAAGCUUGAGUGCCACAGCAUUGAAACAUGAAGUGUAAUGCUUCAAGUGUAGACCAAGCGAGAGUCGUGGCUCUCAAAGUGAGAGCCAAGGCGUUGAGUCGAGGCCCAGCCCCAACCUUGUUUAAGACAUGAUUUUCAUCAGUCUUCUCACAUUCUGCAAUAGCUUCAACACAUAACCUAAGCUCCUAAACAAUCCUUUUUCUUCCUCAUCCCCUGGUUCUUGCCUCUACAAUACUCACCCACUUGUGCUUUUAAAUUGUAAGUGUGUGCAUUUAUCUCAUUCACCAUUCCUCAUCUUCUCCAUAUAUGCAAUCAAUUAAGUGCUUUCUUCAACAAUUUUCAUUUGUUUUGAGAAUUUUUUGUUGAUAGUAAUUGCCAUUGCUAGAUUCCAUAGAUUUUACAUAUUGAUGGUAACUUGCACGUGGUUGGUGAUGGGUUUGAAGAUUUUCUUCUUGAUUAUGCUUUGGGGGAGGUGAAUUCUUGUUUGAUUGAUGAUGAUUAUAGUGAAAUUAUUACUGAUUAUGGGUUUGGUUCAUAGAAUUUUGUGUGCUUGCUAAUGCAUAUGUUGAAAGUCUUGUUUCCUAUGGUGUGAGUUGGUAGAAAUUUGCUUGGUGGAUAAUGGGCAUGUAGCAGAAGUUGCAAUUUUGGGUUGGGAAACAAUUAGACUAUGGCAUUUACAAACAUGGUGAUUUUGGAAAUAAUUUGUGCUAAAACAAUUUGGUUUGGUUUCUUUUACACACUUAUUAUAUUUUGUGCUCAAAUUUUUUUUAGAUAUUGGAAAUAAUUGAACUCUUGUUAUUUUGGUUGCAUUUUAUCUUUGUUGGUUUUUGGAAAUUCUACAAUAAUGGCACCUAAGCGCUCAAAACCAAAUUAAAGUGGCACAUUCGAUCGAGCAAAGUUUGUCUCAAUGGAUGCUUCAACAAGAUAUUAUAAUUUGAUGAUUAACAAUGUGCCUAUCCUUGAACGAGGUUUAAAUAUUCCUCUAGUCCAUUAUGAAGAGAUACAUAAGAUGAUUGAAGAAUGACAUUUGCAGCAAUUUUGUGCCUAACCUAAAGCUGGGGUUGUGCCAGUGGUAAAGGAAUUCUAUGCGAAUGUAUUUGAGCAUGUUGAUUGGGUUGUUUUGGUCCGUGGCAAACAGGUACCAUUCGACAGUUAGGCCAUUAACAAAUUCUUUGGAACUCUAAACCUUAAAAAUAAUGAAUACAAGCAAUAUUUGGGAGAUCAACAAGAUAGUGAUGUGAUCAUCUCGGAGCUUUGUGUUAUGGGAACCCAAUGGAAAACAUCUCAUGGAGAGCUUGUUUCGUUCAAAUGAAGUGCCAUGAAGAAGGAGCUAAAAGUGUGGUUACAUUUUUGCGGCAGCAAGAUUGCUCCCAUCUACCCACAUCAGUGAUGUUACCAAGGAUCGUACAAUUCUUACGUAUGCUAUUUUGACUCAUAAAUACAUCGACAUCGGGAAGGUUAUUUCUCAUGCUAUACUUCACACAUGUCGAAUCAAUCGAGAUGGUAUAGGAUUUCUUUCUUUCAUAACUGCUUUGUGUGGAAAAGCUGGUGUAUGAUGGAAUGAUAGUGAAGAGUUGCAGCAAUCUAAAAUUCAAACCACCAUUGGAAUUCUGAGGCAAUUGGAAGAGUCCACAGUAGUGGCUGGUAGUUCUUCUCCAACUGUUCCAUAACCUCCACAGCGAGCUCCAACCCAUAGUGCAAAUGGAUGGAAUGGAUUGAUCAUCAUAUGGACCGCCAAGAAAGGUAGAAUAGAACACUUCAGCAAAUUAUGUGAGGCUAAGAAAAAACAUAUUGGGAUGGAUAUGGCUGUUUUCCUUUCGUUGCCCACGAAUUCAAACUCUGAUGACGAUUUUAGUAAGGAUGAUAAAGAUGACCAAUACGGUGCAGCUAUAGUUUAACGGAGUAUUUUCUUUUCCUUACUUUUCAUAAUAUUAGGGAUAAUGCUUACUUUAAGUGUGGGGAGGAAGUUUUUAAAUUUUCAUGUCUUUGAUUAUGUUUUGAAGUUAAGUUUAGUUGUUUAGCAUGAUAAUUUAGGAGUAGUGAAUUUAGGAAAAUGUUGAAAAACUAAAGCUAAAAUUAGUGCACUAAUGAAAUUGAUUCGCCCAUCCAAUGAUGAUAACUAACUAUUUUGUUGAUCUUUUACUCUUAGUUGUUUGAAUGUCAUGUGGAGUCUUGUUAGCAUCAUGAUCGGAUGAAAUUUUCAUACUUGAGCACUAUAUCUCUACAUUGAAAUAUCCUAUCUCUUUAGAGAAAGUUUAUGUAAAUGAAGAUUUUAUAAAUAUGUUUAUAGUUUUAGAAUUUGUUUAAUUCUUCCUUGAUGCAAAAUCAUAAAGCUAUACUUAGUCAGGGACUUGACUUAGGCCAUUCUUGGACUAAUUGAGCCUUUCAAGCCAACCUAUUUACAUCUUUAUCUAUAAUAUGCCCCUUUGAGCUUAAAUUGUCUUUUAUUUGAUUUAACCCAUAAAUAACAUUAGCUUAGCGUUUGAGAAACUUCUCCUAUUUUUACAACCCUCACUCCUAAACAUAUAUAUUGUUUUAAGAAAUGUAUGUUGAACUGUUUGAUGAGAAAAGUGGAAAAGAUGAAAUAUAGAGAAAAAUGCAAAACAUUUUGAAGUAUUCAUCCCACUAUUAAUGAAAAAACCAAGUUUGGGGUUGUUGAAAAAAAAAUAUGUUUGAGGAAGGAAUAGUGAAAGUGAAAGAAAAAGGGUGUACUCGAUGAAGAAAAAUAAUAAGGCUAUAUAGGUCCUAAAACAAUUAUGUGUUUAGAGUGACUUAUGCUACAUAUUAUCCCGGAUCCUACCUCCACCCUAGCCACACAUUACAAGCUAAAUAAAGUCCUAGGGAUCCUUAAUUUAGUAUUAGCCUACAUUAUUGGAGAGGGAGAGGAAAAACAAACUUAUGAAAUUUUUAACUAGUUUGAAGUUUGAAUGAACAUAAACCUAUCCGGAGUGCAUGAGAUUCAUGGCAAGAGAUUUCACACACAUUCACACACACACACACAAUAAUUUAUCCAAAAAUGAGCUUGCAUUGGAAUGUAAUGUGAAUUUAGAUAAUAUUUAUGUCUUACUAUGAGUUGAGAUAACGAGAUAGUUUAUGAGCAAAUUAAAGGUUAUAAAUGAAUUGGUGCAUCCGAUUUUGUUAGUUUGAUGUUUUCAAUUAUGUUAUUUUGUUUUCUUAGUUUUUGCUCGAGGAAUAGCAAAAUAUCAAGUUUGGGGUUGUAAUAACUCUAUGAUAUAGAGUUAGUUUGCCACAUUUUGAUUGUAAAAAGCAUAGCUAAGUUCUUGUGUUUUGAAGUUAAUUUUAAGUAAUUUUUAUACUUUUCUUUAUUUAGUUUAUUGCAUGUUGAAUUAUUUUUAAUUUGAGUAAUUUGAGCUUAUUUUCACAUCAAAAGUCUUAAUUUGAGAAAUCACAAAUUUCGUCUUUAUUUUAAAGGUUCUCAAGUGUAAAAAGCUUCAUGGAAGUGAAAUGUGCAAGAUGGUUAGGUGUAGAAUUUGCUAAACAUAUUGUAGUAUUUCUGCCAUAACACUUUCUAAAGAACUCCAAAUGAGGUGAUUCUAGACCACUGGAAAGUUGCAAGGAAAGGCUACAACUUUUCUAUUUAUCACUUUGCCCAGCUUGGAUUGGAAGGUGAUCAAAACCAGUGUCAAAAAGAGAGUACUGCACUAAGAGAGUAAAACAAAGACAGAACACUUGAGAGCCGCGGCGCUGAAAGGAAUUUGUGGCGAACUUCAAAGUCAGAACUGUUGAGAGCCACAGCGCUAAAGCUUAUUUCCAAAAAUAAUUGUUUGACUAGAAAUUUGGAAAUUAAGCUAAUUUGUGCUUAUUUAAGGGACAUUUUCAAAGAAUUUUAGAGAGAGGACAAUAGUAGCUAUUUUGAAGAAUUGUAGCUAACAAUCAAGCAAGAGAACAAGAAAAAUUGAGAGAGAUUCGAGAUCAAAAAGCUUCAACAUUAGUUUCUUUCUUUAUUUUGUGUUUUCCUUAUUUUCUUUGACUUGAAUUCAUAGCUAAAUUUCUUUGGAUAAUGUUUUACUUAGAUAUCAUGAACUAAUUUAUUUGUCUAGGAUUAUGAUGGAUUUCAACAUGUAGUUUGAAUAUUAGUUUCUCUUUUAUUUAUCAUGAAUGGGUAUAGUUUUGCUUAUUCAAAUCUAUUCUUAAUGCUUUUAAUUGCUUGAUCAAUAAUUAAUUAAUUUGUGAAUCUAAUUGAGACUUGACAAAGAGGUUUUAGAUUGGACUAAGAUUUAAAUAGUGUAUGUUAACAUCACUUAGGUGAUCUGAUUCGCGAUUUGGAUAGACAUACGCCAAUUGCCAUACAUAGCCAAAUUAGGACACUAGCUUAAUGAACUUAAUUUAAUUAAGUCCUAUAGACAUAUAGUGAGCUAAUUAAGUUAGGUAUUUGUGCAAGCAUCUCGAUGGAGACUUGUAGACAGCUUUGGAUUCUAGGUUAGUAAAACCACCUAGGAAGGUAAAUAAUAAGCGAAGCUGGUAUCAAAUGAAGUGUUGAACGAACCCAUAAUCCUAGGUCUUUAGUCUGUUGUCUUUCUCAAGUAACUUUAAUUUCUGUUAGUUAAUUUAGUUCUUGCUUUAAUUUAGUAUUAAUUAAUUUUCUUAAAAUUUGAGUUACUUAAAUAAGAUUAAUUUGUUAUAAAAUUUUAGUACUUAGUAAAACUUUAGGAAGAAAUCUUUGUGGGAACGAUACUCUACUUAUAACUAUAUUACUUGUUUGUGAUAACAUGCACUUAUGUGAAAAAUCAAUAACACUCAUACAAGCACCUUGUGCUGUGAGGAUCGAUAUACCCGUCCAUGGGAGUUGCUCCUUGGCUAUUCCUGUCACAACCUAAUUUCCUGACCAUGACCAGUGCAAGGGCCCAAUGGGCUCAGCCCACUAAGCCCAAGCAAGCCUAUUUAUAUAAUCUGGUACACUAAUCCAUAUGUCUUUAAAAUCCAAAACUUGUAAUGUUCAAAUAUAAUUCCUUUGAAAACAAUUCAUAAGACCCAAUAAUGUAUUCAUAAUAACAUCAUCAACCAUAAUAUACAUAUAUAGCUUGACAAAUGAGUCUUAGCAUUUCACAUCCAGCAUUCAUAUACACAUAAUUAGACCUUGAUCGUUAGCGGAGUGAAUCUGGGCACGGUUGCUAACAUUUAGUGUCAUGGUAAACCUACCGAGCAAUGGAUAAGGAAGAGCACUUCUUCCUAGGACCAACCACCUUUAACUCAGAAAACCUAAAACAUGAAGUUUAAAAACGUGAGUAUAAACCCAGUGAAUGAACAUAAGAAGGGAACAAGUAUCAAUUCGGGAAGUUUUAGAAAACAUGAUGCACUUAUGUUGAAAACAAUGCAAUUCAACUUAAUUUCUUAUCACAAUGAAAAUCCAUUUUUGCUACAGUGAAAAUCAAUUGGAAAGCAUUUCUCAAAUUUUAACAUUCAAUAAUCAAUGCAAGCACAAUAUAAUUUCCAUAACCUCUCUAUAUAUAACAUAUAUAAACAUACAUACGACCACCGGCAUCACCCCAACUCUCCCUCAGCUCACGUGCACUCCCACAUCGCACAUAACUGGGUCAUUAUCAGCUCAUGUGCACUCCUACACCACACAUAGCUGGGUCAUCAUCAGCUCAUGUGCACUACCACACCACACAUAGCUAGGUCAUCAUCAGCUCAUGUGCACUCCUACACCGCACAUAGCUGGGUCAUAAUUAUCAAACAAUAAUAUCAUUCAAUGCAUAACAUUCACAUCAACAUAAUGUGGAAACACAGGAAUUCAUCACAUUCAUAUUUCACAACAUAAAAAUGUUUCAUUAAGUGCUUCUUCCCAUGCAAAUUUUAAAAAAAAACCAACCAAAUAUCUCAAGUGGUUCAAUCAAGCAUCUAAUCAUUUAUUCCAAAACAUUUUGAUGCAAGUUCAUUCUGUUGUCUCCAUUAGUUUUUUAUGAUAAUAAAACAUUCCCAUUUAUGUGUGUCUAAUGCCUUUACUUGAGUGGGCAGGAAAGUAAUAUAUGAAAUUAAUUUAUUGACUCUUCAAAGAGUAUUUUUGAAAGAAAAAGAGGGAUAAAACCAACAAGAUGUAACUAAAUAACAAGGAGCAAGCUUAUUGGUGAAACAAGGAAAAACAUUGGUUAACCAAAUUUCAAAUUGGAGAAAUGGCGAGCUGAAAAGUUUGAGAAACAGAACCAAUUUAGUCAACCAAGUUAGUCAACUAAGUGCUCUCUGCCAGAAUCUGCAAACCAGAAACAGAACCAACUUAGUCAACCAAGUUAGUCGACUAAGAGCUCUCUGUCUGCAAUUUGAUCCAGAGCACUACAAGACAGAUUAAAGGCUAGAACUCAUUCUCAAUUGUUUCCAAUGGAUAUAAACUACCAAACUGCCAUCAAAGUUGCAUUUCCAAGUAUAAAAGGGUCUUCCAACAAUAAGAAAGAAGUUUUUUAAAGCUUUGAAUGAGAUUUGAGCUAUAGAAAGUAGAAAAAACCAGAAAAGCUUCACUGCACCUUACUGCACUUAAAUGCCAAAUUUUUGUACUAGAGUUCAACACUUCAUCUUGUACCAUCUAAAUCAAGUAAGUGAUCAUAGGUACUUCUUUAUUACUUCUUUUGUAUUCUUAGAGUGAGGGAGUCACUCUAAGGGGUUGUUCAAGCUUGGGAUGGCUUGAUUGUUGUAGGUUGUGGUUGAGCCUUGGAAAACCACAUUGGGUUUUAGUUGAGCCCGUGAAAAACUAGUGUAAAAGGUUGUGGCUAAGCCUAGUAAAAGCCAUUGUGAAGCUUGGUGAAAGCUUGUGAAUUUCACAAGUCCAUAGUGGAUUUGUGGGAAAAUCCUUGGUUGGAUAAUCAAGGUAGUGGAUGUAGGUCUUGGACUAAACCACUCUAAAUUGUUGUGCAUUUUAUACUCUGUUUUUGGUUUUCUUAAGUUCUAGAAAUUACUUUCCAAUCUUAUCAAGAGCCAAAUUGUGCUAUUCACCCCUCCCCCCCUCUAGCACAUAUUAUCAUGACCAACAAUUGGUAUUAGAGCUAGUUACCUAUUUUUAAGGCUUAACAUCCUUUAGGAGGAUCCAAAUGGCUCAACAAAAAACCAUAGUUGCAGAGGGACAAUCAACAAACAGACCACCUCUGUUUGAUGGCUCUAAUUACCCUUAUUGGAGCACUAGAAUGUCAAUUUAUAGUAGGGCUAUAGAUUAUGAAAUGUGGGAUGUCAUAAUUGAUGGACCCUUUAUGCCCUCAACAGUGAAUGUAGUGACAAAUGAGUUGCCCAAGCCAAGGUCUAAAUGGACUGAGGCUGAAACUAAGAAAGUUCAAACAAACUUUAAGGCCAUCAACACAUUACAUUGUGCCUUGACCCCCACUGAAUUUAACAAAGUCUCAAGCUAUACAACAGCUAAACAAGUGUGGGAGAAACUUAGGAUAAUCCAUGAAGGGACUUCCCAAGUCAAGGAGUCCAAAAUUGCUCUCUAAACACAUAAUUAUGAAAUGUUCAAAAUGGAGCAUGGUGAAGACAUCACCAGCAUGUUUGAUAGGUUUACAAACAUCACAAAUAACUUGAGCCAGCUAGGCAAACCUAUCUCUGAACAUGAAUUAGUUAAGAGACUGCUUAAAAGCCUACCAAAAUCCUGGAAACCAAAAGUGAUUGCCAUUAGAGAGGCUAAAGAUCUAAACAUCAUCACUCUCGAUGAGAUUUGUGGUUCUCUUCUUACUCAUGAGCUGGAGCUUAAGGAAGAAGAAGAAAAAGACCGAAGGGAAGCAAACGAAAAGAAAAAAAGUAUUGAACUUAAAGCUAGCAUCCUUGAAGAAGAGUUGGAAGAGCUUUCUUGUGAUGAUGAUGAAGAAUUAGCUCUAGUUGCAAGAAAAUUCAAAAAGCUAAUGAGAAAAAGAAAUCAAAAGCUAAUUAGAAGAGGUUUCAGGAAAGACCAAGGUGCUUCAUGGAAAAUAAGGAACAAAAAAGAGGAGAUGAUCUGCUACGAAUGCAAGUAACCUGGUCACUUCAAGUCCGAGUGUUCAAUGCUGAAAGAUGAAGCCCCCAAGAAAAAUAAGAAAUCCAAGAAAGCAAUGGUGGCUGUUGCAUGGUCGGAUAGUGACACAUCAAGCUCGAAAAUUGAUGAUGAAAAAUCUGAGGAAAGAGCAAACAUUUGUUUAAUGGAACAAGAGGAUGAAACAGAGGUACCCUCAUCCCCUUGCAUUAAUUCAAAUGAUGAUUUUUAGGAUGAGUAUGAGUGCCUUUAUGAUGAAUUUGAAAAGCUUUUUUCAAAAUACAAAUCAUUAAAGAAAAAGGCUGCAUUUCUUGAAAAUGAUUUGGAACAAAUCAAACAAGAAUUUACUUCUGUUUUUAAGCAAAGAAAUAUUUUGCAAAUUGAGUUAGAACACUCAAAAACAGACUUUGAGGUUUUUAAACAAGAGCUGGAAAACAAGUCUGAAGCUUUGCAAAUAACUCCUAAUGAAAAUACAGCUCUUAAAUGUUUGAAAAAUGAAUCCUCAAAAAGAGAUGUACACCACAAUAAAAAUUCAACUAAAGCAUUACCUAGAUGUUAUAAUUGUGGUAAACAUGGUCAUUUAUCAUAUAAGUGUUUUAAGAAAAGAAUAGUGCAGAAAGUUAAGAAAAUCUGGGUUCCUAAGGGAUCUUUUGUUGCAACUAACACUCAAGGACCCAUCAAAGUAUGGGUAACUAUAAAGAAAAACUGAAAUUCUAUUUUGUAAGUUGAGCUAGACUUAAAUGAGACAUGUUCAAAAACUCAACUCAAGAAGAAACAGCCUUGGUACUUGGAUAGUGGCUGUUCACAGCACAUGACAGGACAUGAAAUGCUGUUUGCUCAGUUGGAUAAGAGAAAGGGAGGAACCGUAUCCUUUAGAGAUGAUUCAAAAGGAAGAAUUCAUGGUAUAAGUACGAUUGGUAAGAAUUCCCAAACUCAAAUUAGUCAUGUGUUGUUGGUUAAAGGCUUAAAGCAUAAUUUACUAAGUAUUAGUCAAUUAUGUGAUAAAGGAUUUAGAGUGUGCUUUGAUUCAACUAAGUGUGAAGUGAUAGACAUGAGUACAAAUAAAAUCUCAUUUAUAGGAAAUAGAUUGAAGAAUAUAUAUGUAAUUUUUCUUGAAGAUCUUGAAGUAAAUAAUGAAGUACGUCUUAUUGCAAAUGAAAAAAAUGAUAGUUGGCUAUGGCAUAGGAGAUUAGGACAUGUGAGCAUGAAUACUAUGUCAAAAUUAAUUAAGAAAAUUCUUGUUGUUGGACUGCUUGAGUUAAAAUUUGAAAAUGAUAGGAUAUGUGAUGCUUGCCAACUAGGAAAACAAGUUAAGACAUCCUUCAAGUCUAAGAAAAUUGUGUCAACAUCUAGACCUCUUGAAUUGCUUCAUAUUGAUCUAUUUGGUCCAAUAAGUACAACUAGCUUAAGAGUAUUAUCUUAUGGCUUUGUUAUAGUUGAUGACUAUUCAAGAUAUACUUGGGUGUAUUUUCUUGCUAUUAAGAAUGAUGCUCUACAAGCAUUCUUAAGUCAUUGUAAGAGAACAGAAAAUGGAAAAAGAAUAGCCAUAGUUAGCAUAAGGAGUGAUCAUGGAGGAGAAUUUGAAAAUGAUGAGUUUGAAAAGUUUUGCAAUGAAAAGGGGUUGGAUCACAAUUUUUCUGCACCUAGAACACCCCAGCAAAAUGGAGUUGUAGAGAGAAAAAACUGAACCUUGAAAGAAAUGGCUAGGACCAUGCUAUGUGAGAACAACCUACCUAAAUAUCUUUGGGCUGAGGCAGUAAAUACAAUAGCUUAUAUUCUUAAUAGAGUCUCAAUAAGACCCUUAAUUUCAAAGACUCUAUAUGAACUUUAUAAAGGUAUGAAACCAAAUAUUUCUCACCUUAGGAGCUUUGGCUGUAAAUGCUUUGUAUUGAACAAUGGAAAACAGCCCCUAGGGAAGUUUGAUGCAAAGAGUGAUGAAGCAAUAUUUUUAGGAUAUGCUUUAAACUUAAAGGCCUAUAGAGUUUUCAACAAAAGGACCUUAACCGUUAAAGAAUCAAUUCAUGUAGUUUUUGAUGAGUCAAAUGCAUUGCAAAAAGAAGUUCAUGAUGAUGAUGAUGAUGUAGAAGUCCUAGAAAAACAAAUAAAGGAAAUGAGCUUAGAAAACAACAAAAAUAAUGACGAAAGCUCACCUAGAAAAGAAGAUGAAACUCCACCUUUAGAAAAUCUGCAAAGAGCAGACAAUCAGCAUGAUGAUCUACCAAGGAGUUGGAGAUUUGUGAGAGAUCACAAAGAUCUACAAUACCAAAUAAUUGGUGAGAUUUCUCAAGGAGUUAAAACUAGGAAAGCAACUAGAGAACUUUGUGAGUUUUCAGCGUUUAUAUCUCAAAUUGAACCUAAAAACUUUGAAGAAGCUGAAAAAGAGGAAAGUUGGAUAAUGGCCAUGCAAGAAGAACUUGAUCAAUUCACAAGGAGUCAUGUAUGGUCAUUGGUACCUAAACCUUCAAAUCACCCUAUUGUUGGUACAAAAUGGGUAUUUAGAAAUAAGGUAAAUAAGCAAGGAAAUGUAGUUAGAAAUAAAGCUAGGUUGGUAGCAAAAGGAUACAACAAAGAAGAAGGAAUAGAUUAUGAUGAAACUUUUGCUCCGGUUGUUAGGAUUAAAGCCAUAAGGUUGUUGCUAACUUUUGCAUGUUUCAUGAAUUUUAAAUUAUUCCAAAUGGAUGUGAAAAGUGCAUUCUUAAAUGGAUUAAUUCAAGAGGAAGUAUAUGUAGAACAACCACCUGGUUUUGAAGACUUUGAAAAAUCUGAUCAUGUUUUCAAACUUCAUAAAGCCUUGUAUGGAUUGAAACAAGCUCCUAGAGCUUGGUAUGAAAGGCUUUCAAAAUUUCUAGUUGAAAAGGGGUAUGAUAGAGGUAGCAUCAAUACUACAUUGUUCAUUAAGAGAUAUAUAAAUGAUUUAAUUGUUGUGCAAAUAUAUGUGGAUGACAUUGUUUUUGGUGCAACUAAUGAGGCUUUGUGCAAGAACUUUGCUAAGGAAAUGCAGGGUGAAUUUGAAAUAAGCAUGAUGGGAGAGUUAAAGUACUUCCUUGGUCUUCAAAUCAAACAAAGUAAGGAAGGAAUCUUCAUCAACCAAGAAAGAUACACUCAUGAUAUGCUCAAGAAAUUUGAUAUGCUGAAGCUGAAAUCAAUGUCUACACCAAUGAGCCCAUCCACCAAACUCGACUUAGAUGAAAAAGGUAAGGAUGUAGAUCAAAAGCUCUAUAGAGGUAUGAUUGGUUCUCUUCUCUACUUAACAACAAGUAGACCAGAUAUUCAGUUUAGUGUGUGCUUGUGUGGUAGAUUUCAGUCACACCCUAAAGAAUCACACCUAACAGCUGUUAAGAGAAUUUUUAGAUACCUUAUAGACACUCAAGAACUAGGAAUAUGGUACUCUAAAGACUCAACUCUUAGCUUAGUUGGAUAUUCAAAUGCUGACUUUGCCGGCAGCAAAACUAAUAGGAAAAGCACUAGUGGAACAUGCCAAUUUUUAGGAAGGAUGCUUGUGUCUUGGUCCAGCAAAAAGCAAAACUCAGUGGCACUGUCGAUAGCAGAGGCUGAAUAUGUAUCAUUAGGUAGCUGCUAUGCACAAAUCCUUUGGAUCAAGCAACAAUUAAAAGACUAUGGAAUAACUAUGCAUAAUGUACCAAUAUACUGUGAUAACACAAGUGCAAUCAAUAUAUUAAAAAAUUCUGUGUAGCACUCUAGGACAAAGCACAUUGAAAUUAGACACCAUUUUAUUAGAGACCAUGUGGUGAAAAAUGAUAUUAAGAUAGAAUUCGUGAAUACUUUACAUCAAUUAGCAUAUAUUUUUACCAAACCUCUAAGUGAAGAUAAAUUCUGUGAGAUUAAAAGAAAUUUAGGGAUGAUUAGUGUGAAGGAAUUAUAAGAAAACCUUAGGCUCUCACAUAGAAAAUAGAAUGCUUUCAGUCAACUAAGAGUGGUCUGAUAGCCUUAAAUAAUAAAACUCGGUGAGUUUUAGAGAAAGAAGUGUAAAAUGUGGUAAAAAUUUGGGUUUACUGGGUGCAAAAAGAAUGAAGAAAAACUGUCUAAGGUAAAUAACCAGAUUUUAGAGGGAAGUUUGAAAUUAUAAAGAAAUAAAAUAAGGCAGCACUUAAAGAAAGGUGAGGAUUUUUUUUUCGUAACAGCUGCUGACUGCCUCUCCUCCUCUCUCCCUUGAAACUCGUUGCUCUAAAAAUAAAAACCUAAAUCUCCCUUUUUGCCUCUAAAAUCGACUCAAACCCUAAAAAAUUUCUACAACCAAUAUGGCUAGAACAUCUCAAAGCAAAGAGAUAUCAGAGAAAAAGAAAGGGAAAAGGCCAAUGGAGGAAGAAACAGGAACUGAAAGUCUGAAGAAGAAACUGAAAAUCAUGCCUGGUUCAGUGAAAGAUAUAUUCGAGAAACUAAGAGAAAAGAAGCAGAAAACUGGUAAGAAGAAAGAUAUAGAGCCUUCACUCCACAAAGGUACCAGUUCUUCUUCUUCAAAAUUUAGGAAUAAGUUGCAUGAGUAUAGAUUCAAAAAUAUCGAGAAUGCACCAAUCUCCUAUGGAAAGUUUAUUGAUUGGAAGAGUUUUGAGGAAAAUGUCGAAAUCCAAACUAGUUUAUCUGAGUACUUUGAUGAACUAGAAUUGAAAGGUUACAGCACCUUUAAGAAUAGGUCUUGUAGUCCAAGUCUGGUCAAAGAGUUUUACUCUGGAAUUGCUUUGAAAGGAAAGGAAUUAAUAGAUUCUGAUGAUUAUGUAGAAGAUGGGUUGAAUGUUUAUCUGAAUGGAAAAGAGUUUAUUAUGACUGUUGAGGAUUUAGGGAACCUGUUGAAAAUAGAGUAUGAAGAAGGUGAAUUUGAAUUGCUUGAAAAAUAUGAUCCGUCCUCAUUGUGGGAGAUCAUCACUAGAAGGAAAGAAAAUUAUUCUUCAAAAAGUAAUUCUGGUUUGAUAACCAGCCCUCAUAUCAGAAUUCUACAUUAUUUCAUAGUAGUUAAAAUACAAGGCAGAAGUGGAAGCCUUAGCUACAUCAGCUUUCAGGACCUUUGGCUAAUGGAGCAUGCUUUCAAUGGAGUGUUUAUGAAUUUGGGAAGAUUUAUGAUUGAGAAAAAGAGAAGUGCCUGCAGACUUGAUAAGGUAAAUCUGCCAUAUGGGAAUAUGAUUACAUCCCUUGUGCAGAAGAAGGGAAUAUGGGUAAAGAGGUAUGAUAUGGACUUGGUAAAAACCAGAGACCAAGCUAUUCAUUUUGGCAGCUUGGUUAAAAUGGGCUAUGUACUUGAUGGAGAAAGGUUCAUUAAAACCUCCAAGAUUGGUCCAAGAAAAGAACACAGCCUACCUGCUUAACCUAAAAAAGCUCCCUCCAGAUUUUAAAAUGAAGUGAUUUUUAAUUUGCUCAUGAGGAUUGAUGGUAAGCUGACUGACCAAGGAAUGAAGCUACAGAAAAUGGAAGAUAAAAUCACUAAGUUGGAAAACAAGCUGAAGGAGAAGGAAAACAUGCCAUCUGAACCUGUGGCUACAGAUAGCUCUGCCACAUCCAGCACUGCAUCUGCACAACAAGUGCUGAAAGUUUAGUUAAGUCAGCAGAAAAAUUUGCUCCUCAUGUUGGAAGUUCUAGCAUUUAGACUGAAGGUUCCACCCAUAAAUCUGCCAGUCCUACUCUACAGACUGAAGACUCUCCCCAAGGGGUUGAUCAACAAGCCAAGACACCCUCCCCUGAACCUCAAAGCAAAAAUAAUUCAGAGAUAGAGAAACACUAGGCCUCUCCUCCAAACUCAGAGGAAGUUUCCAUCAUGGAUGUCUUCCACCAAAUGGUUAAGGAGGGACAAGCUGAAAAGGACACUGCCAGGACAGAAACUCAAAAGGAUGGUGAAGGUGUAGGAAAAGGAAAGAAAUCUGCAUCAGCUACUAGAGUAAAGACAAAAGCAGGGAAAGCCAAAGCCACUGCAGCACCACCAACUGAGGCAAAACUACCAACCAAAGGCAGGAAGACCAUGGCAACUAAGACAGCUUUUCUCAAGAGAAGAAAGUCUUCCAGGUUGGUAGAGAAAUCCAGACCAGUUUCAACCUCCUCUCCAAUCCCUGUCUCAAACAAGUCCUCACCAGAACCUUCCCCAAGACAUUCAUCACCUCUCCGAGAGCCCUCUCAUUUUCCUCUCAACCUUUUCUACAGCACUGAAUCCUCACCCUCUGACACAUAAGAUGAAUAGAAGCCCCUCCUUUUGAUGCUGACAAAAAGGGGGAGUAGAGUAGAAUGGGUACACGAACCAAGAACCACAAGAACCAGGAACCAGAGAAUAAAUUUAAAAAAAAAAUGUUAGGGUAGAGGAACCAGGAAGGAACCUAGGAAAGGAAAAAAGACAGAAUCAAAGAUGAAUGAACUUAGAAAAAUAGAAGAUAGGAAGCAAAAAAAGUCUAGGGGCAGUUUCAGAAUACUUGUUGAUUAACUGUUAUUUGUGCCAUGGUGGCACUUAAACACUCAGUUUUAAUUCUAUUAUUUAUGUGGUUGUAUGUGAAAAAUGAAUGCUGAUAUAGCUAUGUUGCUUAAUUGCUAAAAAUUGAAGUCUGUUGAUAAUUUGUUAUUUUGGUAUUUUGACUGUCAUGAACAAAAUCUGCCGGUGCUAUUCUAAUAUUGAUUUACAUGCUGAUAAAUUAUUUUUGUUAUGCCAUUGCGGAUAAUUUUUGUUUGAAAAUAGAUAUAGAUGGUAUGAAUAGUAUAUCAAUUGAAACAUAAAUGAAGUGAACAAAAUUUGAAAUCAAUAAACUAUUAAUAGCUGCUGGAACAGUGAUGAAAAUCUGUCAACACUUAAAGCUGAAAGUUUAAUAAUGAUCUGCUAAUACUUACUUGCUGAAAAUCACUCUAUUUUGCUGAACAUAUGUAUACUCUAAAUGUACAAUAUCAUUUUCUAUAUGACAAGAAUAAAAUUGGCUGAAAUAAAAUAAGCAAAAUAUGCACACACUAAGGGGGAGCUUAUACUUAGGGGGAGCAAUCCUCAAUUUUUGCAGAAAACUAAAAAGAAUUAAAAUGACACUAUGCUGUUAAUCAAGGAAUGUUUUGUCAUCAUCAAAAAGGGAGAGAUUGUUGACUCCAUUAGUUUUUUAUGAUAAAAAAACAUUCCCAUUUAUGUGUGUCUAAUGCCUUUACUUGAGUGUGCAGGAAAGUAAUAUAUGAAAUUAAUUUAUUGACUCUUCAAAGAGUAUUUUUGAAAGAAAAAGAGGGAUAAAAUCAACAAGAUGUAACUAAAUAACAAGGAUCAAGCUUAUUGGUGAAACAAGGAAGAACAUUAGUUGACCAAAUUUCAAAUUGGAGAAAUGACGGGCUGAAGAGUUUGAGAAACAGAACCAAUUUAGUCAACCAAGUCAGUCGACUAAGUGCUCUUUGCCAGAAUCUGCAAACCAAAAACAGAACCAAAUUAGUCAACCAAGUUAGUCGACUAAAAGCUCUCUGUCUGUAAUUUGAACCAGAGCAUUACAAGGAAAAUUAACAGCUAGAACUCAUCCUCAACUGUUUUCAACAGAUAUAAACUGCCAAACUGCCAUCAGAGUUGCGUUGCCAAGUAUAAAAGGGUCUUCCAACAAUAAGAAAGAAAUUUUUUGAAGCCUUGAAUGAGAUUUGAGUUAUAGAAAGUAGAAAAAACCAGAAAAGCUUCACUGCACCUUACUGUACUUAAACGUCAAUCUUUGUAACAGAGUUCAGUACUUCAUCUUGUACCAUCUAGAUCAAGUAAGUGAUCAUAGGUACUUUUUUAUUACUUCUCUUGUAUUGUUAGAGUGAGGGAGUCACUCUAAGGGGUUGUUCAAGCUUGGGAUAGCUUGAUUGUUGUAGGUUGUGGUUGAGCCUUAGAAAACCACAUUGGGUUUUAAUUGAGCCCGUGAAAAACUAGUGUAAAAGUUUGUGGCUGAGCCUGGUAAAAGCUAUUGUAAAGCUUGGUGAAAGCUUGUGAAUUUCACCGGUCUAUAGUGGAUUUGUGGGAACAUCCUUGGUUGGAUAAUCAAGGUAAUGGAUGUAGGUCUUAGACCGAGCCACUCUAAAUUGCUGUGCAUUUUAUACUCUGUUUUUGUUUUCUUAAGUUCUGGAAAUUAGUUUCCAAUCUUGUUAAGAGCCAAAUUAUGCUAUUCACCCUCCUUCUAGCACAUAUUAUCAGGACCAACACAUUCACCGGUCCUCGUUGAUUCUUAAAUCGACUCCAACUGCCCCUAAUGGUCCAAAUGGAGAUGUGGGGUCUCGUUAGAACCUAUCACACAUAAUAGCAUCACAAAUCAACUCAAUUCACAUAACCAUAAUUCUAAAAGCUAUCUCCUAAAUCAUGUUCUACUAGUUAUUCCUAGCUAGCUUCCAACUACCAUUAAGUGGAUAUCUAUUUUCACUAUUCUAGUCACACUAAAAUGAAUAAACCACCUCAACUGCAAAACACUCACAAAUCUAACCACUAUCCAUUAUCAACAACUUAAAAAUCAACUCAAUUUUCAUUACUCACCUUGGUAGCUUUGUAAUUGAAUUCGUUUUCAAAAGCUUUCAAACUAUUGUGAAAAUUCUUUCUUUCUCUCUCUAGAACAUCCAACAAGUGAGAGCAAGUAUUAAGGAAAGGCUUUGGAGGGUUUUAAGGUGAAAGAGUAAAAUAGCACAAAGGACUUUGUAAAAAGGUGAAGAAAAGCAUAAAAAUUGGGGUUAACUUGAGAAAAUUUAUGGAGGUUUCAAAGCAAGCUUCCAUGGAAUGUGAGAAAAUGUGAGGAGGGAAGAAGAAGAAGAAGAAGAAGAAGUUGCUAGAAACUUAGAUAUUUAUGCCUAAUGUUUAUCCAAUUUCUCACGAAAUUACCAAAAUGCCCUUAACGAGGUCACUUUGUCUUCCUCUUACCUUUAGAUAAUCUUUUUACUUCUUUGACACUGAGACAAAGUCCAUAAUAGUCUAAAAAUACUCGGGUUCAUGAAAACUUAAAAGUUUUGACUCAAGAUGUAAAAUGACCGUUUUACCCCUACCAUGAAAAUUAUCAGUAUUUCUAUCUUCUUCAUUUAUUUUAUCAUCAUUCAUUUAUUCCUUAGGUCUAUUUAGACCUUAAUAACAUUUGAGAGCUACUUCAAGGAGCUCACCAUGAGAAAUGACGAAAUUACCCCUAGUCCAUGUUAUCGCAUUUACUUUUAAUUACGAGUCUAUAGAGGUCGAGGUCUCACACUCCUCUUGUCUCCUUGGUGCCCAAAAUACCUUAUUAUGAUGUCAAAUCACUUUUUUUAUCUUGCAAAUUCUUCCUUGAUAAAAAUAUUAUUAUUUUAUUAUUAUUUCUUCACGUGCGUAAUAUUUUAUCUCAAACUAUUCCUUUCAUCUUUUAUCACUUUUAAACAUUAUAAUUAACCUCAAUUGGCAUUCAAUAAGCUUUAUUAAUCACCAUAUCAAAUUACAAGGUAUUACAAUGCCAGUAGCUAUGUCAAGCUUAAAACCUCUAGGGAUCGACCCCUCCUUGCCAUGUGAAUAACCUUUCAUGCCUUAUUUGCAAAAAUUACAUUUCUUUGGUUUCCUUAUCCAAUCAUACUUUCAUCCAUUGAUACCACAUUAAUCCAACAACAUCAGAGUAGGAAGUUCAUGUCAAUCUAGUUAGGAAAACUCAACCAACAUUCAAAUUAUAUUAACACGUAAUUCAUUCAAACUUGUCCAACAUUUACUUAAGUUUAAGCAACAUCAUUUCAUAAAAGGUGGGAGUUUCAUUAUAUGAAUGUAAGAGGUUUGCUUGGGACUAGCGGGCUAUACCUAUCUAAAUUCUAGUGCUGGUCAUGGAACCCCAAAAAGGGAUCGUGAUAGUAUCAUAAAGGGUAUUGUUAGUAGGGGUAGCUGACAAAGCUAUAUGGUUGCUACGCAGAUUUAUUUUUGCUCAUUUGAAGUUUUUGAGAUCACAGGGGAAGGCUAUCUAGGCCACCCUUAUGUGUUUUCUUUUGUUGUUCUCAUCAUGAAUACAAAGUCAUUACCUUUCAAAAAAAAAAAGGUAACAUUUUAUAAAGUAAAUUCAAAUAGGUGGUCAAUCACACCUAAACAAAAAAUAUUGAUAAUGAUUUCAUUUAACAUUAAAUGGUUUAGUUUCGGAACCUGCACAUUAUGACACACACAACUAGAUUUUAGAUGUAAGUAGAUAUAUAAUGGGAAAAUGUUUACGGUUAGUAGUUUUUUUCUAUUUACACCAAAAUUGCUAAUAGCAAGACCAAAUAUCCAUUUGGAAAACGAGAUUGCAUUUAGUAUUUUGAUUCAAUAUGUACUACAUAGGACCCCUGCUAGCUUUAAAAAAUUUUCCUUAAUGUAUAAAUAUAAUUUACUAGAAUUAGGUGCAAUAAAUGAUACAACAUAGCAUAAUAGUUACAAGCAAGACUCAAUUAGAAAAAGAUAAGCAACCUUUUAUUCAAAGACCUCAUAAAGCAUAAAAUCCAAUUAUUAAGCCACUCUUGGGCUGAAAUUUCAAAAUCUUAUUUCAGUAAAGCUUGAUCACAUUGUUCCAUCGGAAUGGGCUCAAGGAUUGGCUUGACACAAUCUUGAUUUUCUUUGAUUUGAAUGCCAAACCAAUCGCAAUUUUGGUAGAUCCGAUGAAUACAUGGUGUCAUUUCGACAGCAACUUUGACAAUAUCGGGUGCUCGAAGAGAAUCUUUAACUAUUACUUUGUUAAAUUUUUACCACAAAUUUCUUAUCAAGCCUGUCACAUGAUUAUGUGCUUCUUCUUCCGAAACACCUUCUUGGGUCAUGUAAAAAUGGAUGAAAUUCAUUGAUUCUCCCCUUUUGAUUUCAACCUUCAAAAGAUAAGUAAUAUCUAACUUAACAAAUUAUUGAAAUAUAAUAAAAUAGGUAGCCACUAGUUUGGUAGACAAGUGAGAGAGAUUUGUUGAAACGUUAAAUUGGUACAGCAAUAAAGCAAUAGCAAUGCAGGCAAGAACAAACCUCGGCAGUGUUUAAAUCAUUAAUGAGUCGACCAAUGUAGCCAGGCAACCUAACUAAGUCAGAGACAGACCAAUGCUCCACAAAUUCUGACAAAUAAUCAUUUAUAGAGUGUCCUGCCACUCCAAAAAAGCCAUAGACAAUGGAUACAGGUACACCAAUCGAGACCCAAGCAUUCUCAAGAUAUUCAUCUGCAGUUGGAGUGUAUCCGCUGUGAAACCAUCGUGCUUCCUUGAGAUAUCCUCUAAUAUAACACAACCACUACAAAAAUUGAAUGUCAACUUGUCAGUAUAAAUUACAAUUAAUAGAUAAAGUUCUCAUUAUGUAUGUACUCCAUGCAUAAUUUCCAUUUUUUCUCUAUAUAUCUUUUUUUAAAAUUAUGUCAUUUUUUUAAACAUCUAAUAUUCUUUUUUGUAUUUUAUAAAUUAUUAUUUAUAAUUUCUUUUUUUACUUUUCAGCAUUAAAAAUUGUAAAACAUCAAUUAAUUUACAAAAUUGUUUUGAAAUUUUUUUAACAAAUAGACUAAAACUAAAGGUUUUUUUCCCUUAAUUUCUAUAAAAGUUCAAGAAAGACAAAUAAAUAAUAUUUUAUUUGGUCAUUCGAUUAUGUACCAUACCUAUUACAUUUUUUUUAGUGAACAUAGCUAUUCCUUAAUAUAGGGUAAAAUAUCCAUGCCAUUAUCUUUCAAGGCAUAUUGGACCAAUUCACUAACAUGGUUGCACAUGGCUGAGGAUACUUUCAUGUACUCUUGGAAGUUCCUCCAUUGCCUUAUUAAGAUCCCAUCUGCAAUUCGGGAAAAGUUUGUCAUUAAAAGAGUUUGGAAACGUGUACGUAGAAUGAACACAAAUUUUCAAAGCAUUGCUCAGACUAAGGAAAGAAGUUGAAAAUCUAAAUUUCUCACCUAUUUACUGCAUCUGUGUACUUCUCAAGCUCAUCAAGUGAGCCAUAUACGUCCAAUAUGUCAUCUAAGGCUGUUCCCAUGAAUCCGAAUUUCGCGAGGUUCCUCCUCAAUAGGGGUAAUUGGGGCCCCGGAGGGCAACUCCCCAGUGCCCAAAAAUAAGACUCAAGUAGCCUAUCCCGAGCGAAAGGUCGCCUUUCCUUAUAGUUCAAGUCCCUCCACCCCCUGCCCAAUCAAUUGGAAAACAGUAAAUAUCUUUACAUACAAACAGCAACUAAAUUCAAUUUGUAGACUUUAUUACAAUUUACUACCUAUUCGCGAUUUAGGGGCAUUUUCCAUUAAACCAUGUAUAUCCAUUUAACAGCACUGAUAUUUAGUAACAAUUUAAAUGAUUUAAGUUGAUGUGAAAAUUAAAUUUCUUAACUAUCACAUUUUAUUUUUACCCAUAAAAAAACUGACAUUUUAAAAUCUGAUUUAUUUUCAAUCUAAUUUAACUAAUGAUAUCUAGUAAUAAUAAUUUAAAAAUCUGAUUUCUUAACAAUGUAAUUUAAGUAAUUACUGAUGUCAAGUAAUCGUAAUUUAAAAAUCUGAUGACAAUCUUAGCUUAAAAGUUCUUUUUUUUUUCUUUUUCAGAUUUAUUUUUUAAUAGAUAAUCUUACUCCACUAGUUCCUGUACCUCCUUCAGAUAAACAGAUUGCAUGAUAUUGUAGUUCAACUUGGCAAGCUCGAGCAAAACCAAAUUCAUCUUAUCAUCAUAUUGGUAGAUAGCAAUGAAAUCUCGUGCUUCUGUCCAAGGCAUCCUCCAGUGCAGUGGAUAUUCCAGUGAUUGUUGUAUUUGCCGAGCUAUAGUCUUCUUUAGCACUAACAGAUGUUUUGUACUAAAAUUCAGGGCCUCGUCUAAAACAUCUUCUUCUGGCAUCCCAAGGUAAGAAGCUUUGUGUAAACUCAAUAGCCCAAUAACAUCUUCUCGUGAGCUGUCCAUGAAUUUUCCAUCUAUCUCCAUGAACUUAUUAAACAGAUCUGCACAUUUUCACCCCUCACAUCUUGAGUAUGUAUGUUACCCAAAUAAACAAGAAGUGGAAUCCCUUAAAUGAUCCAGCUGCAGGGUCCCUGCAAGGGCACAGCUGUUGAAAAUGCUAAAUGAAGAUGAGGCGUCGGUAAGGAUUCGAAUGCAUAGUAAAGCAAACUAUUCCUUUCAAGAUAGUUGGGUAUAGAUUGGUAAAAGAUAUUGUAUUCAUGAAUAUCUAUUUAUUGUGAUAGUUUCAAUAAAGCGAAAUAAACUAGAUUUGUCAAAAAAAAUUAAAUAAGGAGGAAAAUUAAAAUUAAAAAAGAACACGAACAUUUUGAGUCUUGUUAGCCAAUCUGAAGUGUUAAAUUGAAUGAUUGAUUAUUCCAAAAAGUUAAACUAAUAAAAAAAACUUGAUUAUUAUAUUUAAAUUCUAAUACACUUCUUCACAUGUAUUUCAGAUGAAUAUUUAAUGGGCUUGCAGGUGGACUCAAGUGUAGAAAUAAGCCACGCCCAAAAAAGGAUUAAAGAAGUAUUGUAAAGUUCAAUUUGUAACCAAACACUCGAAACAAUAUUAAAAGGAGAGUAACACAUUUUCUAACAUUCGAAAUCAAAGCUCUAAUAUUAUAUUAAGUUGGGCGUUCAAUUAUUUCAAAACUUUAGUUGAUAGGAAAGGGACAACUAUCAUAUUUAAGUUUAACACUAGGCUUGACAAAAAAAGAUGACCAUAAAUUAAAUAUAGUGUCCUUUAAUGAAACGCUAUUCAAAAUGAUAAAAAAAUAAGUUAACUAUAGUGAAAACAUUUUGCGCAUAUAACCUGUACCAAUGAAGAAACCAUUUUGACGUAUAAGUCUAAAUUGCAAGGCGGCAGUGUAAAGAUCAGUGGCAAUGUUGGCAUCAACAAGUUUAGCGAGAAUAUCCUUGAUAUCCUUCUCAAAGUGGUAAGCCCCUCCUAAGCGUUGCAUUGUAUUGAUCAGAUCCAGUUGGUCACGUGGUUCUUUCAUGCUAGCAAGUAAAUCCCCAGCACCUUGCUUAAGUUCCUCAAGACGAGUGACAUGGUUCUCGAACUGCAAAGUUAACCAAAAUAAAGUGGUGCAGGUUAAACACAGAGUAAUUCUAAGGUGAUGAAGCUUGGGCAUCUAAUGAAAGUAAACUUACUGAGUAGGGUGUGGUGAAGGACUUGACGAGUUCAACAUCCCAAACAGUGGGAAGGUUACCUGCUGAUCGUUGUUCAAUACCUUCUGCUUCCAUGGUAAUACUAAAAUGAUUAAUAUUGCGUUGUAACUCGACCGGUUACAGGUAUUUAUAUAGAGAUGCAAUGAAGAAUUUAUCCAUAACAUAACAGAGGAUAAUAAUUAACAGCAGAAAUAGUAGAACCCACAAAUAGUUCUAAAUGACAAAACAGCAUGUCUUUCGGUUUUGUUAUUCAAAUAAUUAAUUUUUAAAUUAUUUACUUAUAUAUAAGCAUUAUACCAACAAAUAGAAGAACCCACGUGUAAAUCUUUUUGAUGGAUAUGCAUCAAACAUAAUUGGAGAUUUGUACUACGGAUUGAUAAAAAUCCAUUUGACUUAUUCAAAUUCUGAUCCGAUUUAAUUUGAUUUGAUUAGAAAAAAUCAUCAAAAUGUUAUGAAUAUUUUUGUGAAUAUUUAUUUAUACCAUGUAUAUCUAGAGUUGGAUGUAAAUUAGAUUGGAUGAAUAUUAAGAUUUAAUCCAUCUAAUCCCUUAGUAUUAUCUUCUUCUUGUAAAUUCAAUAUAGAUAAGGGGUUAUUAGCCUAUAAUAGGCCUCUUCACUUCAUUUGUAAAUAAACACUUGAAUAAGAUCUUCUUACUCCCUCUAAAUACUUUCUCUUUCCUCUAAAUACUUUCUUUUAUAUUUCUCUUGUAAUUGUUCUUUCAGAUUUAUUUCAUAACACGUUAUCAGAACGAUUAUCCGAUCUCUCAAAUUUUAGAAUUAUUAUGUUUUCAUCAUCUUCAAGCUCCAAAAGAAUUUCAAUGAUUGGGUUUUGAUUUCUGAUUCUAGAGAAUCAGGUAAGUGACUUGAUAUCUCUUUAGUAUUUUCAUUCUUUUAAAAUCAACCUUAAUAUGAAUUUUACUAUUAUGUUGUAUAUAUUAUAUUUUGUCCCUUGAUUGGAAAGUGAAUUUGCUAUUAUAUAGUUCAUUCCCUAAAGUGAAUGUGACAAACGAGUUGCUAAUAAAAAACUUACAUCUCCUUACCUUAUUUGUUGAGUUUGUAGGUUUGGAAAGCAUGAAGAUAAGGAGGAUAAAAUGGUACAAAUUACUCUUAUUUAAGUAACUAAAAUUUUAAUUACCUCUCCUUUAAUAUGCUCAAAAGCUAAUCUAUAUUCAUUUAAAUAAAUUUAAUUUCUAAAAUUAAAUAACUUGAUGAAUGAAGAUACGCAAUUGAAAUGGUAAAAAUUAAUUCAUAUUCAUAACUCUAGGCAACACUCAAAUAUUAUUCAAUUGCACCAUUUUAUUUGAUUAAUCCAUAUUCAUUUAUAAUAUUAUUCAAUUGCAAUCACAUUACUUACAAUCACAUUACUUGUAAUCAAAUAGCAUUGUAAAGUAACAAACGCCACCAUAAUAUGAUUGCAAGCAAUAUGAUUAUAGGAAAAAAUAACAUUACAAUAUUUGGUAUACAAGCAAAAUAAUAAUUAAAAUGUAGGGAGAUAAUAUUACAGCGUUUGAUUUACAAGUAUUUUGAUGUAAAUGUAAUAUUAAUUUUCAAAAUUACCCUUACUAUUAAAAUGAAAAUUUAAUAUACUUGUAUUUUUUAUUGUUAAUUUUUAUAUAAUAUCAUCUCUUAAAUAUAUUUUUAAUGUCAUAUAUUUUAUUUUCAUUUCUUAUUAUAAUCUUAUAUAUUUUAUUUUCAUUUCUUUAAUAUAAUUUUUUACAUUAUAUAUUUAUUUAUUUUAAUUUCUUUUACCUAUAUUAUAUAACUUUUAAUUUCUUAUAUUUUAUUUUAUUUUAAUUUCUAAUUUUUAUAUUAUAUAUUUUAUUUUAAUAUUUUUUAUUUUAAUUAUAACAUUAGAAAAUGUUUUUAAUAAAGUAAUAAAGUUGAAGGGUAAAAAUGUCUUUACUAACAUUGCAGAGUGCAAUGUAAUGGGAUUGUAUUGGUUUUGGAUUGUAAUCACAUUACAUUACUUGGCUACAAUGUGAUUGCAUUGCAAUCUUACAUUGCAGUGGUCUGUUGCAAAAACAAAUAUUGCAGUGUAAUUUAAUUUGACACAUUAUAGGGAAUGGGCUCCCACUUCUCUUAUACCAAAUGCUACAUUAAAGUAGUCAAUUCCCAUGAUUCGUAGGGUAGCUUCUUGAUGUUAGAAUAAAAGAUAACAAGAAUUUCAAGUUUUUUCAAACUUCUGGAUGCCCAAGCUUUCUCCAAACGACAACGUACUAAGUAUAGAGUUCGAAGGUUUGUUAAGAAUUGAAGUCCUUCUAACAACAAAAGAUUCUUGUAAGAACUAAAACUUUAAGGGUUUUCAUUCCUUCAAAGAACAUAAUUGGAACUCUUGUUAAACUGCCUUUGUGAUAUUGAUAACCAUAACUCAACAAGAGAGUUUUGAGAUGUGGAUACUCUAUUUUGUGAAGAAGAAUAUUUAUGUUACUCUUUAUUAAUGACAUUGUUGUGUAGCUUUCAAACCUUUCAUUCCUAGGCCAUUUCUCUAACUCACUUUUCACCAUGAAUGUGUUUUCCCCUUCUGAUUUCAUCCAAUGAAUAAAAUCAUGAGCCACAUCAUGCAUUUUCACAUGUCUUUUAUUACUACUUUCCAACAACAAACCUAACUUUUGGAGGUUUUUUUUAUUGUUACAUGCAUUUCCCUCCUUGCAUCUUCAAGUUAACAUCGUCGAACAUUCCUUCCCCAAUUCCAUACAUAGUUAAUUGGUCGAUACUAACUUCAUAAUCUUCUGGGAAAAGAAUAACACAAUAAUCAACAUGAAUGACUAUUGUUUCCUUUUAAAUAAUCAUAACUAAUCUGAAGUCCGUUGUAGAUACCUCCACAAACAUCUUGAUUCUCUUUAUGUCUAGAGCCUUUUAGUCAUUGAUUUACUACUUCCCACCCAUCUAGAGUUUCAGUUUUCAAAGCUCUUCCCACAAUCACAAUUGUAAGAGGCAAACCCUUGCAUUCUUCGGCAACCUCCUUAGCUACAUCAUGCAAAAGGGAAGUGACAUCUUUUAACCGAACAUUAUCUUUGAAUAAAGCCCAUGCUUCAUGUUCAGAUAAGAUAUUGAGCAGAACAUCCUUUUGACAAUUCAUUUGAGUGAAAACUUGUUUAAGGCAGGUGGUUAGAAAAAUUUUGCAACCAUUGUGAUCAUCACCGAAUGGAAUUCUGAUAACCUUCAAGUCAAGUUCUUCCCAAACAUCAUCAGGGAUUAUAAGGAUGCUAUUCACCUCUUUUAUUCUCAACAACAAUUGCUCUGCUUUUCCUUUGAUAGCGUUCUUUUUAAAAGCUAAAUCUAAUAAGUUUGCGAUUUUGUCUUGAAUAUUGUUGAAAUUUGGAGUUUGGGACACGGUUGUGAUCACAACUUUAUGGAAAAGUUGUUUGGCUUGGUUUCCCACUUCUUUUGCCAAAGUGCUUUUACCGUCUCUUCCCAUCCCAUAUAGUCCAAUCAUGUUGAGAAGAAUUCGAAGAUUCAGAAGACAUGAAAUCCUUAGAUGGAAUGAACUCUAAUCCUAGAAUAGUAGCUUGGUAACCUACUCGUUGAAAAUUACAAGUCUUUAAAAGUUGAGAGAUAGAAAGUGUCUUCUUCGCUACUUUCUUACUUAAUCAAUAAUGCUAACCGCAACAAGGACACUAAUUGAAACACUUUUUACAUUCUAUUUCAUUUUCCAAACUUUGAGCUUCUUCUAGUUCUUUCUCUGCCCUUGUUAGCCAGUCCUCAACGUCCUUCUCAAUUACCUCAGUUUGCCUUAAAGCCUCAUCAACAUCAUUUUUCACCCGAUCUUUUCUCAAUUCAAGUUGGUUUUGCCGAUUCUUGAACUGCUCAACAAUUUUGCCCAAACGAAUAAAGCAAUUGACAUAAGGUGAUGCGUAUUUAGUUUCCAGGUUCCCUACAAUGUUGGCAGCAAUAGCAAACUCAGCAGCCAUUCUUUGAUGAUUUGAGAUUGAAAAGCAACUUUGAUGAGAAAAAAGAAAAGAAAAGUGACUUCAAUAAGUAAAAAGUGUUACAGAGAGAUAAAUACAAUUAAUGAAAGAGAAAAUUAUGAAAGUUGGUCGUCUUCAAAACUUGACUUCAAAAAUAACCAUCAAAAUAAAAUUAACUGUUUUUAGCCAUAUUUAACCAUAACUUGACAAAAAUAUCUUUGAAACCAUUUCAAAUAAAUUAAACUAUUCACUACAAUUGCUCUCGAUUAUCGUAUCUGCUUUAGAUUUCUCUCUCUCACCAUUCAGCUCUCUCUAAUUUAUCGAUUUCUCUUUUCAACAUUUGUCUAUCGUGCUCUUGAUUUUUCUUUCCUAUGCUUUCAGGAUGCCAAGAGAUGAUUUUAAUGUGCUUGGGGUGGGUGGCUAUUUAGAAAAUUUGAUUUUAGGUGUUUUGGAUGAAACUAAAAUUAUAGAAAUGAUCACAGAUGUUUGAAAUAGUUUUUAAUUGAAUCAAUUCGGGCCUAAACACUAAUAAACUCAAGAAUUUAAAAUUUAUAAUUCUAGGGUUUCAAAGGGAAUUUUUUUCAAUUUUUAGUUAAAAUAUGUGUUUUAGAUUAGGAAAAUUGUGUUUUGAUUUAUGAAAACGUGUUAGAAACAUUUUAAUCAGUGCCAAAUCGUAAAAAAAAAAAAAGAAAUGAAGAGAGUUGAAAAGAUUUGAAGUUUUGGUUCGUAGGUAACAACAACAUUUCAAGCAUUAAAGUGUAACAAAAUUUUUUAAACAUGGUGUGUAACAAUAAUAUUUUUUCAAUAUGGUGUGUAACAACAUCAUUUUGUUCAACAUGGUGUGUAACAUAGUUUUGUACAUGGUGUGUAACAACAAUUUUUUUUUUUUCAAUAUGGCAUGUAACAACCCUUUUUUAACCAUAGCGUGUAACAUAUUUUUGAACAUGGCGUGUAAUAACUUUUUUUAACCAUGACAUGUAACAUAUUUUUGUACAUGGCGUGUAACAAUAAUAUUUUUUUUCAACACGACAUGUAACAUCAUGUACACUUGAUAUAAAGAGGUUUAAUACAUGACGUAUAAUAUGUUUUUGUACAUGGCAUGUAACAUUAUGUGCACUUGAUAUAAAGAGGUUUCAUUAAGGGUAAUUUUGUCAAACUUAGUUAAACAUAAUUAAAAUUAUAAAAGGGUUAUUUUUUUAAAACAUCUUAUCUUUGAGGACUAUUUUUUAAAAUGCCCCAUUAUGAAAUAUUUACAAAUUAAGUACCUUACCUUCUGAGCAAUAUCUUAAUGAAAAUGUGAGUCACAUGAGAAUAAAUUGUCGAACGACCAGCUUGAAAAUUGAAAAUGCAAUUGACAACUUCCUUAUGAAACAAAAGCUCUGCAGAUGAAGAACAUUUUUAUUUCUUCAAGUUUGUUUUAUCAAUAAUCAAUUGAUUUCAUUUCACUCUUUGUUUAAGAUUUACUAGCCUAAUCUCACCCAUAUAAACAAAAUCAAUUUCGAAUUGUUUAUGCUUUCUAGUUUAGUGAUAUUCAAUGGCUGGAGGCCAUGAGUUCAUGGAUGAAGUAUGGAUAAUCGUCAAUUAAUUAACAAGGCAGUAGAAAUGUAUUUAUAUAGUUAAAAUCAAAAUAAAAAAUUGGAGCCAAAGCCUUUUACCCUUUUUAUAGUUGAUGCUCCUUCCAUCUUUCAUCACUUGACUUUCUCCUUGGUCUUUGAGGUGAUGGCCUUGGAGUACUAGUGGCUUCUUCCAAUAAUUAUUAGUCAUUUUACAAUUAUGAGAAAAUACCUUAUUUAAACAUCUAUAUAAUAUAUUGUCCUUUUCUAAAUAAUGAAGACCUCAAUAAGCUAAGUUUUAAAUUGAUUAAAUUAUGGAAAACUAUUUAAUAAAUUGCUGAUGGAGUUUAAAAUCUCUACCAGUCGAGUUAAAAGGUUGUCAAAUAUCUUAUUAAGUGCAUUUAAAAAAUUAAUAAUAAAUUAAUAUGAUGAAUAAAAAGAUACGUGACAAUAUUCUAAUCUAUCUUGUGUUGUUUAGAAACUAAACUGAUAAUGUAUAAAAUAUUAUUCUAAAUUUCCCAAGAAUAAUUAUAUUUUAUGAAGACUAACACGCCUAUUUUUCGAAGUGGUAAGAACUAAAAGCGUAAUCAACCACCUAUUUAUUGAUGUAUAAACAGUAAAGAUGGUUAGGAAGUUAAUACAAACGAACCACCCAAAAAUUAACAAGUAAAAUAGAAGAAAGAUGGAAGAAAGAAAUGAGAAUACUUGGUAAUUUGCUAACAUGUAGCAGCAGCAGCUAGUAAAAUUCAGAUUAUGCUUUAACGUAGUUUUACAUUCUUGUUACACUGUAUUGUGAUUCUUCUGAUGCAACGUUGCUCAUUUUGCAUGGAGCCUUCCAAACCAAAGAAAGUAAGAAGAGUAGGUACAGGAAAUUUAAUUAAAUAUUGGCAACUUGGCUCAACGUCGUCCCAUUGAGAAAGCUACAAUGCCUAAGCUACUUCAAUGCAUUGAGAAACUUUGUUUUAUUUAUUGUUUUCCAGCUACAAUCCAAAACAUUGUUUUCAUUAAUAGUGUAGAAAUAAAUUUGUUAGAGAUCCUUUGAUUUGACAACUUGUAUACAAAACAAGAAUUUUGGAAAUGGCAACCAUUGUGUUUACACUGAAAAUAUAGAGCUAUUAUUUAUAUAGAGAGACAUGUGAGGUUUAUAUCAAUCACAAGAGCUCGAAGUACAUUUUUCAACAAAAGCGUCCUUAACCUUAAACAACAUCGAUGGAUAGAGUUACUUCAAGACUAUAAUUGCACCAUUUUGUAUCACUCCGACAAGACAAAUGUGGUGAUGGUGUAGACACCUCAUUUUGUCCAAGUCAAUUUAAGUCAUUAUUUUUAUUUUAUUUUAUUUGUAUCCAUAUUUAUUUAGUAUUGGGUCAAAUUAGGUGUGGGUUUAAGUGAUUAAGCCCCUUUAGGAUGGAAGUUUAAUUAAAAGGUUAGGUCUUUUGAGCUUUUAAAUCCAAAGUGUUUUGGGCCACUAUUACAUGAACCUUUCUUGGACUUUCCAGGUCCAAAGGCCUUUAAUUAAAUGGAUUUAAUAAUAAAACAAAAAAAUAGAGAGAAAAUCAAUAAAAUAAAAAAUAAAAAAAAAAACAACAAAUUUGAAAAAUGGAGGUCAUUGCUAAAAACCUACCAUGGCAACCGCUACCUUGUGUGUAUUGAGUCAACCUUGUAUAGGGCUAUGACAAGGUAGAAUUCCUUAGGAGAGUGAGUCUUUUGUACCUCUAAGGGAGAUGUUGCCCACUUUCAAACAUUGCAAUGGCUCUUGGUGACAUCUUUAGAAAUACUUGUUAAGUCUUUAGGGGAGAAAACCCUUUAGGAAAAGAUUGUUCCCAUCUCAAGCAUUGUAAUGGCUAUUAGCGAAAUACUUAAAAAAUCUUGUAAACUCUUUAUAGAGGGUGUGCAGUUGACAGGCUGUUGGGCUAUCUCACUGGUUUAGGUACGUUUGUGGCUAACCAUCUAGGGGUGCCCCUAUAGCUCGAUGAUGGUGCGUUCCUUUUCUUGGUUCCUUUGUACUUAUUUGCAAUAUUAAUAUAACACAAGUGGUUGCAUAUAUGGCAUUUGGUAUGCCUUUUGAUUUUAAUAUUGAUUUCCAUGACUUAACUCAUGGCUAUUAUUCAUGUUGUUCAAAUAUAAUUGAACAAUUGGGUAGCUUGAGUAGAAAUGUCCACCCAAGUGCUGCACGGAUUAUCAUGUACUUAAGCAAAUACGGCGUAGUAUGUGACAGUUGGUAUUAGAGCAUGGGUGAGAUGUGCUAAGCAAAACAAUAAUCAUGGUGACCACAUAGAGUUCACCAAAGGACCAUCAGAAGAUUGAUGAGCUAAAGACCGUGGUGACCACAGUAAAAGCUUAGAUGGUCCCACGUGAGUGAAUAAAUAAAAUUGAGACAGUCUAGCAAAAACUGUCCAAGAUUAUUAAUACCUUGAAUGAUGAGACCAAGGAUGUGUUGAGCACUCUCCAAGGCGAGAUUGGAGAAUUGAAAACUUAAGCAAAUCUUUUGGUUAUUGUUGCAGGUAAUACUAGUGCAAACUAUAGUCGAAAAAGUCGAGGAAGAGUCAACAUGAAUGGGUUCCAUUCGUUUCCUCAGCGCCUUACAAGCGCAAUUGGAAUAGAUGGAGAAGGAGGCCCAAUGAGGUUUAAUGUAUGUAAAGGUGUCAUUGAAUGAGAAAAGAACCAAAGCCAUGCUUGACACAAAGGCCUCAAACACUUUCAUCACCUACGGAUAAGUAAAGAAUUAAGGUCUAAAGAUUCAGAAAGACUUUGGACAGAUGAAAGCAAUUAACUCACCAACCUUCGUUAUUAUGGGGAAUUCAAAAAUUGUGAAGAUCAAGUUCAACUCUUGAGAAGGGAGUGUAAAUUUGACUAUAGCUACUAUAGAUGACUUUGACUUUGUCUUUGGUUUGGAUUUCAUGACAAAGGCAUAGGCCAUUCCAUUUCCUGUGGCUAACUACUUGAUGUUUUUGGGAAGACAACCAUGUGUGGUACCAAUUACAAUCCUACCUAAGAGUGAGAAGAAGGUUAUAUCUUCCAUUCAGUUCAAGAAGGGGAUUAAAAGAGGAAAACUGUUUUAUGUGGCGAUUUCGAUUUAUAAAGAUGGAAGAAGCCAUGAUCUAGUACUUGUAAGACUAAAGUUAGUUUUGGAAGAAUUUAAGGAUAUGAUACUAGAACAAUUACCUAAAAUACUACCACCUUGACUAGCAAUUGAUCAUGAGAUAGAACUAUUUCCGGGAGUUAAGCCUUCGACAAAGGGACAGUAUAGGAUGGCUCCCCCAAAGCUAGCAGAGCUAAAGAAGCAACUUAAUGAGUUGAUACAAGCAGGAUUUAUUUAACCUACAAAAGCACCUUUUAGGGCACCGGUACUAUUUUAGAAGAAGCAAGACGAAAGUUUAUGGUUGUGAGUAGACUCCCGGGCUCUAAGCAAGGUCACAGUAUGAAACAAAUAUCUUAUGCCUUUAAUAGCAUGUUUGUCUACCCAACUGAGUCACACAAACUAUUUAUCUAAAUUAGAUCUUAGGUCUGGCUAUCAUCAAGUUAGAAUUGCUGAUGUGGAUGAACCAAAAACCACUUGUGCCACACGGUACAGUGCAUUUGAAUUUCUUGUUAUGCUUUUUGAACUAACUACUGCUCCUGCCACAUUUUGUACAUUGAUGAAUCAGGUUUUUCAUGACUACUUGGACAAGUUUGUGGUAAUCUACUUGGACAACAUCGUAGUAUACAAUUCAACAUUAGAAGAGCAUAAAAAACAUUUGCGAAAGGUGCUUCAAAGGCUUCGGGACAAUCAAUUAUAUGUGAAAAGUGAGAAGUGUGCUUUUACGCAAACCAAAAUUCAGUUUCUAGGCCAUAUCAUUGAAUAGAGUCAUAUCCAAAUGGAUAUACAAAAGGUGAAGGCCAUUAAGGAGUGGGUGACCCUAAGAAUACAACUGAACUUCGUUCAUUUUUGGGGUUAGCUAAUUAUUACCAGGAUUUGUGGAAAGUUAUUCAAAAAGGAUGGUGGCAUUCAUGAAAUUGAUGAAGAAGGGGCAAAAGUGAAGUUGGACACUGCAGUGCCAAGCAGUUUUUGAAAGCCUAAAACAAGUCAUGAUGAUAGACCCUGUUUUAGCCCUCUCAAACAUCAAAAUGCCUUUUGAGGUACAAAUAGAUGCAUCAGACUUUGCUCUUGAAGAAGUAUUGUUACAAGAAGGAUACCUAGUUGCAUUUAAGAGUCGAAAAUUGAAUGAAGUCAAGAGAAAAUACAUUGCACUAGAGAAAGAACUUUUAGCAGUGAUUCAUUUUCUACGGGUGUAGCAACAUUACUUGUUAAGAUCUUAGUUCAUGGUUAAGAUAGACAACAUAACUGUAAACCACUUUCUCACAUAGCCAAAACUUAUAGCUAAGCAAGCAAGAUGACAAGAGCUCUUGACUAAAUUUGAUUUCUCCUUUGAGCACAAAGCCAGAAAAACCAACUGUGCAGCAAACGCCCUAAGUAGAAAGGUUGAGUUCAUAGCUCUUAGGGUAAUCGAGCCAAUGAUAGGCAACAAAGUGACCACAAAUAUCCGUAAUCUUGUUGAAGAAAACUUGCAUUGAGAUCCCCAAGCAAUUUCCAUUAUAAAGUUGGUUGAGAGUGGAAAGUCAAAAUACUUUUGGGUGGAACAUAGACUCCUACCAAUAAAAGGACCACGUUUAUUUAUUCCAAGAGCGAGAGAGUUGAGAUAGAAGUUGAUGCAGGAAUGUCACAACACCUCUUACGCAAGACACUCAAGUUGGCAGUGGAUCGUUACAUUACUAAAACAAGGUUACUAUUGGCCUCAUAUGUAGCAGAAUGUGAUAGAUUAUGCCAAGACAUGCCUCAUUUGCUAAUAAGACAAAGUAAACAAAUAGAGAUUAAUGAGCAUGCUCGAACCUCUACCAGUGCCAACCAAACAAUGAGAAAAUAUUUCUCUGAACUUCAUAGUAGGACUUCUUAAAGUGAGAGAUAUGAUAGCAAUCUUGGUAGUGGUGAACCGUUUCUCGAAGUACGUGAUGUUCAUCCCAUGUAGAAGUUUGGUUAUACAGAAGAAAUGGCUUGUAUAGGUUUUAAACAUGUGAUAAAAUAGUGGGGUGUUCUUAUGAGUAUUAGUAGUGACAGGGAUCCGAGGUUUACUUGUUUCUUCUAUACAGAGUUUUUCAAGCUAUUGGGGUCAGAACUCAACAUAUCUUCUAAUUAUCACCCGUAAAUAGAUGACCAAACAGAACGCUUAAACGAGUUGUUAAAAGAAUAUCUACGACACUUUGUAUAGGCGAACUAGAAGAAUUGGCCCAACCUGCUAGAUGUGGCCUAACUAUGUUUUAAUUCGUACAAAGCUCAAUGACUAAUAAAACCCUUUUUGAAGUCAUCAUUGGAUAGCAACCUAGACUUCCCCAUACCUCAGUGGAAUCAUAUAGUGGAAACAGUCCUCGAGCCUUUAACUUUGUAAAGGAGUGGAGACAAAACACUAAUAUUGCCAAAGCCUAUUUAGAGAAAGCCUCCAGUCGCAUGAAAACUGGGCAGAUAAAGGUCAAAAGAAGCAACACUUAAAGACAUGAGACCUGGUGCUAGUGAAGUUGGUACCUGAACAACUUUGAUUCUUAAGAAAGAGAUAUUGAAGACUAAUGCGAAAGUCUGAAGGCCUAGUACCAAUUAUGGUAAAGGUGGGGAAGACUUCCUACAUGAUUGAUUCACCCAAGUUGAUGAAGGUACACCUUGUAUUUCACGUCAGCAACCUAAAACCAUUCCACGUAGAUCCAACAGAUGUAAGUAGGAGUCAAGCCAUGAAAGCCACUAUCAUCACCAAACCACUAUCAUAGCGCAGAAUAGAGGAGAUCUUGGCAAGGAUAAUGACAAUAAUCAACUAACGACCAACACAAGAGUAUCUGGUGAGAUAAGAAGGUUUGGGGCCAGAUGAAAUCACUUAGGAGAAGGAAAUUGAUCUCUGCAGCUCAAAACAGAAAAUUGGAGUAUUCUAAGCCAACUAGUGAACGAGGACGUCGAUAGAUUGAGUCGGGGAGGAUGUCAUGAGCCAACCUUGUAUAGGGCUAUGACAAGGUAGAAUUUCUUAAGAGAGUGAGUCUUUUGUACCUCUAAGGGAGAUAUCCUUUACUUUCAAACAUUGUAAUGGCUCUUGGUGACAUCUCUAGAAAUACUUGUUAAGUUUUUAGGGGGGAAAACCCUUUAGGAAAGGAAUGUUGCCAUCUCAAGCAUUGUAAUGGCUAUUGGUGAAAUGCUUAUAAAAUCUUGUAAAUUCUUUAUAAGGGUAAGUAGUUGGUGGGUUGUUGGGCUGUCUCACUAAUUCAAGUGCAUCUGUGGCUAGCCAUCUAAGGCUGCCCCUAUGGCCCGAUGAUGGUGCGUUCUUUUUCUUAGUCCUUUUGUACUUAUUUGCAAUAUUAAUAAAAUAUUUUCUUUUAUAUAACACUGGUGGUUGUAUAAAUGGUAUUCGGUAUGCCCUUUGAUUUUAAUAUUGCUUUCCAUGCCUUAACUCAUGGUUAUUAUUCAUGUUGUUAAGAUAUAAUCGAGCAAUUGACUGGCUUGAGUGGAAGCGUCCACUCGAGCGCCACAUGGACUAUCGUAUACUUAAGCGAAUAGGGGGUAGUUCGUGACAUUGUGCCUCAUGCUUUCCCCUUUUGCUCGAGCACUGGUUUGGAAUUUCUGAAUCCUUCCCCAAAAUGGAAACACAAUAAAAACACGCAAACUAAAAGAUGAUGAAACUAAGAAAAGAUAGGGAAAAGACAAGUCAAAUGCUACCAAUGGCAGUAGUCAAGCCUCUUGUUCGCUACCAAUGGGAGCAACAUCAAAGUGAUCCCCUCUCCUUUAGUUAUAAAACUAGGAGAUAGGAGCAUGGUGAGGGGGAAAAAGAAUCCUUAAAAGAAAAGAAGGAGAAUAUAACAAAUUUAAUAGAUAGCCCAUCACACCUUAUAAAAAAAAAAUUGGUGACAACUCCAAAACCUUCACAUCAAGAUGGACGGAUUCCCAAACUUGCACGUAAUAACAUUAAAAUUUGUUUUGAUGUCGUGGGUUUUGAAUUUUGUCUACUGUGAUUGCUUUGAGUAUGUUUUUUGCGGGCUUCAGGCUGCGUGAUUUUUUUUUUUGAUGGUUGCUAUUUGGCUCCCGAUAUGGUGGUUUUUGUGUAUGGAGUUUUUGAGAGCUUUGAUGCAGGAUUGAUGUGGUUGUGAUGUACGUCUCGUUUAUGAGACUCUAUUGAACAUUUGUAUCCUUGCCAUGAUUCAAUGAUAUUUAAACAUUUUAAAAAAAAUGCUUGAAAUUAAAUCAUAGAAAAUUUGGCUCUCCCACCAAAACAACUUGGUGAGACCAAAACCCCUAAAGAAUUAUUGAUGCCCAACUCUCUCCAUCUAUUAUUUUGCGGCUGUGGCUGUCUGAUUCAAAAGCUUGCCGUGGACCAGCUUUUGCCGCCUGGUUUGACUAAUUGAAUCCAUAGCAACUGUCGACAUGAGCACAUAUUCCCAUUGACUAAAGAUAUACUUACUGUACAUUUUUCAACUCUUCAUUUCAGAAAUAAUGGAUAUGGAGCAAAUUGUGGCUUGGAGAGAAAUAAUUGGACGAAUAAUAGAUGGAUAAAAUCUGUUAUUAAAGAGAAAUAAAAUAUGCUGAUCAAUCAUGGUUGGAUGCAAGUUGUUAAUAAUUAAACAGAAAUAAAUAGUUUAGCAGUUUCAAAAUCCAAAAGGUUAUCAAUAUAUAUAAUAUGCUAAUGCUAUGAAAAAUCCAUAUAUCUAUAGCAGCUAAUUAAGUUUACCCAGGCGAAAACAUUUAUAUGGCACUCCAAGCCAGUAUUUUCACUAAGUCCUGCUUCCACCGAGGCGUUUAUAUGCCAACUCUUCCGUCCAAAUUUCGGGGGAGACAAUGCUUGGCUUCCACAAACUCAAUGGCUGCAGCAGCCCUGCAAGGCUCUCCGCUGUCGGCAAACACUCACCAAGAAGUCUUUCGUCCUUUGGCAGACUUCCCCCCGGAUAUAUGGGGCGACUGUUUCAUGUCUCUCUCGCUCGAUAACUUGGUAACUCACGUUUCUCACGUAAAUUAUAUGCAUUUGUAUGUUAAUUUUCACAUUUAUUAUAUACGAUAUAAGUAAGUGUUUAUAGAUAAACAAACAAAAAUAGAAUAUAACAUGUUUUUCGUAAAAAAAAAAAAAAGAAAGGUAAAAGUACGAUAGUUGGAAAAUUAAUAAAUAUGAAACAGAACAAACAUGAAACUUUUUGGUGUUUGAAAAAGAAAUAAAAACAUGAUUGAAAGACGUAUGAAAGUACAAAUAAUCAACAGUUUAUUUGAAAUUGAGGAGUAAAGUAUGAUAACGAGAAAGUAUCGAAGAUCUCUAAUUAUUGUACCUUAAGUUGCUUUCCUUGUGCGUUCUGCAGGAAUUUGAAUCACUCUGUAGACAAGUAGAGGUGUUGAAAAAGAAGGUGAAGGGCAUGUUAUCGGCUCCGAGUGACCAAGUAGAAAAAAUCCUCUUGAUCAACUCUCUAUGCCGCCUUGGAUUAUCGUACCACUUUGAGAAUGAGAUUGAAGAGCAAUUAAGUUACCUUUUUGUUUCAUUAUCUAAACAUAUGGAUGAUAAAGACUAUGACUUGGAAACAGUUGCAGCGAUAUUUCAAGUUUUCAGGCUACAUGGUUAUCGAAUGCGCUGUGGUAAGUCUCAUUUACGAAUAUAUGUAUAUGCAAAUUUUAUUGAAUUAGUUCAUUAAGAACAUUUUUUAUCACUAGCAUGCAAUGAAGGAUGCUAGCUAAUCCAAUAUUGGAUUUUAUAUCAGAUGUGUUUAACAAGUUUAAGGAGGGUGAUGGUGAGUUCAAGGAAGUGUUAGCUAGUGAUGUCAAGGGCAUCCUAAGCUUGUAUGAAGCUAGCCAGUUCAGAAUAAAUGGCGAGAAAAUUUUAGAUGAAGCCCUUGCUUUCACAACGAAGCACUUAGAGUCCUUGACAGACCAAUCAAGUCCCCAUCUUAGAGAAUACAUAGGAAACGCUUUGAACCGACCUUAUCACAAAGGCAUGCCGAGAGUGGAAGCAAGGCAAUAUAUAACUUUCUAUGAAAAAGAAGAAUCGCCCAAUGAAACAUUGCUCAAGCUCGCAAAAUAUGAUUUUAACCGAGUCCAAUUUCUACACCAGCAAGAAUUAAGCAUCCUUUCGAGGUUAAUAUUAGUUCUAAGCUUUAAGGAUGAUAGGUGCAAGGUAUUCUUCUUUUGAGAUAAACAUGUUAGAUGAUAAUUGAUUGCAAACUCUAUUAUUUGUGUUGCAGUUGGUCCAAAGACUUGAACAUAGCAUCACAACUUUCUUACGCCAGAAACAGAACGGUGGAGAUCUUUUUUUGGACAGUUGGAUUUUAUUUCGAGCCACGUUAUGCACUUGCCCGAAACAUAUUCACUAAGCUGCUGAUCAUCUUAGGAUUUAUAGAUGAUACCUAUGACGCAUAUGGUACCUUCGAAGAACUCCAAUGUUUCACAGAUGCAAUACAAAGGUACCCUUUUUAUCCUUUCCUUUUUUAUACAAGUCUUUCUUUCCAUUUGUUUCACAUAUGGAAGGUUUUUUCUUUUUUUUUCUUUCGAUGAUGUCUGAUCAAGUAAAUUCUUCAUGUUUAGGUGGGAUAUUAGUGCCCUUGAUCAGCUGCCCGCAGAUUAUUUGAAAUUUCUUUAUGGGGCACUCCUUAAUGUUUAUGAUGAAGUGGAUAGAAUGGUGAGCAUGGAUGGGAGAUGUUACAGCAUGUCUUUUACCAAAGAUGAGGUGAUCAUUCUUUCUUAUCCUCCACCUAGUUACACAAUUAUCGAUAGUUUUAUUUACAUUGAUGAGAAGCAUAUAUCUUAGAGUAAAGUUGUGUAUAUGUUACUUCCAAAGCUAUGCAUACUUAUGAUUUUUGUCCCUAUGGUUUCAAAUUUCACAUUUUUUAUUGAAGACUUCUCAUUUGACUAAAAACUCUAUGCCCAAUAAAACAUGGGACAAAAAAAACAUGCACCUUGUUAUUUCUUUGAUGCUUAAGGGCUCAAUGUACUGGAGUUGACACUGAGACUUUACCUUUUUGUGGUAAAUUAGUUGAAGAAAAUUGUUAUUUCCUACCUGGUUGAAGCUCAGUGGACGCAUGAAGGUUAUAUGCCAACAUUCGAUGAGUAUUUGGACAUUGCAUUACAUUCAAGUGCAGCCAUUCUAGUGAUUGCUGAAGUCUUGGUCGGAAUGGAAGAAGCAGAUGCCAAUGUUUUUGAAUGGUUGAGACAAGGUGACAGUAAAUCUCUUGCAGCAAUAAAAAUAAUUGGCCGUCUCUAUGAUGACAUCGCAACCAAUGAGGUAAUAUUUAUAAUUUUAUUUUCAAAGGGAAAAUAGAAAAAUAUUCUAAUUACCAUAUUCUCUCAUUCGACCAAAUAAGCUUUAUAGUUUUAGCUAACUAUAUGCCCUUUGAUAUGAUGGAAGGAUGAGGAAAAGAGAGGACUAGUUGCUUGUGGAAUCAAAUGUUAUAUGAAGCAAUAUGGCGUUUCAAAGGAAGAAGCUAUUGAAGAAUUUCGAAAAAGACUUGUCAUUGCUUGGAAUGAGCUUAAUGAAGAUCAUAUGAGGCCAACGACUGUCCCAAUGGAAAUCCUUAAUCGUGUUCGUAACAUUGCAUGUGUAAUAGAUCUUACAUACAAGGAUGAGGAUGGAUUUACCAUGUCUGAGAAAAUUUUGAAAGACCACAUUACCAAAGUGCUCAUUGAGCCCAUUCCUAUUUGAGAAAAGGCAUUCCAUGUCUGUACAAGUACGACUACAUAUUGUAUUUGCAAGUUAGGUUAGGGUUCAUUUUGGUUUGCUGCGCUACUUUUGAUCAUGAUAUAGCUCUUAAUGUUGAGGUAUUUUCUGAAUCAGGGUUGUGAUGCUUCAGUCAUCUUAACUGACAGCAAAGGUGAACGAAGCAAUUUCACUGAGAGGCAAGCUGUGCCAAAUAGGACAUUGAAAGGUUUUGACAUAAUAGAUUUGAUUAAGGAGGAGGUUGAAAAGGCUUGUCCUGGAGUAGUAUCAUGUGCUGACAUACUUGCACUUGCCACCAGAGAUGGCAUUCUUCUGGUCUGUUUAAUCUCUCUCUUCAUAGAUGUUCUUUUUCUUUCUGAAAUUCCUCUUCCAUUCAAGGGAUAUCAAGGUUCAAAAAUUGGAGGGGUCGUUUUAGUUUUGAGUAUGAUAUAUACUUGUGUUGGUGUGUAAGGCAUAGACUGGUAAAAGAGUACUUCUCUCUGCACAAUUUUAUAAAUGGAGACUCUGGUUAAAUACUCUGGGCUACUCCUCUAACUGGUUGCUCAAAAAUCAAAGUGUACAGCAAUUUAAGUUGGUUUUGUAGUAUAACUGUAAUGGGCUCUUUAACAGAUAUAGGCUUUUACAUAUAUGCUUCUUUCUCUCAGUAUUAUGCCCUUUUUGUCAUUGCCCAUAAUUAUACUUUUUCCAAAACUUCAAGAGUACUGAAACUUCAAAAUGAUUUUAGAUUUCACAUUACGCUUGAAUUAAUAUGUCAUUAGCAUGAAGACAAACAGAUGUAGAUUGGAAUUGGAUAUUGGGAGGAGGAUUAAUAUCUUUUACAAUAUUAGCAGUAAGAGUAUGAUGCUUUCACUGAUAGGGCUUUCUAUUUGGUACAUCUCAAAACUGAAUUGUGUGGACUUCGGAGACAUGCUAUUGUUCUUUGGACGUCUUUCUUUUUGUCCUUCCUUUUGUAUUCUGAAAACCAAAGAGAAAAAAAGAAGCUAAGAUUGUAGCUGAACAUGUUACCCAAUCCAGAUAACUGCGUGCGUGGUUCUCUUUGAGGAUACUCAUUCAUAUUUAUUUUCAAUGCUUAUAUCAUGAAACAAUGUUGCUUUCAGAGUUUAUCAUUAUAUAUUUGAAAGUAUGCUGGUUUCUUAAUGCGCUAUCUUCCGUUUGAAUCACAGGUUGGUGGCCCAUUUUAUCCUGUAUUCACGGGUAGAAGGGAUAGCAUUCAGUCUUACUUCAAUGAAGCAGUUGCUGAGAUUCCAAAUCCUGAUGGUAACCUCUCGGAGACACUUUUCCUCUUUGGCCUUAAAGGUUUUGAUGAAAGAGAGACAGUCAGUCUUUUAGGUAUAUACCUGGAAUUUUUGUCCCCUUGCCUUAUCUCCCUCUAUAUGGUCCUUGAAAAGUGAAACUUAAGAUGUCAUAAUGGUUCUUUCUGAUUAUCUGAAGGGGCACAUAAUAUUGGAAAAAUUAGCUGUGAGUUUAUUCAGAAUCGCCUCUACAAUUUCUUAGGGACUGGACAGCCAGACCCAAGCGUUCCAUUGGAUUUUCUCAAUGAAAUGAGAAUAAAUUGUCAAGAAAUUCGUGACAGCAGCAAUGGUAUGUCUCCUACUGCCACAAAUCCAUGUAUCUCGGAAAGUACUGUCUUCCAAGGACUAACUUCAAUUUCCUCCGGAGCUGGUUUUGACAAUCACUUUUAUCAGAACUUGGUAAGGGGUAGAGGACUCCUCUUUUCUGAUCAACAACUAAUGGCUGAUGAGAAGACUGCUAGAUAUGUAAGGGAUUAUGCCUUUGGUAAUGGAUCAGCCUUUAGAACAGACUUUGCCAGGGAUAUGGUAAAGAUAUCUGUACUCGAUGUAUUGACAGGAUUCCAAGGUCAGGUCCGAACUAACUGUUCCCUGCCUCUCUAUGGCUCUUAAACAACAGUCUCCUAACCAGGUUGUGCAUUUUGAGAUUCUCCAAUUCUUUACUAGUUUAAUGUACUACUAUCUCGAGGAGUUGUACAAUUGAUGAAAAACUUUUUGCUUCAAUACCUUCAACUACUAUUAAACCCAAUUGUGGAGCAAUAAUCAAGUUGAGGAUGACAUUUUGAUCUGUUUGUAAGUUUGAUCAGGAGAAUUCUGGAUAAGUAAUAUCUGUAGUGUACGAGCAUGAUUUCACUUCAUCAUUUUUGCCUGGUAUUUGGAAACUAUUCUGUGUGAGUGUGAAGCAUUAAUUUGCAAAUUCCUAGCUGUCAUGGUAAUCACUCACAGGCUUCCUAGAUGUCGGAUUAUUAUCAUCUGUCUGUGUAAAGACUGUUGUCUCUAGAAAUGCAACGAAGAUUCUGUCAACCCUUUUGGUUGUUGAAAAUGGGAAUGUCAGAACAUAAAAUCUUUUAGUUAUCAUAAUCGUCAUCUUCUUCUUCUUUGUUUUACAUGCAAAAGUUUUGUGUUCAUGCUUGUCUCAUAUUUUAAUCUGUCAUGAGCAGGACUACAAACUCCAUGUAGUCUUGCAUAUUCGAAUAAUGGUGUGCUUAAUUUGGUUUAGCAAAAUGAAUUUCACUGCCAGAUCAAAUCAAGUCAACAUAAAGAUGGAAGCUAAAACCACUAGGGAAUGGGGCACAACAGACAGUGCACAAAUGCAGGUUCUGAUACAUAGAUGAACUAGAUUUUUAGUGCGUACUCUAAUUUGCAAAAACUUGCCCCAUUCUUCUUUUCAAGCAAAGUUCCUUUUUUCGCUUAAAGCAUGUCGCAAUUAUUAUUCUGAAGUCACAGAUGAUGCGGUAUGGAAACUAAGCACAGAUCUUUUCUUUGCAAUGAAGCACGGAAAUGUUCAGUCAUGUCUAAAUCUUCAGGCUUCUUUCCAUUAGGAAGCUUCCAAUCAAAAUGGUAGAGCAGAUUUGCAAGUAUAAGCUCUACAAUUGCAAUACCAUACGUUAUACCAGGACACAUCCUCCUUCCAGCACCAAAUGGAAUAAAUUCAAAGUCUCCUCCCUUAUAAUUAAUUGAACUAUCACAAAAUCUCUCAGGAUAAAACUUCUCAGCGUCAGUCCAGUUAUUUUGAUUUUGUCCUAUUGCCCAUGCAUUAAUUAUGAUCCUAGAUUUGGCAGGUAUGACACAUCCGUUAACCUCACAGUUCACUUGGCAUUCUCUUGGAAGUAGCAAAGGAGCUGGAGGGUGCAAUCUUAGUGUCUCUUUGAUAACUAGUCUGAGGUACUUCAACUCAUGAAUGCCUGAUUCAUCAACAUCUCUUCUACCAGCAAACACAUGCCUCACCUCUGCCUGUGCCCUUUUCAAUACUUCAGGGUUUCUUAACAUUUCUGACAUUGCCCAUUCUACAACUGUAGAUGAGGUUUCAACCCCCGCAAGGAAUAUAUCCUGAAAUAGGUAGGAUUAUUAAGUUUCAAUUAAGCAUGCACAAAAGACUGAUUUUGUGUGUGUCAACAUUAUGAUCGCACCUAGCCAAAAUAUAGAAAAGAGAAAAAAAAAAAAAAGCAAUUGACUAUAAAGGAACAGACUUUGAAUUCACUAACCAGAAUAAUAGCUUUGAUGCUGCUGGUUGAUAACGGAACUUCAAGGGCUCCACGAUCCUGAAUAUCCAGAAGGACUUGGACGAGGUCGUCUACUUCACUUUCUCCUGUCAUUGUUGUUAAUUUUGUAGCUCUAUGUUCCUGAAUGAUGCUUUCAAGAAUCUCAUCUACCUUGUUAUGCAGUUUUUUAUUUUUAGGCCUCAUGGCAUUGAUCAGAUGGAGCAAUUUUGCGGAAGGAUAGACAUCAACAACACUGAGACCUCCAAACAACACUACAAUGUCCGGAUGAAGUUUCUUGAAUGCAUCCUGGUGCUUACAUUUCCCACCGAAGGCUGCUCUGGAGAAUAUGUUGACUGUUGAAGAGUACAAGAAGUUCUUAAGGUUGAUGGGCGAUCCUGCUUUCGAUGAGAUGGUUCUUACUAAAUUAGAUAUCUCUUCUUCCCCGAUUGGUCUAAAUGACUGAACUCGUUUCUGACUUAACAUCUCCAGCACACAAAUUGUGCGUAUUUGUCUCCUGUAAUCUCCACGGGCAAAUACAAUAUCUCUAAAUUUGUAAGUUAUGAACUGUGCAGCAUAGAGAAAAGGCCUCUCAGAGAAAACAGAGUCGUUGGUUUUCAUCACUUGUUUAGCAGCUUCUGGUGAAGAAAUCACAACUGUUGAUACUUCCCCAAGUUGCAGAAGCAUCACUGGACCAUACUUCUGAGCCAAUCGGGCAAGGCAGCGAUGAGGUUGAGUCCCAAUAAGAAGGUGCAAGUUUCCUAUCAGAGGUAAUUUUGGAGGACCUGGUGGUAGCAUUGAUGGAGAGCCACUAGAUUUGGUAUUCAUCCAUGUCCUCAAAGCCCUGAAUGUGAAGAAGAGAAAGGUAAGAAGGAAUAAGAAAAAGGGGAGUUGGUUUUCCAUGCGAGCAGUGGGAAAGAAUUAAAUGGAGGGGAAGUUUCCUUUAUUGAUUAUGAAUCUCCUCUCUUACUUGG